This 96998-nucleotide long non-coding RNA is filed under the name Chlamydomonas reinhardtii. RNAcentral describes it as "long non-coding RNA (CREI_LNC000165)". The record is from RNAcentral. Lineage: Eukaryota; Viridiplantae; Chlorophyta; Chlorophyceae; Chlamydomonadales; Chlamydomonadaceae.
GCAACACACACACACACACACACACACACACACACACACACACACACACACACACACACACACACACGCACGCACACACACACACACACACACACACACCUCCUGUGCCCCACCCUGUGCCCUACCAUUUCCUUAGCUAAUCAUGAAUGUAACCCCAUCACCAGGGCCGCUGCAAACGAGCUUGCCAAGAACCGGUCGUACCGGCACACCGGCGAUGUGUACGAGGAUGAGGAGCAGGAGGACGAGGCGGCCACCGAGCUGGUGGAGCCGGGCUCGGACCUGGCACACAGGGCGCGGCGCGGCAGCGUGGGAGAGCAGCGGCGGCAGCGGCAUAUCUUUUCGGAGCGCGAGCAGCGCCGCACGCAGCGCGAACGCCGGGGCCGACAUGAGGAGGAGAGCGAGGAGGCGCGGGAGCGGGAACGGAAGCGGGAACGGGAGCUGGAACAGCAGGAACGGGAGCCGGAGCGACGCCGGCCGGCGCGGCACGUGAUCCGGCCGUACGCGCGUGAGGAGCGGGAGUUGGCAGGCGGCUCGGGCUUGGGGUCGGGUAAGGGCUGGAACAGGCGGCAAAGCGGAGAGGAGCAGCGCUGGUGUGAGCACGAAGAGGCGGAGGAAGCGGACGAGGAAGACGAGGAGCAUUUGCGGCUGGAGGAGCGGGAGCGUUCCGAGGCUGAGGUGCUUGAGGCAGUCAGCCGCACCGCCUCCCAGCGCUGGCAGGCCACACGCACGCUGCAGCCGUCGGUGGGUGUCGGAACGUGCGUCAGGCGACCGUGUUUGGCGGUAUGCGCAAGAGUCAUGCCCGUGUUACUGUUUGUGUUUGUACCCUAUGCGUCCUGCGUGUUCGACUGUUGCACACCUUCUCGCCAGGCCGAGCGCUGCCUUGUGGGCCGGACCCUCCGUCGCUUACGCUGACCAUGUUGUGUUUGACGUGCCCUCAUGUCCACAGCGGAGCAUCCUCAAGAAGCCCGCAUCUAUAAACCGCCGCGCGUCAGAGGCCGCCGGCGAGUCCGGACGGACUGAUACAGAGCCCGGCUCAACACCUGGCGCCAGGUCUGACUCCCACGUGGCUGUACUGAGCCUCGAAGGGGGUGAGCUGCACAGAGCCGGCGGCACUAGCCGGCUAGCGCCCGGAGCAGCCGACACAGCCGCCCAUGCACCCUCGCAUGCAGCUUGGGAUCAGGACGGCAGCGGCCACGGGCCGGGCAGCGACGCGCACGAGUCAACAGCCGUGGAGGCGCUGGGCGGAGGCACGGACUGCGAGCGCGGGCGCACCCGGGAUCCAGGUAUGAUCGCUGCAUGCACGCGCGGGCUGCUGUGGGGCAGAGCUUCCGCAAGCAGUGACGUGCACUAUAAGACAUGGCCAGUGGGGCGUGAGCAUUUGUUAGUAAGAGGUGUGUGAUGCUGUGUUGCGCAUCUGCGCACGGUGUGCGCAGGCGGCGGUGGCGGCAAGCGACCGCGCAGCCUGAGUAAGAGCGUCUCGUUCCGCGGCGUGGACGGCGACAGCGGUGGCGACGGCAAUGGCGGUCAGGCUGACGGAGCGCAGCCCAGUGAGGCCGCGGCGGCUGCAGGCGCUGCCCGCUGAGGCUGCUCGUUGUUACCACAGCUACAUCAUGCUUCUCGGGGCAGCUUCAUGAGCGGAGCCGCAACGACGAUCCGGUACCAGGCCCUGGCCGUAGUUUCGGGGGCAAAGGGUGACGUAUGCAUAUGACGUGCAUGAGACUGCAGAACUGUGCACGAUGCACACACCACAUGCGCUCAAGGCAAUACCUGGGGGAAUGGCCCCUGUGCAGUUUGCAUGUAUUUAUGCUAUGCAUUAUUACUCGCACGGGCGUGCUCAACCACCAUCGUUCUGCAAGUAUUGUGAACAGCUGCCGUGCAUGUGUGAUGCUUGUGAUGCUUGUGAUGCUUGUGAUUCUAAGCAAGUUGGCUUACACAGCGUGUCGACUUGUGAUGGCGCGUGCUGUCAUGCUGCAGUAUUGACAGCGAUCUAAAGUAUGCAUAUGUGCCUGCUUGCUGUUGCUGCGGAUGAUUAGUCAUGGCGGCCAACACGUGGGAGGCAAUUUGCUUAUCAAGAACGAAUGUUUGAUUUUGUGUUUGAAUCUCAGGUGACUCAUCCUGGCCCGCAGCCCUGGACACGUAACUCGGUAACUGAGGAUGAGUCACCCUACUGCCGCACAGCUCUCAAACACGUGCACUAACCGGGGUGAGGCGGCUCUCACGCCACCAAAUCGAACCUGUGAUAACUUGAUUGGCUUAGCCGUAGCGCAAUGAAGCGUAAUUCACAUAAAUUUAUGAUGUGAAGGAUCAAGGCUUCGUGCAUGGCCGGUGGUACCGAGUACACGGGCUGCAGCUGGACGCUGUGCCGGUCCUGAAGACACGUUGUGACUGCGGGCCAUGAUAGCGAGACUGCAAGCAGGGACAGGCCAUGUUUGUGCAUUCACGGAUACUGGCUUUCAAAUGCUAAAGGAGAACGGGGGGUUAGCCAGAGGUCAGUGUACCGUACUGUCUGCGUAUUGGCUGCUUCCUCUUGUGACGUUCAGCCUGCCGUUGCCCCAGCAUUGGCGCACAGGAGGGCAACCCAGGGGAGGCCGACCGUGACGGCCGGGGUGGCUGAUGCCACUCACGCAGCUGACGCGGUGGUGCAUUGACGUCACCGACUCAGCGUGCAGGGCCGGGCUGGCUUCGCCUGUGCAGUCCCCAUGGCCCGCAGCCCUUGACUACUCCAAACCUUCGGCGCAGGGGAACGUAACUGCCGAGUGCCGACGCUUUCCGGGCUUCUGGCAGCUUCAGUCCACAGUACGGUUCAGGCAGGUUGGUACGGUUGGUUGCAGUACGUCGUCUGACUCGUCUCCAUGAAUCCGGCAUACACGGUGCGUGCUGUGGAGUCCACCAGAGACCACUGUCCCCACCGCGUGGCAUUGGGCCAUCCAGCACAGGUCUUCGGCACCAGUCGGCACGAGCCUCCAGGUGUCGCAUUUGGACAAUAUUAUGACAAACAGCGAACUCCGCUCAUGACAACGGGCGCGUAACGCCGCGGGUCGGCAUGCGCGGUGGAUCGCCGCUGCCCGCCGCCGCUCAACUGCAUGGGGGCUGCGGGCAUGAUGCACAUUCCAGAGAGGCACGAUUAAUCUCCAAGCUGUAUGUUACCUAUUACUCGUAGGCCAGCCCUCAACGCUGCUGUUACUGCUGUGCACCUGUUUUGCAUAGCAAUAGAACUUAGCACCAAGCUGGCGACGCUUUCAGUCUCCAGCUCCAGGCCCACCCACAACGCAAUAGAUCAUACCGCAAGCAGACAGCUUAAAUGGUGAGCGCGGCGCGAGGGGCACGUGCGAAACUUGCAAAACCAGGUAACCUUACUUUGCGCGUGCAGGGUUGCAGCGCUUCAGUUGAUGCAAAAGUGCGUGCUCCUGGAUCAGAAGCUAUCUGUAAACCCGCCAAGCAAUCCAACGAGGGCUCGGCGCAUAGUGUUGGCUCCAGCAGAAGUGGGGACGCUGUCGUCAUAAUUACACCAAUCGCACGUAAGCUUAUGGUUUGGGUGGAUACAGAGCCCCAGGGAGCGUGGCGGGCCUUUGUGAGAGGACACAACGUGGAUGCAUGCCGCGAAUUUACUUCUCUGCUGUCUUCUCUAGUUUGAAGCGCUGAUGAGUUUCCGAAAAUGAUAGAGGUGAUAUUUUGUUAUCUUUAGCAUGCCAUCGCCUACAACUGACGCAGAGCGCAGGAGGGAACGCCUGGUUUCAAGACGCGGAGACGCUGGUUUUUAGCUCAUCUGUGCCCCAUUCCUGUUAUGUACACAAAAUCACUAUGAUUAUUAUGGUUGACACAUUACGUGCUCUCUGGCCCUCACAGAAUCGAACUCGCCCAGGUCUUCGGCGGUCGGCUUGAGUCGGGAAGCUUCGAGCAAAGUGCCCGCAGCAUCCGUCAAGAUAAACAACAGGCGACAAAGUGCUGACAGGCAAGCAGGUAAGCUCAAGCUUGACCCAUGGAAAGAAGUUUUCCCGUCGCGCGGUGCCCAGCUGCUGUCCCUGUUCGAGUGCACGAGUGAAGAACACAGACCGGGCGCACACAGUAACAUAGGGUGCCCGGCUCCCGACCUGUCGGUUGCGGGCACGUGAUGGGGGGACUAUACGACAGAGGAAUGAACACCUGAACACUGUGCAUAUGGGGGAUGGGCUCGUGGUAAUCGAAAUCUCUCAGCAGCCUCCUCACACACGCACAAUUCUUUACUCUGCUGCCUGUCCACUCGCCUGUCCAACUACUACCAGUCGGGGAUUUCUUCUCCUGAAGGUUAGCACGAGCUGCCCAAUUUCCGGGAUCAGUAGCAACCAUGCUGCUUGCUUCCGAGCAUGGCAUUUGCGCAAUCCGCGGAGUCUGCUAAACGCAAGCUGGCAGGGGCGAGGUGUCGGGGACAAUCAGAGAGCUCCUCUGUGCGCUUCUGCAACCUGCCGGCGGCUUGGUUGUUCUAGGGCUAUGUGCUAAUACUGCUCCAGCUAUCUGCGGAGCCCUAGCUCGAUUCCGAAGGGCGUGAAGCGCGUUUUGCAACGAGGCGUGCUCGGUGUCGUCGAGCCUUAGGGUUCUCACGCCUGCGGCCGUCCAGCAGCAGCUGUGACCACAACUCCAAUUGCAUAACGCUAUUAACUUGACAACAAUUGCAUGUAUUCCAUCGGCAUGGCCGCAAGCAGGCCUCGAGCACUGAUUGUGCGUCCUCACGUCUUCGCGCCUUGCCCUUGCAGGUCUAACCAUGGCCGCGGGAUCUGUUGGCGUCUUCGCCACCGAUGAGAAGAUUGGCAGGUAAGAGCCAGCGCAUGCACGUUGUUGAAACGUGGUCAAGCCCUUGCUCUCAAUUCUGACCCAACUCGAUGGUCGCUCAGUUUGGCCCAAGGCGCUCUUUUAGGUGCCUGAUGCGCGUGCUGGCGGUAAUUGCAACUGCAGUGCUGCGGCUACACCUGCCGCUCCUUUGACGCUUGUUUCCAGCCAGGGUUGAUGUGUGACCAGCUGGCGCACCUUCCUAGCUUUGCACGCGGGGCUGCACACGGUCAGCAGGAGUAGCAGCACAGCGGCCGCUGAGCUCUCGCCUCACGUUCUCGGCCCACCUACGAAUCUGCACCUGGUGCCGCCACCUUUCCACCCCACCGCGCGCGUCUGUGCCGUCAUCCGCCACCGCAUCCUCACCACGUCUUUCCCAUCCGCCUCCCAACCCCGCUUAUGCUGCUGCUUCCCCCUUGCCACGCCGCCUCGCAGCCUGCUGGACCAGUCCAUCACGCGCCACUUUCUGUCGACUGUGACCGACCAGCAGGGCAAGAUCUGUGCCGAGUAUGUGUGGAUCGGCGGCUCCAUGCACGACGUGCGCUCCAAGUCGCGCACCCUGUCCACCAUCCCCACGAAGCCCGAGGUGCGUACCGCACUUGUGUGUCUACAUGCGUGAGCAUUGGCGGGCAACCCAUAUUGCCAUUGCUCCGGUCUGCCUGAGGACGAACUGCGGGCCCGCGGAGGAUGACUGGCCCGCAACAGGAACGGCGUGGUGCCGCAUGCACGGCAACUGCACAUGCGGGGGCAACGCCUGCGCAUGGACGCUGUUAACCGCCUCCGCCCCGCUUGUACCUGUGCCCGGCUGUCGCCUUCAUGACCUGCGGCGCGUGCACACGCCUCCCCCUCUCCCUGUUCCUCCCGCAGGACCUGCCCCACUGGAACUACGACGGCUCCUCCACCGGCCAGGCCCCCGGCCACGACUCAGAGGUCUAUCUCAUUCCCCGCUCCAUCUUCAAGGACCCCUUCCGGUGAGGGCGGCUGGCGGCGGUGGUGCUGGGUGGCGGUCGAGCGGGCGGGCAAGCAGGUCUGGCAGGGCCCUGGCAGGCAAGGGGCUAGUGCAGAGGUCACAGGAGCAUCCGCAGACACACGGGGCGGCAUCGGGAUGAACACCAAUUCGACAGAGCACCCGCCUCACCACCUCCUUCCGGCCUCCUCCCCAAAUCCACAGCGGCGGCGACAACAUCCUGGUCAUGUGCGACUGCUACGAGCCGCCCAAGGUCAACCCCGACGGCACCCUGGCCGCGCCCAAGCCGAUCCCCACGAACACCCGCUUUGCCUGCGCCGAGGUGAGGGGAGGUUGUGUGUCUCUAGUCGCCAGGCGGGCUGCAGGUGCCGCCUGCGCAUGCGCUGGCGUGCUGCGAUGAAAGGGCGGGCGCCUGUAAACCGCUCGAACCCGCUACCUACGCGCCCCUUUAAAACACCCGACUGACCCCGCGUUACGGCUACUGAGUACUGACCUUUCGACCCUGCACCCUGCCGUGCGCCUGCUGCACACGCCCAGGUGAUGGAGAAGGCCAAGAAGGAGGAGCCCUGGUUCGGCAUUGAGCAGGAGUACACGCUGCUCAACGCCAUCACCAAGUGGCCGCUGGGCUGGCCCAAGGGCGGCUACCCCGCCCCCCAGGGCCCCUACUACUGCUCGGCCGGCGCCGGCGUGGCCAUCGGCCGCGACGUGGCGGAGGUGCACUACCGGUGAGCGCGGGGCGGCAAGGUUGGGUGUGUGGAUGGGUGGAUGGGGUGGAAGCGUGAGGCGUGGGGAGGUGGGGGCUGAGGGAAGGGCGAAGGAGGUGAGGGAAGGAUAAGCAGGGGAGCGAGGGAGGAGAGGGAGGGCAGUAGCGAAGGAGGGCGGAGGGAGAGGGACUGACGAAGAGAGAGGAAAUGCACGGGAGGGCGCGAUGCCAACAAAGCGUGAGCUUAAUGGUGGUGGACAAGUGGAAAGAGUUGGCCAGGGGGCUGUGUACGGACCAGCCAGCGCUGACAGGGGAAGGUGGGCUUGACAAGGGGCAAAGCGGCUAGCACAGGCAGUUGUGCAACCGUUCCUGCACAGCUCGGGCAGGAACGGGCGGCACUGCCAAGGGCAGGGGCAGCUUGAAGCCCGAUGCAUGCACCCGCCAUCGUGUGUGACCUAGAACAGUCGCGGCCCGGCUCGUCACGGGCCGUGCCAUCGCCUGCCGACCCACGUUGCGUGUUCGUGCCCGCACUCGAAAGCGCCACCCUUCCCCUCUGCGCCAUCCCAACUCACCACACCUGGGACGCCUCCCCCGCCUCCCCCCACCUCCGCAGCCUGUGCCUGGCCGCGGGCGUUAACAUCAGCGGCGUGAACGCCGAGGUGCUGCCCAGCCAGUGGGAGUACCAGGUGGGCCCGUGCGAGGGCAUCACCAUGGGCGACCACAUGUGGAUGAGCCGCUAUAUCAUGUACCGCGUGUGCGAGAUGUUCAACGUGGAGGUCUCGUUCGACCCCAAGCCCAUCCCCGGCGACUGGAACGGCUCCGGCGGCCACACCAACUACUCCACUAAGGCCACCCGCACCGCGCCCGACGGCUGGAAGGUGCGCCGGGUCGGGUCGGAGGGUUGCGGCGUUGUGGAAGGGCGGCGGUUGGGGCGGUUGGACAGCAGGUGCGUGCAGGAGGGAAAUGGCAGCUGCCUUGCUGCCCGGCGCUGGCACUGGAGGACGGCAGGAUGAGGAGUCGUGGGUGCCUUUGCGGUCCCCAGCUGGGCACGGAAGCGCCGCAGUAGCGGCACGUGGCGCGUCGUUGGUAGCCCCAACACCCCAUCCCAACUGCUCUCUAUUCCUGCUCCCGAACUUCCCGCCUCUCCCCCACGCUCCCUAUCUCCCACCCGCCCCCAACGCCCCGCCCACAGGUCAUCCAGGAGCACUGCGCCAAGCUGGAGGCGCGCCACGCCGUGCACAUCGCCGCCUACGGCGAGGGCAACGAGCGCCGCCUGACCGGCAAGCACGAGACCAGCAGCAUGAGCGACUUCAGCUGGGGCGUGGCCAACCGCGGCUGCUCCAUCCGCGUGGGCCGCAUGGUGCCGGUGGAGAAGUCGGGCUACUAUGAGGACCGCCGGCCUGCCUCCAACCUGGACGCCUACGUCGUCACCCGCCUCAUCGUGGAGACCACCAUCCUUCUGUAAGCGCAGGAGCAGCGGCACGCAGGAGCAGCAGUGGGCGAUGGUGGUGGUGGCGUUUGUGCUGGCCUGAGCGAGGGGGGGGCCACGGAAGGGCGAUCGUGGCCAAGGCGGAGGGAAGCGGCGGUCGAGCCGCGUGGUGAUCAAGGUGAGGCGUGGUGCGCGUGUUUGCAUUGACAUGCGGGCUCGUUUGGCGCCGUGGCUUGAAGCUGGAGCAAUUCCAACUGCAUUUGGUUUGCCGGGACGUGUAGCGGUUCAGGAAAGAUGGGGUGACGGCAGCGAGGACCCGCUGUGUGUUCUGGUCCAGUCUGCCAAAGGGACUUCGGACGCAGGAUGCUGCAUCAUCUGUGGCGCAGUCAACUGAUCUCUACGAAGAGCCGCAGUGCCAUACCAUUUGUCGUGUGCGUUUCGAGCCUGGCUGUGUGGACGCCGGCGCAGAGGUCGCCUGGUUGUGUGCAAGUGUAUGCCGUCGGCGACGGAAGGGAGCGUACACCGUGCGGCCAAGCGACACGGCGCUCUGUACGUGCCCGUCGUCAAGUGCAUGAGCGGAGGACCCCGCGCAGCGCGGGGUGCGUGGCAUGACGUGAGCUCUUAUUGGCUGUGCGCGACGCAUGCGUUCCCUCAUGUAGGGGAGGCGUUGCAUACAGGAACGGUCGCGGCCGUGUUUGGUGUUCAAACUGUGUUUUGUCUUGGUAUUGUGUCCUGGUUCCAACAGUGGUUGGGUGAUUGUGCACUUGAAACAUUCUUUGUGUGGGUCGGACCCACUCUGUCGUUCUGUAACACGGGAAAGCAUACGGCAUUUGCCGUGCGCGACGCCAACGAACUACCGUACAUGCGCCUAAGUGGUGCUAUCGCCUGGCCGGGCGCCCUAUGCGCGUCAGAAAACUUCCAGCCAGCCAGCAACCUGUUGGUACAGUCACUCCGGCGUUCGACCAGCGGCACACUCCUGCCCUGCCGUUGCAAAUUGUUUGCCAUCUGCUGGGUUCUGGGAAUCAGCUGCACCCUACGGGACUUCACCAACCUGCCUUGCCACUGUCCCAUCACACACACACAUACACGGAUGGCCCGCUUCCCGACGCCACGUGCUAGGAAAGGCACCAAGGGCACCCCUGAAAGACACAUACCCGCCCGGCCUUGCCAGAACUUGCGAAACCUGGACACAACCUUCCCCAAGCACACACACACACACAGUUUCUCCUUGCAGUGCGACUGUUUCCUUACGGGAUUGGUUCAAAGUUAAUCCCCAAGCACACACACACACACACACACACACACACACACACACACACACACACACACACACACACACACACACACACACACCAAGCACAAAAGCCAGCUAAAUACGAACUCAGCUCCCACCUCACGCUCCCACCUGUACAGACUGUCCAACGCCUGUAACACGAACCUCAAGAAGCUUCCUGCCGCGCAGUACGGUACGGAGGAUGGAGACACCCAGGGAUGCACAUCAGAACCCCCCGAACCCAAUCCACCCCCCCCCUCCCCUGUUCCCCUGCCUUCCCUAGUCCCCUGGGUGACACCCAAUGCUCACACAGGCAAGACAUGCCCGCACGGGCUCACUGAACCACGCAAGCAGAAACACAAACUUAGCCCUUGAGUCCACUUAUGAACUACGGGAGGGGGGGGGCAAAGGGAAGGGUAAGUGGGUGCAUAGGGAACGGUUUGCACUUUCCAAGCCCUUUGUAGAUAACCGGGCUCAAGACGCAAUUCACGUGACUUGUGAGGCUGCCCUGCUCACCGCUGUCCAGAAAGACGCCUGCGCGCUCACGGGCGUGCGGAUACGGGCCCCUAUCCCUAAUGGACCAUAGCGCUCCCGCGCGGUCAGGUGCGGAGUGGCGUGGUGUCUGGGGCGCGGCCCAUGGGCGCGGCCCGGCGUGGUCCUUCAGCGGUCUUCGCCUUUGCGCCCAGCACCCCAGCUGCGCCCUCGCCGGCUGGCCACCGCAUCUAUGCGGCAGCUAUGCCCAGGCGGGUGCACACACCCACGCCCGCAUACACCAACGCCCUACAGGUGCCUGGCAUCGCAAACUCUGAUGACCAUGUUACAGGGACCAAUCAUUCCCAAACCCACUCAGUUUAGUGCCGGGCCGCGGGGUUUCGGUUCUUGCACUGUUGCACCGUCUGUACGCGCGCGCGGGACUGCAUGGACUCAUGCAGGUGUGCGGACCCACAAUGGUACCGAGUCGGACAGUCAGACUGUCGUCAGUUGUCCACCCCCCCUGGUUGUCCGAAAACACUUUGUUGCCCCCCCCCCCGCACCCCUUCCCUGCCCUGCGACGCGCCGCAUUCAGAGGUCCACCACAGAUCAGUCUUCCGCCACCCGUCCCUCCAGCCGUCCGUCAACCAUGACAAACCACACCGCACACCGCAUCUACAAGAUGUCAGCAAAGAAGUUUCCAUCGGGCUUCUUCUUCGCCUCCAUUCCCUUCGUCCACUUGGUGCGCUCGCGGUCCCGCUUGCCCUUCUUCUUCUUUCCGCCGCCGUCGCUGUCACUGUCGCUGUCGGCAUCGUCAUCACCAUCGCCUGCAGCGGUGGCCGCUGCUUUCCCGCCGGCAGCGGCCGCGCCGCCGCCCCCGAGCGCCGCCGCCAGUGCCGCCGCCGCCCGGUCCCCAGCCGCCUUCUCGCUUGGCUUGGCGGCGGCCUUGGCGGCUUUGGGCUUGACAGUCGCCUCCAUUUUCGCCCUGGCCUUCGAGUCCUUGGCAUCUGUCUUCCCGCCCUUUUGGCCGCCGCCCUCGCCUUCGCUGCCACCGCCGCUGCCCGGCGCCCGCUCGUCGUCCUCGCCCUCGCCCUCCUCGUCACUGCUGUCGCUGAAGUCACUGCUGUCAAAGUCCGACUCGUCCUCGUCCUCGUCAUCAUCCUCGUCCUCCUGCGCAUCCCCUGCCGCCUCGCCGUCACCGCCGGCCUCCUCCUCUGCGCCCGCCUGCGCGCCCUCCUCAGCGCCCUCCUCGCCCCCCUCCUCCUCCUCCUCCUCGCCGUCCUCGUCGUCGUCCUCAUGCAGCAGCGCCAGGUCCCACAGCUUGACGGCGCUGUCGUGCGACAUGGACACCAGCACGUGCUUGUCAGCCGACAGCGCCAGCCGCUCCACCUCAUGGUCCUGUGUUAAAGAGCACAAGGAAAACGUUGCGCAAAGACAGUGUAUGCAUGGUCCUGUGUGUGUGUGUGUGUUUGUGUGUGUUUGUUUGUGUGUGUGUGUGUGUGUGAAAGUGAAGACGCGCGGUCGCACAUGUGAGUGUAUGGGUAAAAGAGCACGGCGGAAAUGUGCGUGUGUGUGCACAGUCUGGUGUGUGGAAGGGGUAGUAAAGUCCGCACAGCAUCAGGUGCGGAUUACUGUACGCAACAUACGCAAGUGAGCCGUGUCUGGUUAAGCCUGGGGUUUUCCCAUCCUGCUGCCACGUGGCCAUGUGCCGGCGCGGCCCCACUUACCCCGUUGUGUUGGCCCAGUAUGCCCAGCAGCCGAUUGGGCAGCACGCCCACCACCCGCACCGCACCGUCGCUGGACCCAGUCAACAGGGUGUCGUCGUCAAACGCCACCAGCGCCUGAACCGACUCGGGGUGGCCCGGGAACCUGGAGGCGUGGCGCGGCGGGGUGGGGAGGGCAGGGGGAAUGCGGGAGGUGAGCAGAUGCGACCGCACUCCGGCACGGUCGUCGGAAGAUCAGGUGGGCACUGGGCAACGCAACCGGGUUGUGGGCUGAUCCACAUAACUAUUUGUGCCGCAUAGGAGGGAAACACAUCGUGUGUAUACGCUUGUUCCUGUGUCCCUCAACAAGCAAACACACGCUCUCACCUGUCGCUGCAGUCGUUGAAGUAGCCCCACGAGUAGAGGUGCAGCACGCCGCUCUGUGUGCCCGCCACCACCUUCUUGCCGCCCUUGACGCAGCAGCAGCUCAGCAGCUCGUCGUCGUUGUCGUCCUCACUGCGGGCGCGAGCCUUGCUGCGGGGCGGCAGGGGGAGAGAGCGGGGGCACGCUCGCUGGUGUUUGUGUGGCGGAGAGGUAGGGUGGACAUAAGGAUGAGGCGGGAUUGAGCAGUGUGGGGCAGCACUGGCUCUAGGCAGCGCUUUCAGUGCCGUCACAGCACCGAACAGGCGCUGCCUCAGCCGCCGCCGCCACGCGCAUGACUCGACCUCCAGUGCGGCGCCGCCACACCGCUGUACCCCACUGCAGUCCCGCCGCCCCGCCCCACCGCUUGCGUAGGUCGUGCACUGACAACGUGGCGUCUCCGCUGGUGACCACCAGGCACUGGUCCUUGGCGUGCAGCGUCAUGUCAGUGAUGUAGUCCGUGUGCUGCGCAGGUGGGGGCACGUGUGUAUGUGUGUGUGUUGAAAAGAACAACAAAAUGAAGCCGCCCAGACGUGUGUGUGUAUGUGUGUGUGUGUGUGUGUGUGUGUGUGUGUGUGUGCAUAUGAGGGCGUGAGGGAUGCUGGCCAGGGCAGGUGUUUACCCUUGUGGGCAGCCCACCUCCUUGCGCCCAACGCCAUCGAUAUUCGGCACGCCUAACGCCGCCGAGCUCGGGCACGCAACCCCGCAUUGCCUAGCUCCCCACCCCACAACUACGCCCGAACACACGCCGCGCACAAACACACACACACACACACGCUCACCUGCGUGUACCGGUAGAUGGGCUUGGCUGCGCGGCUGUCCCACAGCAGCACCAGCCCCUCCUCGUCCCCGCUGGCGAACACGCUGGGCGCGCACUCCAGGCCAUACACGCGGCUGACCUGCUGGUCGUGCUCCGACCCAUACUCCUGCGGCGUGCGGGCCACGCAUGACCACAAUCACGAGGCCCGCGGCUCAGGUGCCCAGCUCGGUGACUCAUGUCCACAGCGACCCGCAGCAGCCCGCACUGACCCAGGGGCCUAGCUCGGGGCACGCUGCUGCGCCUGGGCGAGGUGGUGGUGUGCCGCGCGCCCCAUCGUCCGGACCACGUGUCCGCCCUCACAGCGCGCCGUCCAUGCCCGCCCGCCCGCCCCACACCACGACCAUGCCCACAACCCAGCCCCCAACCCCCCCGCCAACCAGCGCUCUUCGCACUCACGUGCACAAGCUUGCCCGUGCGCACGUCGUACGCCCUCACGGCCUUGUCCGAGUACCCCGCCAGCAGCCAGUCAUUGCCGCCCGGCAUGAAACACACGGCCCGGCAGGAGGGCGCCUCGUCCUCGUCAUCCUCCUCCCCGCCGCCCGCGUCCUCGCCCGCCCCGUGCUUUGCCUUCUUCUUCUUAGAGCUAGGGGCGGCGGAGCUGGCGGGCGCGUCUAUCGUGAGUGAGAGCGCGUAGCUAAGCUGGCUGCUGCUGCUGCUGCUGCUGCCGCCUGCGGCAGCUGUGGUGCCGUCAUCUGCGUUGUCGGCAGGCUGCGGGCAGGAGAAGGACACGAGCUGUACGGCGCCGCUGACCAGCCCGGCCGCCAGUAGGCCGGCGGAGGCGCUGACCGCAAUGUCCUGCAGCACGGAAAGUGGGAUAGCUAGCAUAAGCGGUAGACGGUGGUGAUGGUUAUGUGAGUGUAUAGGUGUCUGCCUUGGGGGUGGGGAUGUACGGUGUGCAACCGCUUAAGCAGUAUACUGUACAGCCGCCUCCCUCGGGCUGCACUGUGCAGCGCACCCACCAGUGGCUGUGCAACUAGGGGCACUGUGCAGCUUGGAGUGUUCAUGGCGCCGUCGCUACGAUGCGCGCAACGCAAGGAUGCGUGUUCGGCGGAGGUGCACACCACGCCCUAGUCCGCUCCUCGCGACGGCGGAGCCACCGACCCACGUCGCUAUUUAUGGUGGGUGGCUUGCGAAUGUAAGAACUUUGGUUAUGUCCUGUCACUAUGGCCUCCUGCGCUUGCCCCAAGUGGCGAACUGUUGAGAGAGGGGUUGUGUUCAACGAUUGGUCGCAAAGUCCUGGUAUGAUGGCGGCAAAUACUGUAAAAUUGUAAGUUAGUGCAAACUGAGGCGUCGACAUUUGUAGGCCGUGCUGUUAUGCAGGGGCUGCGAAAUGGGCGACGCCAUGCAGACACGCAGACUCCUGAGUCCGAGGAUGGUCAGCCGAAUUGCCCUUGCAAACUUAUGCUUGUGAAGACACGAAGAAAUCCUUAUUUGAAUGAAUUGUAGUUCCGCCUGGAGGUGUUGCAAAGCACAGGCACAAUGAAUUGAAGAGUAGGAAGCGCUGGGCGCAGGAUGAGCACCCAAAUCCUGUCUCAAAACCUUGAGACAGGUACGGGCUUAUUCGCGCGAACUGUGGCAUGGCUCCAGUCACGGAACCGGUGAGCGGCUGCUUGGUGCCACCACACACCGAGUCCUUGGCGGCCAGACAUCGUGGCCUCCCAGCGAGUUUGAGUUCGUUUGUGUAUUAUUCUGGUAUAUCUGAUGGCAUUCUUAGCGGCAGGCUUGAAGAACGACCUCUCACCUACCGCAGGCAACAUGCCCCGUUGCUCUCGCCCUCACCGCUGGCCGCUGCGAUGGCACCGACCACAUCACAGGUAAGUGUAGGCAAUGAUGAUUUACAUGGGCGCGCGUGGUCCGAGCGUAAAGCCAUUGCACCGUCACCGUUUAUGGCGCUCCGUGGCGACUGCCCUCCCUGCACGCAUUCACCUGUCCUUCCCCAUAUCCCCCAGGCUCGCGCGUCACAUGUACAGCUCAGGCCUCGGAGUUCUCGGUGGCGAACCCGUGUGGCGCCGCGGGCCUUCCUAGCACCGGCUUUGCCUACAGCCGACAACAAAGCUUCCGACCGAGCCAUUGCGGAGGUUGACGCAUUGAGCAAUACGGCCCCUGGCAGCCAUGCCCCCCUGCACCUCAACGGGCACAGAGAGCACAGCAGUACUGCGGAUGCACACAGCGACAUGCACAGUAGCCAUGUCAGCUUGAACGGCCACAGUAGCCCCAACGGCCACGGCGGCCUCAACGGCCACGGCGGCCUCAGCGGCCGCACCCUGCCGCUGCCGCCCCGCGCCCCGGACGCGCUAUUGGCGCCCGCCCCAUGGCGCGCACCUGCGCAAAGUAGCAACCGUGGCGGUGGUAAUAGCAGAAGUGGCACCCGCUCUGUCAUGCAGGGCGUGAAAGCCGAUAGCCAGGAGCAGCACCACCGGCAACUCCAGCACCACUCGCAGCAACGUGCGCGCCGUGCCAGCCCUGUGCCCUUGAACGGUCACAGCCUGCACGCACCCACUCCAGCCAGCAGCCACAGCUCACGCGGCGCAGGCGUGGCGCUCUCGGCGGCCAUCCGCGAGGCGGCCUCGUGGGACGAGCUGGCCGAUCUGUACGACAGCGCAAUGCAACAAGGCGGCGGCGGCGGCGGGUUCCGUUCAGGCCACGUGUCAGCGGCCCUGGCACGCCUGCCACACCUGCGAGGCGCGUGCUUGGCCUCGCCUGCAGCCGCCGCCGCCGUCGCCGUGGUCGCGGACGGCCACCAGCUGCCACUGCCGCUCGAUGGCGCGCGCAGGGUGGACGCUCACGUGGGUCCAGGAGCAGCCGCGAUCAACGGCACCACCACCAGUACCAGCUCCACCACCUCCACCACCACCAUCGCCACCAGGGCCAGUGACAGCGGCGUGCACGGCUCGGGCUGCAGCCGCCACGAGGCGCUGCUGGCGGCGCUGCUGGCCGACUUCAACGCGCACACGGCGGCGGGCGCCUAUGGCAGCCGGGAGCUGAGCAGCUGUGCCUGGGUACUGGGGCGGCUGGGGCGGCGCGAGCGGGCGGACCUGGUGGGCGAGCUGGUGGACCGCAUGCUGCCGGCACUGGGGGAGGAGGACGAGCAGGAGGAGCCCGGGCAAAGCAACGGGUCAAGGCGUAGCCGUGGCGAAGCAGGUGGUGGCCAAAGUCGAACUGGUGCAGUCAGCGAGGCACCGGAGGCCGGACCGGCGGCCGCACCGACAGUGCUGGACCUUUCGAACGCUGCACUGGGCAUGGCGCGUUUGGGCGUGACGCGGCCGGAGCUCUGGCAGCGGCUGGCGGCGGCGGCGGCGCCGCGGCUUCAGCACUUCGGCACCCAGGAGCUGUCCAACCUCGUUUGGAGCUUCGCCCAGGCACAUCGGGCGGCCUGCAGGCUCCUACCCGCAAGGCCGCCGCCGCCACAGCCAGCGUCGGAGGCAAGGCCACCACCAGCCCCGGACGCUCUGCACCCGGACUGGGCGCCCUGGCUGCGGCCGUUCGUGCAGGACGCCGCGGCGGACCGGGCGCGGCGCGUGCUGCGGCGCUGCACCGCGCAGGAGGCCGCUAACCUUGUGUGGUCGCUAGCAACGCUGGGGCACGCGGACGCACGCACGGUGAAGGUGGUGGCUGCCGAGGCAGCGACGCGCGCCGGCAGCCUGACGCCGCAGGGUGUCAGCAUGACGGCGUGGGCGCUAGCGACCAUGGUAGCCAACAUGCGCACCAGCAACAUGCGCGACGACGAGUGCAGCGCCGGCAUCGCCAGUGGCAGCAGCGAGGUUGUCGAUGGCAGCGAGCUCAGCAGCAUCGAUGACAACAAUGACACCGGCAGCAGCAGUGAUUGCGGGACCGCCGGGACCGCCGUCAGAGCACGCAAGCCAAGCCCAGCGGAGCAGGCGGCGGCUGCCACGGCAGAGGCAGCGAAGGCGGCUGUUGCGCUUGCAGCGGCGGCCAAGGGGCGCAUCUGGUGUUAUUCCGCACAGGGCCUCUCGAACCUGCUGUGGGCGCUACGCGGCCUGGGCAGCCCCGCGCGCAAGGCGCUGCUCACGGCGGCGGCCCGCGAGGCCGUGGUGCGCCUGCAAGACCAGCUGUCGCCCUUGGGCCUGGCGACCCUGCUGGGCGAGUGGGCGGCCGCGGGGCUGUACCACCCAGGCCUGUUUGCGGCGGUGGCGCCCGCGGCCCUAGAGCGGCUGUCCGGGUUCCGCCCGGGCACACUCGUGCGGCUGCUGGCAGCCUACGGCGCCGUGGGGUGCUGCGAGCGGCAGCUCUUCCUGGCGGCCGCAGACUUGCUGCUUGGCACCGGUACCAGCACCAGCAGUGGUAUCAGCGAGGGUGCAGAUGCCACAGGUGCGCGCGGCGCGGCGCAGCGGCGUCCGCUGGACGGCCUGAGUCGCGGCGAGUGCUUUCAGCUGGUGUGUGCGUACGGGCAGGUGGGAGUGCACGUGCCGCAGCUCAUUGACGCAGCCCUUGCGCGCAUGGUGGCGCCGGGGGCGGCAUCGCCGCCGGGAGCAGCAGAGCUGCAGCUGCACCUGGAGCUGCCGCCGCGGGCGGCAUGCCGGCUUGCAGCCGCGCUGGCGCUGCUGGGGCACCGGCCAGCGCAGCAGGCGCCGGGUUCAGGCGGUGGCGACGCGGUCGAUUCGCCCUGCAAUGGCGUUCCGUCGGUGCCAGCGCUGCGAGGUGUGAUGCUGGACCUGCGGCGGUUGCUGCUGCCGGCUCUGCCCUCACUGGAGCCGGUGGCGGCGGUGACGGCCGUGUGGGCGCUAAUGCGGCUUGACCUGGCGGGCCCGGCGGCAGCGGUGCGCCUCGGCGAGCUGUUGGUGCGCCGCUGCGGCUCCGCGUCGUCAUUCGCAGCAGCGUCAGCGGCCUCGGGUGGCGGCCAUGCUGGUGCUGGCGGCGCCGCACGCGGCGCGCUUGCCGCUGCUGUUGCCAACGUAACUCGGACGGCAGCAACAGUUGGCGAUGGGCGCAUGCUGGCGAGGCUGCUUUGGGUGCUCGGGCGCGGCGCGGCUGCGGCGCUGCAGCAACAGAAGGACCUACAGCGCCAGCAGCAGGUGGUGGUCGCAGGGUCGGCACCGGAGGCAAGCAGCGCCCUACAGGCCGCAGCAGCGGCUCGGGAGCUGAGCGCAGCGCUGCUCGCAGCUGUUAUGGUGCUGGUAGAGGAACGGCCAGAGGCGUUGGCGCGAACGCCGGAGGCGCUCGCCGCGGCAGCAGCCGCUCUGAGUGAGGUGCUGGCGACGGCGGCGCCGCGGGCUGCACAGCCGCCUGCUCGUGGCAGGGGCCGCGGCAGCGCGACCGCCGCUCCCACCUGCAGUGUGCCGGACGUUGAGCUGCGCGAGGCACUGGUGGAGGUGUGCGAGCAGGCAUUCCGCCGCGCCAGUGCCGCCAGCGCUGCUCCUGCAGGUGAGCGUGCGGCAGGACGGCGUGGCCCCAAGCGCCGGCACUCGCCGCAAGGCCAGCAGGCGCAGGCACAGGCGCAGCUGCAGAUGCUGUCCGACUGCCAGCUGGCCGAGGUAGUCCGCGCGCUGUGUGUCUCGGGCGUGGCGGAGCAGGAGCCGGUGCUGCGGCAGGCGGCAGCGCGGGCGGUGGCGCGCCGUCUGGUGGCGCUGGUGGAGGCAGCUGCGGCUGGCGGCACCGCUGCCGCCAGCGCACCGCCAGCGGCGCUGUCGGACGAGCAGGCCGGCGAUCUGGCGGCGCUGCUGGUCGCCGCCGCCCGCCUGCAGCUAUUUGGCCAGCCCGCGGCGCUGCCUGUCCUACGCGCGGCGGCGCAGAUGCUGGCUGCUGCGGGCAGGGCGGCUGCCCCGCGGCCUGUCCUCAGCGUGGUGCAGCUUCCGCAGCUCCUUGCCCUCUUGCGCUGUGACCCAGCCGUGGCCACCGCCACAUGCGGCGGCUGCGCACCCGAGGCGCCCGCGGUGCAGGCGGCCCUGUACACGUUCGUGCUGCGGCAGGCGAUGCCGUUGCUGCCCUGGCUACCGGAUGCAGCCGCGGCGCAGGCCCUGGCGGACGCCCGGCGGCUGCCUCCGUCGCUGGGCUGUGGCGGCCGCUCAGUCCCAAGUACGGAGGGUCACCAGGUGCGGGCAGUGCACACGGCAGCUGCCACUGCGCUGGUGUGGCAGCAGGGUGGUGGCGGCAGCUCAGAUGCCGGUCACGGCAGCGGUGGAGGCGAGGGCCCUGUGCACACAGCCGGGACCACUGCCACUAGCCAGCCGCUGAGUGGUGCACCGGACGCUGCGGGCGGGCGGCAGUGCACGCAUGUGCGGCAUGGGCGGGUGCGCGGCGGCCCCGGACUGCGUCCCGAGCCCGGUGCCGAGGUGGCUGUGCUGCCGGGCGUAGAGCUGCAUGUGCGGUCUGGUGGUGGUCCGCGUGUUGCUGGCGACCCAGCCGGCACCGUCAUCCUGGUGCGGCCGGACGGCGCGCAUGGGCGUGUAGGCGCGGCUCCGGGCGGGCGCCAGCGCAGCCACCUUGCAGCCUGAGCCGGCCGGCCGGCCAGCCGGAGGAGUCAGGGUUGGCGAUCUCGGAGCAUGGCGGAUAAAAGGCAGCUGCUGUUUGCGCGCAUGUAUAUGUCAGAGAAAUCGUGUAUGCUUAGCGAUGCGCUUCGACUAGGGUCAAACUUUAGCUUACAGGGCUGGGAGUACGGUAUGGGCAGAACGUGUGAGCCAGGGCAUAGACAGCAGUCCCGCACACAUGGAGGUCGAGGACAUACCGUAGGGUGUGAGUGGGGCUCUAUAUGAACUGUACGGCAUGCGGUAGAAGUGCGAUGAAGACGGGUUACGUGCAUCCUUGGAUGCCCAGUGGACUGCCGGAGCCUUGGCAGUAGUCAAUAGCCCCGACGCUAGGUGUAGAUACACGAAUUGGACAAAAGUUUGAGCCUUCCUUGGGAGUUGGGACACAGGCAGCACGGGUGUUCACAGCAUCCUUGCCCGCGGACUGGCAGCUCCGCUGAUGGCUACGUGGGGCCUCUUGCCGAAUCCGAUGUAGCAACCAGAUGCAGGACUCCUUGCCUUACGCCGUGUCAGAACACCGAAAUGCACCGACACAACUUACGGCUCCGCGGGUGCGUCUUUGCCCCCACAGUGGGCCAUCCGUGGCUCUCGCGGAAGUCGGGCAGGCUCUUCGCUAGCUCUUAAGCCCUCUUACACCGUCCUGAGUGGACGCCGAGGCAACGCGACCACUACACAAACCAGCUACAUAAAAGACUGCAUUAAGGUAUUCCGUCAACUGGAUUCCAAAUCCUGCCGCCGAUCCCUCCAUGUACUUCACUUCCAGCCACAACCGUACAGUGGAGCACAUUUGAUGUGAAUCGUUCACCUGGCGUUCAAGACUCCAUCCAGCUGCUCUAGGUGUGGGAGUUACCAACAGUGCAUUAGGGUGCAUGUCAUUAGUACCAGCUGCAGUCUCGCACGCGCAUCCAAUUACCUUGCAGCAUGUUCUGCGAUUGACGCUACCUUGCAUGCCGCAGCUAUACUGUGCUAUUUGCUACCCACCGCAACCGCAAUCAGCAGGCGCAUAUUGAUACAUGGAUCACGGACUCAGCCCCACACUUGCAACAAUCUCAGAGGCCGCUUCGACGGUCUGUCCCUCGUUGCAGGUACACAAGUACCGUAUGUUCCUUACGCGAACGCACUUCACAUUCAUUGCUUGAGCAGUACCGCCCUCUACAUCAGCUGGUGGGACAGCGCGUUGUUGUUCUCUUGCCGUUGCGCUGCAGACCCGCAUUGCAGCAAGUUCUGAUAGCAGUACCGAUUUCUCGACUGAAGUCGCUCGCCACACCUCCUCCCAACGCUCGGCGUCCGACCCGGAAAGCAUCGCCGCAAGCUACCACACCACAGAAACACAACGACACAAACCCGCCCACACAAUGCAUAGUAGUCCUCGGUGCUCCUGACUGCUUGACGCACACGCACUCGCACCGGAGCAUGCACCGAAGAAUGCACCUCCAAAGCUCACAUCAUCGCGCACAUGCGGACGCCGGUUCUACCGCCACGACAGAUCGCUAUGUGUAUGUAUAGGAACGACGGACGCCCUCCGCCCCCUCAUAGGUAGUGGAAGUACCCCGGGCCUAAUCACAGGAAAAUGCAGGCCAGCAGGUGCCUUGAUGGUACGACGUGCAGGUAGCGCCCGGGCACCACGUCACGACACGGGCACACACGCACAUUCAACCCGUGCACGCAGCACAUCUCAAGGACACCUCCACACGUCACCUGCCCUUGUGCUUACCUACCACACCGCUCUCGGACAAAAACGCAGUCCAAGACUGCAACCCAACACCACCAAAACACCCGCGCGCGCAAUUCAUGGUGAUGCUGCCGCCGCAUAACAAUUUCGCGCUCCACCCAACCCAGCCCACAAGGUUUAGCUGCGCCAACCCCGCCGCUGCUCUGACCGCUCCUGUUGCCGCCCGCCUCCUUCGCUAGGCCGCUACCCGCGCCAGUAUCGCUUAGGCGCACGGGCCCGCGACGCCCAGGCGGGCCGCAUCCGCCGCCGGCCACGCCUCCCGCCACUAGGCAUGGAACGAACUUACGCCGACCCAGCCCGCCGCCGCGGCAGAGCUCGCGAGGGCCUGCGCGCUCGCCACCUCCUGCAGCUUGUCCACGAUGCGGCGGAAGGAGGGCCGCUGCUUGGGGUUGCCGGCCCAGCACCGGCUGGCCAUUGACAUGUACCAGCCCGGCACGCCGUCGGGCCAGGGCGGCCGCACGCCGUCGGCGAUCACGGUCUGCAGCAGCUUGAUGGGCGUGCCGGUCAGGUUGGAGAAGGCCACGCCGCCCGUGUACAGCUCCCACCUGGGCGGACGGGGGUUCCAGGCAUGAGUAGUCAGAAUAAGGCGAGGUUGAAGGUGCGGUCGGGAGUCAGCGGGUAGGGCGUGCAUCGGAGGCUGGCGAGGCCCAAGGGUUCGGCGGUGUCAGGUCCCGCGGUGCAGCGUCACUUGACAAACAACACUGCGCAAGGUAGCUAAAGACACCCGACACUUCUGAUCUACGGCAAGACAGACGUAGCCGUUGCUCGCUGCGCAGCUCGCUAAUUGCCGUCCCCAAGCACCACCUGCACCACCACUGCCGCCACCUCAAACCCCACGCUCAACCUCGCACUCACAUGAGCAGUCCGAACAUGUACACGUCGGCGCUGCGGCCGAAGCGUUCGCCGCGGUGUACCUCGGGCGGCAGGAAGGGCAGCAGCGUGGAGCGGUUGCGCUGCAGCAGCUUGCGAACCGACUGCGCGCCCUUGCUGAAGCCCACCACAGUCAUGCCUGCAGCCGCAACGGCGGGUUGUCGGGUAAGGAGAAGGAGCGCACCAGGCACAGCCGCUUAGGGGGUAGCCGUCCAUGAAAAGGACGGCAGGCUAAUCACGAGGGACAAGAAUGUGAAGGAGGACGAGGGGGCAUGCAGCUGCGGCUCAUGCGCGGGAGCCCUCAGCCUGUGUGCAUCCGCAUAGGCUACAACCCGCCACCGCUACUGCCACGAAGUAACACAGCACCAGUACCUGCGACGACCCCACUCACGGCAGCUACCUUCCCCGCACGCACGGUCCCGCCCGCCCGCCCGCCCACGCGCACACCUGCGUCUUUGAUCUUGACGAUCACCUCCGGGCCUAUGGACCGCCCCUGCAUCGGCCGCUCGGCCGUGUAGCGCUCCGUCUGCACCACCGACAUGUUGCCGCCGCGACCGCUGGAGUACGACACACGCGCGCCCGCGCGCCGCCCGUUGCCGCUGUUGCCGCUCGGGAUCAAGUUGGCGCCGCUGACGUGCGUGCGCGGCGUCGGCGGCGUCACGCGCGGCGUGCCGCCGUCGCCGCCGUGGCCUGUUCCUACCCCGCCGCCGCCGCCGCCGAACAUGCCGGCGGCGCUGCCUGGCGGCAGCGCCAGCAGCACGUUCUCCGGCCGCAGCUCGCCGUGCGCCAUGCCGGCGGCGUGUAGCGCCGCCAUGCCCGCCGCCACCUGCUGCAGGAUGGACAGCAGCACGGACAUGUGCGGCGUGCUGCCACCGCCACCGCCGCCGCCGCCGCCACCGCUGAUCCCGACCAGCGCAUGGUGGCCGCUGCCGCCGCCGCUGUUGUUGUUGGAGGCCAGGGUGGUGAUGGUGGUGGUGCCAAAGGCGGGCGCGGUGUCGGUGUUGCUGACCGGAAAGCCGCUGCCCGCCACCAGCGCCGCAUGCGGCACGGCGUGGCCCGCGGCGCUGAAGGGCCCGGUGCCGGGCCCGGCGUCAUCGCGCGACACGCGCGUUUCCGGCAGCGUCGGCAGGAAGCCGUGUGGCUGCAGGAAGCCGGCGGCGGAGGCGUGGUGCGGCGACACCAGCGACGGCACGCCGCCGCCGCCGCCGCCGCUGGGCGGCGGCGGCCCGGUGCUGCCCAGCCCGCCGGAGGCGGCGGCGCCCGGCGCGCCCAAGCCCGCGCCCAGGAAGUAGGGCUGUGGGCCACUGGCGGCGGGGGUGGUGGGGUAGCCCGCCUCGCUGAGCGCCGAAGCGCCGUACGGCGGCCCGCCCAGGGAGUCGGCGGUGCUGACGCCGCCGCCGCCGCCGUAGCCCAUGACGGUGCUGUUGGUGCCGUCCUGCGGCGCGGAGGUGGCGGCGGCGUUCAGCAGCAGCAUGCGCCGCUGCAGCGCCUCGCGCAGGCUCAGCGAGGGGAACAGCUCCAGCAUCAGCGCCAGGCCGCGCUUAAACUUCUCGCGCCGCGGCAGCACCGCCGUCAAGUACACGCCGCCGGCCGGCAGGUCUGCGCCCGCCGCGCCCGCCAGCAGGUCCGCCAGCGCGUGCGCCUGCACGCUCAGGCCGCCGCCGGCGCCGCCGCUGCCGUACAGGUGCGGCUGCGCCGCCGCCAGGUGCAGGGCCCGGCCGCCGGCGCCCAGGGAGCCGCCGGCGGCGAAGGCGGCGGCGGCUCCACCGCCGCCGUGGUGGGUGUUGAAGCUGCCGCUGGGGAUGGGCGGUCCGGAGCCGUGACGGCCUGCGGCGCCUGCGGCGCCCUUGGCGCUGCCUGCCACUACCUCGUAGACGAGCGGGUACACCAUGAGCACCCGCAGGAUGUUGGGGUGCCGCACCGUGCUGAGCAGCUGCUGCGCGGCGAUGGUCAUGGCCUCAGACUCCAGGUGCCCUGCGGCACGCACGACAUGGCAAGACGCGGUGGGCCCCGGGGUAAGUCGGUAUUAUUACAUGAUUACAUUACCGAUUCCGGCCUCAGCGCACUGCGCCCCGGCCCCAUCCUGCCUCCCCCUCCCCAUCCGGCCCCUGCCCCCCUCCGCCCCCCCGGACCGCCCUCACCCGGCCGGCCGUCCAUGGACAUGUGGCUGCGCAUCAUCUUGACCGCCACCGCCCGGCCGCGGUAGGCCGCCAGGUACACCGACACGUUGCGGGUGCGGUUCAUGUCGUACAGGAUGUCCACCAGCUCCGGCCAGCCCUGCGCGCACGCAUGCGUACAGAGGAGGUUGUGUUGCCACCGUGGCACCUCGGCACCGCUCCCAUGCAAAUGAAGCAGUAAGAAGCAGAGCAACGCGGAGGGCAGGAGAGACGAGGUGGGGUUGAUUCACUGCAUCGCAACGCAGCGGGGCCGAACUUUAAAAGGACGCACGACGGCGGCGGCCGCGGCGUGUGCCCUCCCGCCCGAACGCCCACACCCAGACGACGCCUCCACGCGACCAAUCACCAACGAACCCAGAACCCAAAGAAACAACAUAGCCCUGACACCCCUCGCACCUGCAGCUCCCGGCUGCUGCCUGUGAGGUCCCCGUCCUCCCCAAGUUCGCCUCCCUCCAUGGGCGGCGCCGAGCCGUGGCCGGGCCCCGGGGUGUCCGCUGACACCCCCGACGCGCCGCUAGUCCCCGCCAACGCCGCCGCCGCCUCCGAAGCGAUGCUGGACGGCAACGUGUCUAGCACGCGGACGCGGACCUUGGCGCUGCCGUGCGCGGUGCGGGCGCCCGGCCCGUCCUGAGACCCCAACACGUGCGAGCCGCCGCCGCUGAGGCUGGCAGUCAGUGCGCUCAUGGGGUGCUCCAGGCCCGGCGACAGCUCCGGAAUCACCGCCGCCGCCACGCGCAGCCGCGGCGGGCUGGACUUGCGGCCGUCAUCGGGUUGCGCCGCCGCCGCAGCCGCCGCUGCCGCAGCGCUUAAAGCCACCUCCUGCAGCGUACCCACCACGCCGCCGCCGCCCGACCCGCUCGGCGCGGGCAUCUGCAGCGACAGCUCAAUGUUCUCCGUCGUCAGCAUGUCUGCGGCCGCCUGCGCCGAAGCCGCAUUCGCCUGGGCCAACCGCAGCGCGCCCGAGCCUGACCCUCGCCCGCCGGCCGCCAGCGCCGCCGCCGAGCCGAACGGCGACGCCGACGCCAGCACCCGCGGCAUGGCUACAUCUGGCAACAGCGGCAUCCCGCCGCCGUCGAUGCCGGGCGGGAGCGUGAAGCUGAGGCUGCCCGGCGUGGGGCUAAGUGCGUCCCGGCCGGGGCCAGUCGACGUGGGCGACGAAACCAUGGGCACCGCCGCCGCGGCGCCCUCCAUGCCGUCCAGCAGCGAGGCCUGUGUGGCCUGGCUGACCUCGCCGUCCGGCCCCACCGGCGGCUGGGCUGCGUCCUGGGGCGGCUCCGCCUGAGGCCGCUGCCCCUGGCCCUGCGGCGACUGGCCUGCGUCCGACUGGCCAGGGUCCGACAGGUCCGGCUGCGCCGUCAGUGGAAAGGAGCCGGGGUCCGGCUGCGUUGCUGGCGCCGCGGGCUCCUCGCCAGAGGACCGCUGCUGUGCGGCCGGGUCCUGCGACAGCGUCGCCGAGGUGGGCGCCUGCCCCAGCGACGACUGCUGCUCGUCCGAGCUCGCCGCGAAGCCGCCGCCACUGCUUGCUGCGUGCUCCGGCGGGAUGCGGUGCCGGCCCUUGCCUCCUGGCGGCGUCCCGGCUGACGAGGGCCCGCUGGUGGACCCCCGCGCCGACAGCACCAUCGCGUUCACGGCGGCAGUGGCGCCAGCCACCGUGAGCGAGGGUGUGUUGCCGGUGGAGGCGGCCGGCGGUGGCGGCGGCACGCCCCCUGAUAUCGGCGCCAGCACUGCCGCCGCGCCGGCAACCGCGGCCGCGCUCAGCGGCGGCUCGUCGGACGCGGGCAUCAUAAGCCCGGCAUACGCGAGCGCCUCUGCCGCCGCCGCCAGCGCCUCCGCUGCGUGCUGAUUGCCCGCGGCGGUGGUCCCCCCGGGGUCCAUGCUGCGCCCUGCGAUCUCGAAGGACGGUCUCAGCGAGGAGGCAUUGGAGCACAGGCUGUUGCCGGUGAUGGUGCGCCGUACGCGGCCGCGCUGCUCCACCGGCCGCGGCGCCUGCUGCGGGUCCUCUGACAGCACCGCAUACCUGCGCGCGUUCCGUGGUACGGAGAGUGAGCGCGAGGCUGCAGUGCGAGGCUGCAGCCGGCUGUGCUUUACUAUGCGGUUGACUCCGCUUCGUGCGGCCGUUCCGACCUACUUGCUUGCAAUCGCAGUCAGCUGCAAAUUAUGACCUUUGAUAUUCUAUGACCUCUCCGCCGCCAACCAAUCCUUACCAGCAGCCGGCGAGCCCCGACUGUCAUACGACAUCUAAUCCUGCCCCCGCGCCCACAUACGGAACAACACAAAGGAGCCCGUGCACGCACCAUUCGUGCCGCAGCUUGCCCACCAGCUGCCCGAACACCGCCCGCGACAGCAUGGCUGCCAGGUCCGCCCAGGCGGCGCGGCUGAAGGACAGGUUGAACUCGUUCCUGCAGCACACACGUGGCGAGCAGGCACACGACCACCACAGGCACAUGAGGAACCAGGUCACCAGCCGGCGUGCAGACCACGUACGGUAGCGGCCAGGCCAUGCGCCCCAGUCGGGCCAAGCCCCAAGCAGCCCCCCCCCCUGUACCGCACCCCUUGCACACGCCCCCCGACGGCCGCCCCACGCACCGUGCGAACACGUACACGCAUCCCAGCGAGCGGCAGCGGUGCACCAGCGGCAGAAUGACCAGUGUGCCGGCGGUGGCGGGCCGGCUGUUGUUAAGCGCCAGGUCUCGCGCCACCAUGCGGCCGCCGCCAAAGUACUGCAGCGCGUCCUUGAUGAUCAUGAUGUCGCCAGCCUGGCACCGUGGCAAACCCAGACACGAAGACAAAACGCGUAAGCACGAGAACACGAGCGCGCUGCUUCUGAUUUUCCCCCCUCUGAAGCCCCAAAACGCGCCGUGACAGCGUUGCGUCUGUAGCGCGGCCGUGUGCCCCUGCCUAGGCCCGACUGCAUGGCCACCCUAACCCCAGCGUAUGAAUCUCCUUCGCCCGCAGUCCCUUUCCCCUGUGCCCACUUCCCCAUGGCCCACCUCCAGCACGCUCAUCAGCAGUGUGCUGUCCGUGCCUAUCUUGAUGCACUCCACCGGCACGUGCUCCACUGGCGGCGCGGCGUUGCGGCCGCCGCCGCGCGCGCCGCCGCUGCGGAGCAUGGCCCUGACGCUGCCCUGCGCCGACAGCGCCUGGCCCCGCUGGCCGCUGUUGCUGCUGCUGUCGCCCGACACCAUGCCGUCCUCGCCGUCCAUCGCCGACCCCAGGACCAUGCAGUCCAUGGUGUCGUACCCCAUCGGCGAGCUGCCGUUGCCGUUGCCGCUAUUCCGCCCCACCACUAUCCCCGUGCCGGCGCCACCGCCCCCGCCCCCGCCUACAGCACCAUUGGCUGCAGCGGUGCCUCGACCCCCACCUCCGCCUCCUCCUGCCCCGCCCGCGGGCACGAGCACCAGGCCACCCAUGGAGGAGCUCGAGCUACUGGCCGCCGACGGCUGCACGCCCAUAGGCGACGCCUGAGAGCCGCCGCCCAUCACGAUGCCGCCCAUCCCUAGAGCCAGCACGCCAGGGCCCCCACCUCCACCUCCGCCUGUCCCGUAGCCGCCGUAGCCGCCGUACCCGCCGUACCCGCCAGCACUGCCCGCCGCGCCCACGCCGCUCCAGGGUGGCAGGCCCAGCCGCCCUGACACCUGCAGCAGCGGCGCCGCGUACACGACCGCGUGCUGCAGGCGGCUGGACACCAGCGCCAGCCGCACCUCGGGCAGCGCCGUCCCGGGGCCCGCCGCGCCGUCGGCCAGGAACACAGGCAUGUCAUAGGCAAACGCCCGCGCCAGCCCGUCCAGGUCCGUGGCGCCCAGCAGCCGCGAGUAAAAGGAGGCGCGCGCGGUGGCCCGCGUGGUGGUGAUGGCGCCCGCCGCCCAGCCUGUGAUGAGCUUGGUGGAUGCGUGCCAGAACUGCUUGGUCCAGUCGAUGGGCUCCACACUGCCCAGCGACAGGCAGCCCACCACCGUGUCGCUGCCGUUGGUGGCGGUGACGGGUAGGCAGGCGAAGGCGCGCAGGCCCUUCUCCCGGCACAGCAGCUGCCAGUCCAGGGGCCAGGCUGCGAAGGGCGGCGUCAUCUCCGUCGCCUGCGAGGUGCUGUUGCUGACGUCGCGCGACAACAGCGAGGGGCCGCGGCUGGUGCCGCCGGUGAUCGUGGCCGUGCCCGUCAUACCGUCCAUCGACACGUUGCCCGCCGAGCCGGUGGUGGCGCCGGGCAAGGCGCCGGCCCCGUCGUGCGCCUGGUGCUGGUGCGGAUGCGGCUGCGACAACGACUGCUGCAAGCCCCGUUGACCUACGGCAGCAGCCACGAACUGCGCGCCCGGGUUGAUGUCCAUGCUGGGCGGGGGCAUGGGCAAGUUGCCAGGGCUUGCGGGCGUGGGCCGGCCCCACGGCGGCGGCACGCCGCCUGGCUGCGCCGCCGGUGAGGCCGCCAUCGCCACAACACCCGGGUCACUGAGGUACAGUGGCUGGCCCGAGCAUGCGGCCGUCUCCACGCUGGUGUCGCUGCCGCGCAGCACGUGCGGGUCCGACAUGCCCACCUGCAAGGGGCGAGGGGCGCAGCCAUAGAGCGUGAGACUAGGGGCAGCAGCCUUGCAAAGGGCCAUGCAGCGGGCACAUCGCGGGAUGACAAUCCACUAACGCGCAACGCCCCAACACACACACACACACACACACACACACACACACACACACACACACACACACACACACACACACACCUCCACCGUCGUCGCUGCUGCCAGGCUGUUGGUGGAGCUAGUGCGGGAGGGCGGCCCGCGCCCCCGGUCGCCGCCACCAACCCCCAGCCCAGGGCCCUGAUUGAGGAACUGCACGCCGCUGUUGGUGCGGCAGGAGGAGAAGGACGCUCCCGUCGUGAGUUUAUUAUACUCCAAGUGAUACGCCGCGCCUGUGGCACAUAGUAUACGGUACAUCAGCCGGGAUGAUGUGCCUGACACACUUAUGCCAGGCUCUGAAUGCGUGGUGACUGGCGGCCGAAGUUGAAGGACCUGGUCCCGAAUGCCAAGCCUCCGCCACCAGCCCUGCACACCCUGAGCCCCACAUAAUAAUCUACAACCCGCAUGAUACUCACCCAGAUGCUGGAAGACCUCCCCAUCAGAGGACAGCGCCGUGAGGCAGGCCCACGAGACUGAGAGCCGCUGGCAUAGCAACGCCAUGAUGCGGCUGACCUGCAGGGCCCCAACCCCGGCCGGCCGCAGGUGCAGGUGUAUAUAUCGUGAACUCCAGAAGAAUCAACCAGGCAGGCAGUAAGGACUCUCUCCCUUCGUGUCAAACGUGUGAUGGUGGGGUGUCGCAGCACAAAAGCUGCCCGCCGGGACACCCGCCCAGGGCGUUCCAGUACCAUACACGCCACCCCCCAGACGGUUUGCAGCUCGUUGAACACGGUGGCCGCCUUCAACACACGUGCCGUGCCGCUAAGCCAGUCAGGAUUAUGCGCGAGGGCGCUUGCAUAAACCGCGGCCGUGCCUGAUGGAGUGCUACUCAGUCUCACGCUACCAGCGCACCUGCAUGCGCUCUGACGUAUGUCCAAGCAGCUCCUGGAGCAAUGCGACAACGCGCAUAACGCCAUCCUGCGCCGCUGGCAGCGAAACGUUUUGUUGCCGAUGCCCAAAUUGCUGCCGCUGGCCCUCAGCGUAAGCUUCUGAUGCAUUUUGCUGUUUUACUGCUUCUUCCUGCGAAAGCGCUGUGCCGCUCGGCACGGUCGACCCAGCCGGAGCAGCCCCGUCACCCGGCUUCGGUCGUGCCGAGCCCGCAGCUGUGGAAUGUCCAUCCACAGCCUGAGACUUGAAGCAGCAGAACAUUUGGCCUGCUGAAGCCUACGUAGGUCCCCUCAGAGCAUCUACCCCGGCGUAAGCGCUGGCGCUUGACCAUGGGGAUUCGCUAGCACAAUGUAAUAAUAUCUCCAUGCUAACAAUACUUGGAACAAGGCAUCGGUCCGCUGAGAGGUUUGCAAAAUCGGACGCAGGCUAAAACCCGUAAGCGUGAAGCUAUAGUGUCAUAUUACAGUGUAAAAGCGUCAGUUUUGCAGGUGUCCAACACCCCGUCCGAUACACCGCUAAGGCGAAGGGGGGGCACACCCUGCUCAUCUCAAGCGCCUCCCUCCAUCCACUCCAGGUGACCCGCACGGUCCCGCUGGAUAUGCUAUGCGAUCUGCGAGCCCGUGUUUCGAGGCGUUACCGUGGCCCAGUAUGGCCGAUGGUUGCAGACAACCCCCCUCCCCCAAAUUCGCUAUGGGCCAACAGCUUCAAAUGUUCAACCCCGGCACGAACCCGACACAUCAGGCCUGUCACAGCCACCCACGCGGUGCUGUGCACGGGUGCGUUGGCAUGCCCAUGCCUCACAUGCAAUACUUGACCCUCUGAUGCGCAUAGAUAGCCAGCUUACCCGCUACCACGCCGCUGUCUCGCUGUCCAUUGGCUUCCUCGCCAAGGGCCAACAACGAACCCCGGAAAAUGCCCAAGGUGUCAUCCCAGAUUCUAGUUGAUAACCGGCACCCCCAACCACGCAGGGGGACGGCCUUGCAGGCUGACCGCGAUGAGGCCCCAGCCCCGGCGUUACCUUCGAGGCGGUCCUGCAGCAGGCGCUGUGGAAUGCGUGUGUUCAGUACGCGGUGUGCUGUCGUGGCACUGGGCGUGCUCUGAUCCUGAGGUCCCACCGUGGUGACGUCUGCGCCUGGGAGCGGGACUGGGUGUGCGAUGGGACAGGGUUUAGGCAGGUUGGCGAGGUCCCGUAGGGUGUGGGACUGGGUGGCGGACGGUGGCCCUCCCGUGUGCCCACGGGUCCUUGUGCCGCAGCUGCUAAAGGUCGCGGCGCGCGCGGACGCGGAGUUGCUGCGGGCGCUCUGGGAGCGGCCCUUCUAGUGUGCUGACCCGCUUUGGCGGCGUGUGUUGGUGCGUGCGUGCCUGGGUUUGGUCGUGCGCCGGCGGUGCUUCCCGUGCGGUAGCCGGUCUUAUUUGUUGUCGAGUCUAUGCGCGCGGCCGCUUAGUCCGGUGCGCGGGUGUAGCGGUCGGUAAGCUGCUGCCUGUGUGCCCUGGCUUGCGUGGGGCCCGUGACCCGGUUGGCUGCGAGUUGGUGCGUGUGUGCCUGCGCGUUGCUUGUGCGCGUGCGGUGGUUCCCGUGCGGUCGCUGGUCUGCUUUGUUGCUGGGUAAGUGCGCGCGGCCGCUUGGAUCGGCGGGCGUGCAUGGCGGUCGGGUUGCAGCUACCUCUGUUCCCUGGCCUGCAUGGGGCCCGGGGCCCGGUUUGCGGUGUGUUGGUGCGGCGCUCUGUUGUGUACCGUAUGCGCCUGCGGUAGUUCCCGUGCGCGCGGGGUUUUUGCGCUUGGGUGCUGGGGUUCCGUGUUUCUCCUUUCUUGUAUUUUUAAUGGUUAUUUCGCCUUUUUUUGGGUCUGGAGGGGUACCCUUGGGAUUCGGUUGCUGGUGCGGGGGUCCCUGGCGUUCUGCUUGCUCACAUUGCAGGUUGCGUGCCAGUGUGGUGCUGUGCCUUUCCCCUUCCUUCUCCUUUGUAACCACUCAGAAGAAGGUAACUCUUUGUAACGUGUUGAUGCCUGUCGCGGUCAUGGCGUGGAUGCUGCUGGACAAGAUGUUGAUGCCUCUCUCUACCUCUUGUCACACGAUCCUAUGUGCUGACGCUUUCCCCGCGUGCCCCGUUGGUUCUAGCUCUUCCGCCUUGCAGUCUGAUUAGCGUUUACAGAGUCAUAGACCAACGGCAAUAACAUCAGCAGACAACUGUACCAUUCUGUUUGGGUGAAUCGUAUUAUCUCACCCGCACGCCUGUCUGCGUGUCUGUGCAGCAAGAGACAGCGCACCACUCAGCUCAAGUCAAGACAGGCUUGCUUGAGCCUUCGGAACGCACUACGGAUGCCGGAAUGGACCCGCGCAUACUCGCGCACAGUCACCGGCACCUGCACAGGUGCUCUAUAAACGAAGAUAUGCUCGCUUAGUAGGCCACUGGGCGACCGAUUCCCACACAGCUGAUGUGACUGCCUACCCAUAACUUGACACGUGGUUACGGCACGGCAGCAAAACCCUGGCACUGACACGCGCCCUGUCUGGUCACUUGCCAACGCGUGACACUCUGAUCCGGGCCUGACACGCGGUCAGGUACGGCCGCCCCAGCCUGCCGGUCUUCCACCAGAAUGUUAUCGACGAUGCUAUAAGGAAACAGAAUGCGUACUGGCGGCACUCGCACAUCCCCACGGGCACCCCUGGUGUGCGCGUGCGUGUGCGUGCGUUUGCGUGCUCGUGGGUCCGUGCGUGUGCGUGUGUGUUGGUCCCAUCGGCGCACGGCCUGUGCUGAUGACGGGGUUCCGCCAUGGCGAUGCCCGGUUCUGAACAUGGCCAACCCGCCUUCGCAUCGCCCCCAUCGCAUUCACGCAUCCAUGCCCCAGUGGGCGCGCACUCAUGCGUGUGCGCGUCCUCGCCGGCAGGGUAGCGAGGGAGCCGUUCGGCGGCCCGCGCCCUGCUCGCACCCACCCACCCAUCCCGCCGCUUCGUCUCCCCGCCCAUGCCGCGGCCGCCCCGUCUCACGCCGAGCCCAUGCACUCUUGCCACUUAACACUGCCGCCCUCCCUCCUUUCUCCCUCUUUCUUCCUUUGUCAAGCCGCGCGCGGGAUCCCAUAGCCUUGUACUGCCCUGCUACGCUACUUCCACGACUUCUACUCGUACUCGCCGCCUUGCCAUCCCCCACAUGUCCGUCGCGCCCGGCUGCUGGACGCUUCUACCUGGCGCUUCCUCGUUCACAUCCAGGUGAGUAUGUUAGUAUAACCUUGCAACUAGUUGGGCGACGGGGUCCGCGCGCGGCUCGCACUGUUGACAUGACUUCGGAGCUGCUCUGGACUGCUCCUUCCACCUGCCGCUACACUGCCCAAGCCCGCCCGACUACAUACGGUGAUGUACAACGACGCGCUUUUGCAGCUGCAGGUCGCCUUGCCGCGCGACUGUUUCCUUACGGGAUUGGUUCAACGUUAACCCCCACGGGCACCCCUGGUGAUGGCAGGGUGUCUGCUUGCCUGGCGAUGGAGGUGGAGGGCCAGGGGCACCCUGUGGAGGGCCCGGUGGCGGGGGCACAUGCCUCAGCAGGCGGCGCGCAGACCUUGGUAACUGGGUCAAAGCCGCGCGGACUGCGUGGCGGCAUGCAUGUGAUUGGGGUAGCGGGGGGGGCGAGUCCCCCUUCGCACGUCUCCGCCCCAGCUCCGCCACCCGGCCACCGGUCACCGGUCACAUCACCGGCUACCAAUCCCACACCGGUGCAAGAUUUGAUGUACAUCGCGCGCAGGCUGCCUUAAUAGCGCACCCGGGACUGCGACCGGGCAUGGCGACGGCUGCUGUAGGCCUGGGCCUGCCAGACCUAGCGCUGGGUUCCCCCACGUUAGACCUUGUGUUACGGUAGGCAUCGCAUAAGGUGCCAGAUGAGGCACUGUGGGCGAUGCGUUCAACUCAUGUGGAAGGAUGGCGAGCGAACCAGCUAGCCCGGACGCGCACCUACGCGCACGCCUCGGUUACACACAGGGUGCCAUGGGACAGGGCAAGGGGCCGGUUACACACCACGGGGUUACACAGUAACUCUGGCGGAUCCCACACAGGCGGAUCCCCCUGUCCCCUAUCGCCCCGUUACCCCGUUGCCUCAAUCGUCUCCAUCGCCCACGCAUGAAAUGAAACGCUAUGCGCUUGUACUGUGCUGUAUGUGACAUCGGAUGCUUUGGCAUCCUCGUGCGCCCAGGUGCGCAAGCGGGUCCUUCCUAAAUGUCAUACAGUACAUCAAUACCGUAGUAUUUGUGUAGUAAGAUAUGUACAAAAACAGGAAUGCCUUAUGCUUAAGGUCGGCCCUUGCAUGGGGGCCCUUCGAAGUUUUCGGAUUGAAGUUCUCUUGCCUCUUGUGAUUCCUCACUUAACCUAUCAACGACAACACAUACACUGAUAUACAUUGAGCACAAGUAACACAUCAAGCAUAAACGCGUUAAUCACUCGCUUACAGUUCGUCCGCUGCACCCCCAUAGGACCCGCUCACCUCGCGCAGUCACUGGUGUAGGUGCAUAGCGCACUCAGAUAUAGGUUUUGGCAUAGCAGCAGCGUCAAGGGCAGCCGCUCAGACGCUUAGCGAAAAUGAACGGAGACGUGGCGGGCAGCCUCUUCACGUCCACGUACCGCAACGUAAAACUUGCGGGGAAAGCUCCACCUGCAGCUAACCUAUCCGGGACAGGCUCGGUAAGGCUCUCGCGCGCAUCAUCGAAGUCACAAGGCUCUUGAAUGAGCAGAGCUUUCUAUAACGACACUUGUUGCUAUACCUUGCAGUGCUUUGACACGACAUCGCUAUCGCCGGCGCGAGCUGGUGCGCAUAAGGCGCUCGAUGUGCAGAAGGAUGAGCUGCCGGUGUGGUCCAAGUCCACAUUGUCCUACAAGUAAGUUAUCUGCACGAAUCCUGCCUGAAUGAGGCACCUGCUGAUCACUCCGGCGAUGGUGCACAGGUACCCCGCUGGCAGGCCCAACCCCACUGGGUUUCUGAAGAAGGGCGACGGCGAGAUGAUUAAGACGAAGACGGGAGGGUUUGAGGAACGGAAGCCGUCCCCACCUCAAGCGGGCGCGUACAAGCGCCGGGAAAACCCGCCGAACACGGCGUUUCGGCGCUUCUACGAGCGUGGCGACUUGCCCAUCGCUGUGGACCACCGCGGCUCAAAGAACAUGAUUGCGUGGAAGGUGCGUUUGAUUGGGGGGAGGCGCGGGGGCCCCACGGCUGCAGACACACCGUAAUGGGGUGCGGAUAUGCACACAUGUGGGCAUACCGUAUGUCCCCGCGCAGCGUGUGCCCUCCACUCACUAGACUGCAGUACAUGCGCCACAUUACCGGCCCAGACCCCCGUAGCUACGUCCACAGUAUACCCCAGCGGCGCUGCCCAGCCACGCAACAAAGCCGUGUGCGCCAAACGCCCAGCCCUACACUUCACUGACCCGCCCCCAAUCCACUCCAACCACACACUGGCUGUUGCCCUGGUAGGUGGAUAUUGAGAAGCUGGACUACCACCACUACCUGCCCAUCUUCUUCGACGGCAUCCGCGAGACGCAGGAGCCGUACCGCUUCCUGGCGGUGAAGGGCGUGGAGGACAUGCUGCGCGUGGGUGGGUCCAAAAUCCUGCCCGUCAUCCCGCAGCUCAUCAUCCCCAUCAAGACGGCGCUCAACACGCGCGACCACAGCGUCAUGUGCAUCACGCUGCAGCUCCUACAGAAGCUGGUGCUGUCGGCGGACCUGGUGGGUGAGGCGCUGGUGCCCUACUACCGCCAGAUUCUGCCCAUUUUCAAUCUGUAUAAGAACAAGAACAAGAACCUGGGCGACGGCAUUGACUAUGGCCAGCGCAACUACGACUGCCUGGGGGAGCUCAUUGCGGACACGCUCGCGCUGUUCGAGCAAAAGGGCGGUGACGACGCCUUCAUCAACAUCAAGGUGAGGCUUGCUUCCGUCAUGGAUUAAGAGGGUGAUGCUCGCCAGUUCAGUUCAACGGCGCUUGACUGCAACAUUCGGAGAUUGCAUGGGGGAUGCCGGGUUCGCAUGCGGACGGUGGAAUGCGCCAGAGAGCCAGCCACGGCCCCGUGCCCCACCUCCGCAUCCGACGCUACUAAUUUAGGCACUUGGCUUCUGCUGCUCCUGUGUCAUGCCUGCAUUUGAGGCUGGUCUGACAUGUGGUUGUGUUCCGCCAUCCCCCCUGCAGUACAUGGUGCCCACCUACGAGUCCAGCGUGAACUACGCAUAAAGCCGCCGACAGCCAGUACAGGCGGAGCGGUUCGCGCGGCAGGAGGAGCGGCUAGCUAAAGAGGUCGAAAGUUGCUUUGGGCACUUCAGCUUGGCGGUGCGCAUUGGAUGUGGCCGAUGGGCUACGCACCCCUUGGCUCUGGCGGCAGCGACCGCGUGCGGGGCAGGGGAAUGUCGUGUUUCCUUUAUUGCUAUGCCAGGGUACGUAAAUGGGUGGCAGAGCGCUGACUGAUUCGGUCUUGACGAUGCAUCGUUCGCAUCCUGCAGGUUUCAGCUGACCGUUUACUGACUAACAACAUAGGCAGGCCUUGACAUUACGUGUUCAUUGCAAUGGCAAGGGGGCCAGCUGACACGAGGUACCGCUAGGUACCGCUUUCAUAGAUGUUAGGUUUCCUUCGUAUGCAACUCUGCAGCCAGCCACACAGGGGGGCGGCAAGUCGGAUCUGAGGGCACUGUGGUGUCAAAAGAAGUUAAGAAGAGUAGGUGGGUAGCUUCAGUUGGAGAUGUACAUUGUUGGGCUGAGCCCCCGGAGUGCAGCAAUUCAGGGGGGCUGAAGCCCCCCAAAGUAACACCCCUAUCCGUGUCGUUAACGUAAGUCGAAGCAUGGCUCCGUGGUGGGCCGCGUGCCCACAGCAUGUCAGCCUCUCUCAUGCCUCUCUGAUCUCGGCAGUCAUGCAUGCCAGACGGGCUGUUGUUGGACAUGUUCGUGUGGUUAAGAUCAGACAUCUAAGGAGUCCCGUUGCUCCUUAAGUUCAUGGCAAGACACGGCAAGUCUCCGCGGUCCAACGAUGUACGGUGCGGUAGUUGCCACCUGCGAGAAUGAUCGCCCCUGUCCAGCAGCCAACAGUCCACAGCGGAGGAAUGGCUGAAUGGUUCCCUGGGAUCCAGCCUGUCGCUUUAUUCUAUCUCCUAAUCAAGCAGGGGUGUUAUCCGAACGGCAGCAGCAGCAGCAGCAGCAGCAGCAGCAGCCUCAAUCAGCCGUCAACUUGGCCGUCCCCCAGGGUGCAUGCCCCGGGUUCACUCCUGGGGUUCGCGUUGUCACGACGCAUCGCAACCUCGUCUUUGGCUCGCCCGCGCCAGCCCAGCAACCCGGCGGCGGCAGCAGCGCUAGCGCUGGCGGCGGUGCGGGCGGUGCCGUUGCGCAGCAGCAGGUGAGAGGAGGGUUGCGUUUCGGUGGUGUUAAUGCGGCGAGGUGGCUGUGCCGCCUGUGCGGCAGUGGUGGAGGGGAGAGGAGUGGAGGUGCUUGGUAUUUUGAGUGUGAUGAUGCCAGGGGCAACAUGCAAACUUGCCAGUACUAUCCACAUGUGUGGCUGCUAGGGCUGCUGGCCUGUCCUCGCAGGCUGACUAGGGAAACAGGGACAGGACCCCGGCAUCAUCGCCCGGCAUAAGUUUCGGUGCUGCUCAGUUUCGGCGUUUCCCGGCACCGCAGAAGGCCGCCGAAGUGAGUUUGGGGCUUGUGUUACCAGGUAUCGCGAUCUUGAGUGCGCAACUCCGAGCUUAUCAGCGGGCCAAAUCGCAGCAUACGGGAUCGCGAACCAGCCCGUGCCCUUGCGGCCGCGACAACCCCUACGGCGGGCUGCGGGCAGCGGGCUGUUACUGCUCAUGCUACAGCGAUACAGUAUUCUCGUGAUGAGCCACCAUGGCAUGCCUCUUUAUGGCAAGACAUUUGCGCAAAGUUUGGUAGAGUUCACGACCGAACAAGCUUCACGUUGACGAUGUGAUCGUUGACAAGGGAUACAUUUAUUACUGUAUGGAAGGAUCCAUAAAAAAGACUAAGGACCACGCAUGAAAAAAAGGGCAGCACUUGGAAAACCUCAUUGUCUCGUUUUGCGUACUGAAGGACCACAAACGCUCAGACGAUUUCGACAUAGAAUGCCGUUUAUGACGGGUUACCUUACUAUAUUCAACUCUAAUAACGGCGCGUGACGGUCCAAAACUCAGUUCUAAAACGCCUCACGCGCCUUCGCCAUGCUAGGAUCCCUGGCUGCGAAGGAGUCUUCGCCCGUCCAACCUACAAAUUCUGCCGACUGGGAUGUCGACACGGGCGAGGACGAGGUCACAGAGGAGGACUCUGAAGACCCCGAGUCUGGCUCAAACCGCCGGGGCAAUGGCCACGGGGCUACUCGCCGUCGCAGCAGGAGACCUCCGUGGUCUCGAGAGGAGGAGGCAGUUUUGUGUCGGCUGCACGCACAAUGGGGCUGUUCAUGGAGUCGCAUCGCUAAGGAGCUGCCUGGGAGGACCAGCUCCGAGGUCAAGGUUAGUAUUGCUGGAGAGCCUUUGCAUAUACGUGUUGCGAGGGCAGUCCUAGAGGCUUCAGGGCAUUUGGGAGGCUUCAUGCUCUUUUGGGGACACCGAGACUCCCGCGGCACCUGGCCGCCUUGCUUCGUGUAUAUUAUGACACAUACUAUGCAUAUAUGCCCAAGCGGCGACAUCUGCCGUCGGUUUUGCCAGCGGGUUGAGCGGGCGACGGCAAAAUCGUUGGUUCGCAGAGAGGUUGCCGCUGUAACCUGCCUGCAAGCGCGACAUUCUUUUUUCCGCGCUGGAUAUAUGAUGCCAUCAGGGUCUCGACCCGGCUUAGAGUCUUCCUUGACAUUAGCCAACAGUGCUGUCGCCCACUCCUUCUAGACUGAGACUUGCGUAAUCACUGCGGCGUGUCCUGAGCAUUUGCGAGCCCUGAGGGAAGCCGCCAGUGGGGUCGAGCAAAGCCUUUGAAACCGGCGACCGCGACAACUGCGCGGUUUUUCCUACAGCCCACGAGGGUCUUCAACAAACGAUGUACUUACCUGCAGCUAAAAUCCGGUUGCCACUUGUCACCUUGCUGUCCUGCAGAACAUUUGGUGAGCAAGAUACGGACCAAGGCAAAGCGGCCGCAAUGCGCAGGGUGGCCUCUGCAACGCUGCUCAGGCUCAGGCGUUGCAAGACAUACAGCAUGUAGACUGUGGGCCGUAUGCGUACUGUUCAGGGCCUUUUACACAUGUAUUGUACUGACUACAACGCGCCCCCACGCACACCCGCCCUCUCUGUUUUCGCUUGCUCGGUUGCUCCCAUCCUUAGGCACUCCACGCUCCGGUAAGCCACAAACCGCGUUUAUACUGUGCCCAUUGGACCAAUGUAGGGUUUUGUGGGCCCAUUGCCGCCUGGAACGCCCGGCAUGCAUGCGUGUAUUACGGUAAACCCCCUGACUAACAUACGUUUGCCUCCAUGCUCGCACGUGACACACCCACCACUGGCGCUCGCGACAAUGGAACAGGAGGUAAGCUUGCUACCGUGCCGCCACCAGCAGCACUACUCAGUAGCACUAGGUGGGGCUGCAACAACCACGGCGCCGCUGCUGUAUUCAAGGGCACGGUUGCAUCAUCCUUGCAUUCCCAUCGUCCACGCUGGCUUCCCACCUUCAAUCCGCCGCCCUCCCUCAUCCUGUUCUUUUUCCUGCGCACAGCAAAAAGCUGAAGGCGCGCAGCCUGCUACGUGCCUACGCCCGCGCCCUGAGCUCGCGCGGCGACCGCAGUGACGACGCCGCCGCGCGCAUGGAGGCCUUUCGCAUCGCAGUGCGCAUGACCAACGACGCCGGCCGCGACUCGGACGGCGGCGGGCCCGAGGACGCGCCGGACGGACUGCCGGCGCUGGCCCUGGCGGGAACGGGCGGCAGCGGCGGGGGGUUGGGACCAGGCGGCCUGGGUGCUGGGGAGCUGCAGGGCGUGGGCGCGGGCGGCACUGGGCUGGAGGCGGGGCCGCUGGGCGGCGGCGCAGGCCCACUGGCGCUCGCGCUGCCGGGGCUGUCGGGUGGGGCCGGCGGCGGCCGCGGCGCGCUGUCCGGGCUGGGGCUUGCAGGCGGCAGCGGCGGGCCGCUGGAUGCGGGGCUGGCGGCACGCCUGGCGGGCGCGGGCCUGCUGUCUGGGAACGGGCCGUGUCGGACAGGUAAGCGGGGAUAUGAAGGCACGUGCCGCGAUGCCCCUGUGCCCUGCACGUAGGGCAGUGCGCGUUUCCGACACAGGAUGCCCUUUCUUACGCGCGUGCCUCCGCACCCCGCAGGCUCGUCCGGCGACCCCUGCAACAACGGCCCCAACCCCACCACGCACCCCAGCUCCCCGGACCGCUCCAACCCGCACGCAGACAAUGCUGCCGCCGCCGCCGCGGUGGCGCAGCUCAACGAGCUGCACGACGGCAUCUACAGCUCGCGUGCCAGCGGCGGCAACGGCAACGGCACAAUCACGGCGGCGGCGCGAGGGGGCGGCGCCGACAAAAACGGCGGCGCGCCGCAGCUGCCGCCGGCCGACCGCCUCGUAGCCGCGUUGAUGCAGGGAACGGGUCUGGAGGGCGCAGGCGGGCAGGGCGAGGGCGGCUCUGCCGGGGUCAAGCUGGAGGGCGGCCUGAACGGCGCUAGCGUAGAUGGAGCCGUCGGCGGAGCCGGCCCAGAUGACGGCUGGGCGCCAAACGGUCGCGCCGGCGGCAGCGCGCCGGCGGGCGGCAGCGGAGGCAACGGGCAGAUGCCCGAGGAUGUAGUUGAGGAGCUGCAGCAGUUGCGGGGCCUACCGCCUCAGGUGCUGCAGCAGCUGCUAGCCAAGGGCGUGUCGCCGGCAGCGCUGCAGGUGAUGCUGCUGCAGACGCGGCUGGAGCACGGCGGGGGGCCACUGGAGCCAGGGCCAGGACCUGGGCCGCGGCAGGCGCUGGAGGGCAGCGCCAGCGACUCACAACGGGGCCUCGAGCAGCAGCAGGCUCAGCAGCAGUCGUGGGAUGGCGCUAGGGCGACGCCGCCGCCGCCACAGCGGCAGCUGAAGCUGGAAGAGCGUGAGGCCCAUUCCCGGCACGACGAGGCGCAGCGGGCGGCGGACUGUGCGGAGCCGCGCGUGCGGGUCAAGGCGGAGGCGGAGGACCUCGGUGGUCGGGCGGGUAUCGAUGACGCCGCCAGGAGACAGCCAUCGGACAACAAUGACAGCAGAGCGGACUCUGGCGCGAGGACUUCGCACCAGCAAACGUCGACUAGGGGUCAGGAGGGCCUGCGUGCGCAGGGUCGGGCGGCCAAGACCCAGCUUCAGGCGUCGCAAAGCCAUCGUGCCGGUCCUCAGCAGGACGAGGCGCCCGACAACGGCAGGCGCGGCGCGGGUGCUUCAAAGGCGCCGCAGCAGCCACAGCCGCUGCAGCUGCUGCCGACGCUGGCAGCCGGCUCCAUAGAGGCUGCGGUGCGCAGCAAUGGCGCCCUGGCGGCGGCGGUGGAGGGUGAGGCCAGCGGCAACAGCAACGGCAACGGCGCCGCCGCCGGCUCGCUGCCGGCGCGGCGGGAAAGCGACGACGAGCGGCUCGACGGCAGCCGUGGCGCGCGACCCGGGCUGCUGCAGGUGAGCCUGCGGCCGCAUCAGGGCGACCAGCCCAGUCCAAUGGCUGACGGUGAUGCGCGCGGCGACGGCGGCGCGGCCCUGCGGGCGCUGGCGGCCGGCAGCAUCGCCGGCGGCGGCGGCGGCCAUCCGCUGCAGGCCUUGGCGGCUGCCAUGGCAGCCAAUGGAGGAGCCGUUGGCGCCGGCGGCUUGGGCGGCGUGCUGGCGGGCAUUGCUGCCGCCAGGGAUGGCGGCGGAGGCCUCAGCAGGCUUGAGCAGCUCGCGGCGCUUAUAAACGGCGGCGGCGGCGGCGGGCCUGGUGGCGGCGGCGGCGAGCAGCAGCUAGGCCUACCGGGCGGACAAAAUUUUGCUAUGCUGAAUGGUGGCGGCGGCGGUGGCGGGGGCAUGCUUGGCGCGCUGCUGGCGGAGGCGCAGCGCGGCCGCGCGGCGGCAGCGGCGGCGGCUGGGCUGGGCCCGUUAGGGACGGAGGCGGAGGAAGGCGCGCUGAUGGAGCUGAUCCGGGUCAGCCUGGCAGAGGCGGAGGCAGCGGAGGCGGCGCGGGCGCGCGCCGCCAACCGGGCGCUGGAGGCGGCGGCGCGGCUGAUGCAGGCCAGGCAGGCGCGAGCAAGGGCUGGAGCGCAGCUGCCGCCAGGUGCGUGGGCAGGGCUGGAUUCUGUGAGACCUAACAGUCCCGCUUGUAUUGGGUACCGUAUACGGUAGAGUUACAGUGACUUGAGAACUCACUCAUGAACCUGGCGUGUCCUUUUCCACCGCAGAGUCCAUGAUCGCCAACGCGCUGGCCUCGGCACGUGCGCGCAUGGCGGGGUCAGCCGGGCCGCCGGGUGGCGACGAGCUCCUGUCGCGCCUGGCGCUGUUGCAAUCCCUGCAGGCCGGAGGCGGUGGGCCAGCGGCCGCGGAGCUAGCGGCGAUGCUGGGCGCGGCCCGCGGCGGCGGCAACGGCAGCGACAAUGGAAGUGGUAACGGUGGCGGCGGGUCCAAGCGGCACGCGCAGUCGGACGACGAGCGCGAGCAGCUGCCCCCGCGCAAGCGCCAGCAGGCCUACUUGGACAGCGACAACGGGCCGGCGUUGGGUGGCGGCCGUGGCGGCGGUGGCGGCGGCGGGCCGCUGCUGCCGCUGCACCACCUGCAGCUGGCGAACAUGGCCGGAGCCUGCGGGCUGGGGCCGGGGCCGGGCGGGCAAUGGGGCGGCGCGGUGCUUGACUCACAGCCUCAGCAGCAGCAACCUCAGCAGCAGCAGCAACAGCAGCAGCUGCUGGCUGACAUGCGGGGCCUCCUAAGCGGCCUCAACGGCGGCGGCGGCGGCCCUGGCGGGCGGGCACGGGAGCAGGACAUGCUCGACAUGCUGCGCCACCGUGCCGCCGCCGCCAUGGCCGGCGCAGGCAUGGGCGGCGGCGGCGGCGGCGGGCUGGGUCACCUGCGGGGGCCGGCGGGGGCGCGCGGGAUGCUGCAGGUUGAUGACGACGGGCCCGGGGCGGCGAUGGCGGCGAUGGCGGCGGAGGCGGUGAUGCGGCGGCAGGGCACUGGGCUGCUGGAGUCGCAGGACUCGAUGGGCGAGAUGGCGCAGACGUUGCUGGGGUUCAGUCAGAUGGCGGCGCAGACGUUGGGCGGCAGCGAGCCGGCUGUUGGCGGCGGAGGUGCAGGCAGCAGCGGCCGCAAGGGGCAGCGAUGGUGAGGGGGCGACGCAGGGCUCGUUGCGGAAAGGUUAUUCAUUUACGCAGUGUAUGUGGCUGCCUAGCGCAGCUUACAGCAGCCGGCUUGUCUCGCAAGCGUGAGGCAAAUAGCCCUGCUGGCGCUGUGCAGAUCAGUGCGGAUAGCGAGCACGAGUUGCUAUUCUUGGUGACAUCAUGGCACGCGUGGUGUCUCUUGCCUGUGCACAGCGGCGACCACAUGCUGGGGGGCGACGCAUGCGGGCUGGCGAGUGACUGGCGCACAACGCCGCUUGCACUCCGGCGAACUACGAAAUGAUACUGUGGGCCGUGUGGCUCUAACGUUGAGUACCGAGUGGUGGCAUUGCUUAAGAGAGUUAAAAGAUGCCCUUGAGGUCGCCAACCUUUAUUAAGCGGGAAGGCGCUUCGUCCAAUGGGAUGGUAUGGCAUACUAGCUGCGGUUCAUCGUACUACCCGUAUUACUGGAGUGGAGUGGUGGUGGGCAGUGGUGUGGCGGGUGGACAAGUGGGAUCACUUAGCUACUGCUGGUGUUGUGUGAGUUGUCAAGACCUUCCUCUUGGGCUGCAAAAGACGGAGACCGGUCGACACUUGCUGCCACCCAACCGGUGCUGGACAGCGUCAAAAGGCUGCAGUUGCAAGGGUAUGUCCUGCUGAGCAUGCUCGUGACAGCCUUGCCAGUAAUAACUAAGAUGCGAAUGUGAAGGGUUAACCCGGAGUAUGCACGGCCUGACAUCUUCGCAUGUGCACCAUGAUGCUUUGUGGCUAAAACUUCCGUGCGGCCGCUGCAGCGCGCACAGGGGUGUGGUGGCAGGAGGAUGUCAACGGAUAAAGCUCCGAAGGCGAUGUCGUGGCAGGAGCGUCCAGGUGCAUAACGUUAAAUGUUUGUGGCUCAACACAUUUGCACGCAUGUGCCCGGUGAUGAUGUGUAUGGUUUGCGCAAUCCCCAAUCGAGCAGGGCAGCGGUAUGUGCAUCCGGCUGUCCGAGCAUGAUGCUAAGCAGUAACUAAAGGCGGGUGGGCACGCGCCGUAGAUGAUGGGCGGUCGCAAUGUGGCGUCGGAGACACUGACUUGUGUUGUAGUCGUGACGAGGUCCCGGUCACAGAAAGGGUCGACCGGCAGUUCCGACGUGAACGUGCUUUGGCAAGCGUGUACCCGCGUGUAUUUGCACUGAUCUGCAACGUGUGAGGCUAGGGCUUAGAGGUUGGGUGCUUAUUAGCCCGGUUCUUGUUCCUGUCGCGGCGUGUGGGCUCCGGGUGCUGUAGCAUAGUUGGCAAGUCUUUGACGGUGCGGGUGCGGAUGCGUCAGGCAUGUCUGUGUCACGGAGCAGUUUAUAUUGUGGUAGGAAAGCUAUCCCUAAAUGCACGCCCUCUGUGCUUCGCACGUGCUUACGGUAUGUGCUGUGCAGCUCUAGAUUGCUCUAGUUGGUGAAAGCGCUGGCUCGGAACUGAGUGCUGGAGAGAACAUGGGAAGGAAAGCCGAACUGGGUCUUUGUGGCCUCCAAACUAGAAGUGGAUGGUGUGUGGGUUCUGCACUGCAUGGACUCAUGAGGCAUGGACACGGCUGCUGCGAAGCAGAGAAGCAUCAGGCGCGAGAUGUAGCCAGUUUGACAUAGUGUCAUGUGAAGGAGGUGCCACACGCCUCCGGGUUCUGUGAUUGUGGUUUACCUGUCACGGACCCUCGUCGGCCUUGACCGGCGUCACCCUGAGCCCUGCGGUAACAUCGCGUGGCCGUGCAUGUGAGUCCGUAUGAAAAUGUGGUUUCCAUGCAUUGCGUCAUGUUACAAGUUGUGAGGGCGGCUCCGCCGCCGGGGAGGGUACCUGCAAGCAGAGAACUGCGGUCUUCGUGCGGGGUUGGGAGGGCGAGCCCGAACCGCCGUGUGACCACGCAGACCGCGCAGUCAGGGACGACGGUAGUCAGUACUGACAGAAGGAAACUCGCAAAGUAGCGAGCGCGACCCCGCGCUCCGCUACUAAACCGGGCCCACCGCCCAUGCGGCGCAUGGGCCCCAAUGAACAAACACACACGCCACGCCCCUUCGGGGCCCACAACAACGUACACUCCGAACGCAGGAAACCUUGGUUUCCGACAACUCGCUGCGCUCGAGCGGAAACCAUCAGUAUACCGUGAUACCGCAAGCUGGUGACCAAAAUGCAGCCCAGAGUAAGUAUGAGCGUUGGCGCAGGGGGGGGGAGGGUAGAAAGCUCUGCUUCUUACCCAAUGAUCAAAUUUGCAAAGCUUUAGGAGAGCAUUACGCACGUGCUUGUAGUUUUGUAAGGGGGUGUCUAGGUGAGGAAGUUCUGGGCCGCCAAAGUUGGUGGGUCAGUCGUCGUCCUGGGUAAAAGGGGGAUCCAUUCUCGGGGUCAGCCGGGUUUCGGGAGCAGCACACUUCCCCACAUUCGACACAUGCGCACUGACACGGCUGGGCUCUCUAGCGCUGGUGCGCAUGAAUUCACGUCUAACGAGGCCGAUGCAUACUGUCCAACCGUCACGCGGCAGAGAGUUGAGCGCGGGGUAGGCUACAUCGAGGGGAUGUCAAUGGAUCCCGCGUGUGCCCGAAGUCUCAGAACAACGACACAGCGUGACAGUGCUCGUCAAGAGGAGUCGAUUGAAACCACUUUGGUAUUAAAUGGAGAGGGCCUAACCCUCAACAACAAGGUUUUGUCCGUGGGAGGGGUCGGUCGUCCCCGCAAGGGGGGUCCCGGGGGAUUUCGGGGCAUGGGGUCUAGCACUUUGUUUCCUACCCCCCCCCCCCUGCUUGGCGUGCCAGGCCGGUUGGAGGGCCUCGCUUUUUGCAAAGCCAAGUAACACUCGCUCAAAGGAUGAGUGAUGCUCGUGUUACUGGUGCCAUACACUCCGUCAUGCUCUCCUCCAUACUCUUCCACACGCCCAUACCGCACACCUAGCCAGCUCUCUAUGUUUUCCAACCCGGUGAGCUUGCAUUGCUACUUCUUUGUUUGCAUAGCAACGCCACCGCCUGCACCGGCCACCGCGCCGCUCGGAUCCACCAGCUCCCACUUGCCAGCUCCACCACCACCGCUCCCUGGCGCGCUCCCCCCCGCCUUGCCGCUGCCUUGGGCCGAUGUGCUCAGCUCUACAUACGGCUCCGCCGCAGCGCCCGCAGCUGCGGCACCGCCUGCGGGUGCCGCCGCUCCGGCGCGGCGCUGCAGCUCACGUGCCGUGGCCAAAUCCGUCGUGGCAACCACCGAGCUGCUUGGAGCCACCACAGUGCCUGCGCAUACGUGCGUGUCACAGGCCACAAGGCACAAGGAGCACAUCGCGUCGCAUUGACUCAUGGCCGGGCAGACGUCCGGUUACAAUCCGACUAUGCGUUGCGUCGUCGCCAGCCGAGCUCUAUCUAUCUAGAUGCAUAGCAGCGCAGGCAGACUGGCGGUGGCUCUGCGGUAGCAGUGUGGGCCGCGGCGGCCGGCGAGCAUCAGGACGCACCGGCUGGGAGGGUGAGAUUCGCGCCCGCCGCCGCGGCAGCUGCUGGCCUCAGCUGCCAGCCCGACAGGUCGACGGCUUCGGUGCCCUUGUUGCGAAGCCGCACAGUCACCGCGGGGGCAGGCGGGGCCGCCUCGCCCAACAGGGGCUCGACCGCGACAGCCACCUGUGCGUGUGUGCGCGUGUGUGUGUGUGUGUGUGUGUGUGCGUGUGCGCGUGUGCAUGUGUGUGUUCAUGUGUGUGACAACAAGGGGUAAAGCAGAAAUCGAGUCCAAUUGAGUGUGUUUGGGGCGCACAAAAUAGAAGGUUCACGCAGCGCAUGUACGGAGAAAAUCACAAGGGGGGCUUUGCAUCCACAUGUAUGCCACAAGAGCGGAGCAGCUGGGGGGACGCUUCCAGAUGCACGUGCUCAGACGCAAAAACGCCCAUCAUCGCCAACCACGCGCCCACCUGCUCCGGCUUCUGGCUUGUGGGCAACAGAGGCCGCCGCCCAGUCGGCCUGCGUUAUGGGUCGUGUGGUAGAAUGUGGGGCUCCGCUGUUUGUCGUGACAUGCAUGAAUGGGCCGCACCCCCGAUGCGCCGAGGUCUGCAAGGCUGCAAGCACAGUAGCAACCCCCCGCGAGGAUGCAAUGUCUCUUACCCGUACAGGGACCCAAGGAGUUGGUCGGUGCGAAUGGGCAGGAACUCCGUUGUGAUCUGCUGAUACCCCCUGUCUACGGAGAUGCCUGUUGGAGAACAUCGCCAGGACAGGACACGGGAAUCGCGAUUUUUAUCACGCGCUGCAGGGGAGUUCAGCCUAGCUUGGUUGCCACGUGCGUGGCGCCCAAAUGCAUGGCGGUGUAACGUCAGGAUGUGUCCGGUAGCGUUGGCCUGGUGACGGAUACCAGCAGCCCACCUGAGCUCCAUUUCUUUGCAUCCAGGUCUGCAAGUGGUUUGAUGCGCGUGUAGGUCGCAUUGGCCAUCUGUGUUGGGCGCACAAGGCAAGGAAACGCGCAGGGCGCGUCACACAUUGUGGCACAAGUGCGGCGUGCUGCGCACCGCUAAAUGCACGGGGCCCCAGCAGUCCGACCACGCAUGUGUGCACGAAGGCGCGGCCUUCAGAUACAAAGUCCUGCGUGUUUGCUCCCGUUGUGUCCUUGCAUACGCACGACACACCUGCGCGAUGCGACCUGACGCCAGGAAGGUGUCGGCCAGUGUGCGCAGCCGCCGCAGGUACAUGGCCCGUGUGGCGUUGGUGUCUGCGACGUGAACAACCAACACACACCAGCCAUGCCGGCCGAUCAAUGCCACACAAGGUAUGAACAUCAUGAUUCAUAAAGCCAAAAGAGACGUGUGGAGUGCAUGGACCUUGUUGAUUAGGGUCGGCGCCAGAGUACGGUAUUACGGUAUGCGGCACGCUCUUGCCGAAUGGCGCGAUUGGCACGUGCUCACCCAGUAUUGCGUCGUACAGGUGGUUGUAGGUGCCCGCGGGGCCGUUGGGCGACGUCUGCGUCAGCGUGACGCGGUCGGGGUUGUCCCAGCCCCGUGGCGGCGGGAACUGCGGCAAGCAGGUAGGCGGGGAGCGACAGCAGGUGUGUUGUGGCAGAUCUAGAGCCAAGUGCUAAUGGACGAUUGAUAUGUGGUGGUCUCAGUCUACAAGCACAAGCAAGCCCAGGCGAGCGAUGCAGUGGCUGCAGCCGUCGGCGUGUGGCUGCAAGAGCAGGAGUCUUGCGGCGGCACUAGCACAUCGCAGCUAAUGCAUAGCCACACACCUUGGUGAUGGUGGGGCCGGCGGCGUACAUGGGCGACUUGUUGAUGUUCGCAGCCGUGUCUUCCGCCCGGCGCCGAGCGCGGCGCGCCUCCAAGCUGCUACUGCUGCCGCUGCUGCUGCUAUCGCUGCCGCUGGCUGCGGCGCCAGCACCGGCAGCCUCGCCCUCGGGCGCCGCGGCACCUGCCUCCUGCUGCAGGAGUGCCCGGCUGCGGCGGCCAGCGGGGUUGGACGGCUUGCGCACGGCGGCUCCUUGGUAGGAGUUGUCGUUCAGCUUCACAGCCACUGUGCCCCAGGGAGUGACACGACUGAGAUCCUGCGGGCAUGGGGCGGCGGGUGAAGCAGUUACGUUUGAUCGCAGGGGCGGGUUGGUGGCUGUGGCGGUUGGUGGCUGUGGCGUACAGGACCUCGCAAGACAAGUUUGCAAACACAUCUAGUAAGCGGCCAUUGCAGCAGUAGAUACCGCAGUGGCAGCAGCCGGCGGCGAAGCACGCACGCGCACCGGCACACGUGCUGCCAAUCCGUCCAGCGCCCCCACGUGCCAUGUCGCACCAUGCCCUCGCCCACCUGCGGAUGCUCGCUGUCGCAGUAGAGCGGCGAGUUCCAUUGCUCACACGCCAGCACGCAGUAAUUGUCCAGAUCGGGUUUGCCGCCCAGACCGUUGUCCUGGCCUGAGUGUGAGGACCAGGAGGAGAUCGAGGACACGGUGUAUGUCAUUUGUGUCGUGCCGUAGCAACAGCAGAGUAGAGCAGGUGACUUGGUGGCGACGGAGCCGAGGGUACCGUAUGGUGAGAAACUAACGCGCCGUAUGGGGAUCAGGAGUGGGAUGAUGGGACAGCACACGGCACGGUCUUUGGGGUGGAGCUCAUGGACGGCUGCUAGGGAGGCGGCGCAUGAGGAGGGGGGGCAUGUGUACUCAGGGCUUCAGGAGGACGCACCGAAAGAGCCGUCCAUGUCCCAGGGCAGCCUGCAGGUGCAGGAGCAGGAGCAGGAGGAAGGGCAGGAGGAUGGACGGGAGCACAGCGUGGGGAGUGGUGGGCGCGCGUCAGGGAGUCAUGGCCGUGACCUCUGGGAAGCAAACAGAUUGCCACCCCAGCUGCUCCCAGUCUGUUUGCAAACGUGGGUGUGCCUUGCCGGCCUUGCCGAUCUAGUCAGUCUUGCGCGCACACUCACAUGUACCACUCGCGCGUGUGGGGGUGGAGGUACAUGAAGAAGUUCUGUUGGUUGGGUGGCGGGCGGCGUUGUGAGGGGUUGACCAUGAAAAGUUAAGGACCCAGGUAGACACAUAGAGUCAACCGCCCGUCGGCAGCUACCCCGGCUGCUCUGGGACUGGUGUGGCUGCCUUCCCGCCCGCCCGCCCGCGCGACCUACCUUGGUGCAGCGGUCCAUGUUGUUGACGAGCGUCUGUGCGGCCAUGUUGUUGAUCAUCUGUGUGGAUGCAUCCGGGAUGGGAAAACGGGCAUCCACUUGUGUACGUACAGACGUACGGUGUGCGCGGGGGCUCUCUGACACUGGCACUUGGUAUCCAUCGGCCGCUACACACCGCUGCCGCCGCAGCAGCACAUUUCACCGCGGGCUGGGCCAGCUUUACAGGCUAUCCCCUUAGCCGACGCUCACCGAGGGCAGGUUGACAGACUGCACCACAAACUCCGAUCGGGGCUCGGGGCCGCCGCCCGCCAGCCCGCGACUGAAGUUCCGCAGUGCGUCCCAGUCCGCGGCGACUUUGUCCCUGCGUGCGUGUGCGUACAGCACGGCGCACCAACAGCCAGGCGGGUUACGUGCCCGAGCCCAACGACACAGGUCCCAGUAAUCAAGGAAUCAUCGCCCAACCCUGGGGGGGGUAAUGCAGCGGUGGGGGAGCGGACGCGAUGCCCGGCACGCCAGUGCACGCCGUGCGUGCAUAUGCAAGGGCUUGCGCCAUGACCAAACCGCCAAGACAGCCCCCCACGUCAGUUUCAUUCACACACCCAAGCAUGCACGCGUGUGAAAUGCAUCCCCAUUACCUUCUGUUUCCCUUGAACACACCUGUUUUCCUUCUCCCAGAAGCUGGGGUAUUCCUUGAGCGGCAGGUCCCACCGCAGGUUGGACAGCUCGCCGCUGACACUCUUGAACAGCGGGCCGGAGGGCGGCAGCCCGUGGCGCUGGAGGUUGUGUUUUGGGGGAGGGGGGGGGGUCGGGGAGGAAGACAGAUAGGGUGGAGACACAGGGUGGUGCCGGAGAGGUGAGUGACAGUUGGUGAGCUGAGCUGACACAUGCGUAGCUGGACGAAGGAGGAGAGGUAUACACACGCACACAAAUCACUGCCCUCCCUUCACACACACACACACACACACACACACACACACACACACACACACACACACACACACACACACACACACACACACACACACACACACACACACACAUGCACACUCUGCGUCGCAUACACUGUCCUACGCGUAAUGUUUUCCUUGCGCUCUUUAACACACAUACACACACAUGCACACCUGCAGGUAUGUGUCAUCCAGGACCUCCACGAACGCAAACAGGCCGUAGAACUGGCCGUUGAGCCGCACGUGCACGUGGAAGGAGGUGGGCGCGAUCACACCCGCCUCGCGCAUGAACUGCGGGUGGGCGGCGGGGAGGGAGGGAGAAAGACGUGUACGUGGGGUGGAGUCGGGUGGGUGGUGGAGCUUCAGCCGACGCAGUAGGCCUGCAUGCAUCACGCAGCUCGCUGAUGCCAGGGGCUGUGGGGACCGGAUGCAAUGGGUUAGGUGCACAGUAGCAGCCCCCUGGCCGCUGCCCCUCACGCCGCCGCCCAGGAAAACCCCUGUCACCGCCCCUCCCUCCCUCACCUGCAGCGCCAGCGGUUCCUUCAUGUAGCUGCGCUCACCCAGCUCGUACCUGCAGGCGGCAUGGCGGUGGCAGGGGUGGUGGUGGUGGUGGUGGUGGUGGUGGUGGUGGUGGUGGUGGUGGUGGUGGUGGUGGUGGUGGUGGUGGUGGUGGUGGUGGUGGUGGUGGUGGUGGUAGUGGCAGGGGUGGUGGUGGUGGUGGUGAAGAUGGUGCGGGUGGCUUGCGGGCAGCCCGGCACCCCGGCCGCAAAGGGACAACAGCUGUGAGUAGUGCUGCAAGGUUCCCAGCCAGCCAUGAGUGCACCAGAUACUUAUGUCGACAGCGAUACCACUUGGCGGCACCUCAAACACAACAUGCAAUGCCCUGACCCGCAAGCCUUUUCGCCCCUAGGGGCCAGCACCUGAAAUGUGCACCUCAUCCUCCCGCCCACCUUCCCACCCCCCACCCCACCACAAACAUACCGGUUCGGUUUAGUUUGGGCUGGUAUCUACAACCCCCCCACCACCACCACCUCAAAACGUACCAAAAGGACUGGAGGCCGAACUCAGACACCUCCGGUGCCGUGUCCGAGUACCUGAAGUCCUGUAGCGGGGCCGACCAGUUGAGGCGGACAACGAAGGAAGUAUGUAUGUGAUCCAUAGGAGGUAUAAUGGUUGCAGCCAGGCAACCCCAAACGCGCUGGCCCUCACACGACGCUGCCCUCUCCCCCGACCCGUAACCGGCGGCUGUGCACCCACCCGGCUGGGCAGGAUGAACUUGAGUUUGGGCUUGGGCCAGGACAGUGCGGUGACUCCGCGCCGCCGCGCCGCCACGUUGUCAUGCAGGGUGCCGCCGUACACGAGCACCUGGCCCAGCGCGCCGUCCACAGAGGUGGCAGCCUCCGCGUUUGGGCUGAACCUGCGGGGUGGCGUGUGGGAGGUCUGCAGGUGUGAGUGAGAUAGAUAGAUAGAUAGAUAGAGUGUGUGUGUGUGUGUGUGUGUGUGUUAAGGAGCACAAGGAAGGUGUGUGUGCCUGUGUGACCAACGGGCAGGUCGUAAAGGGGCGAGGAAGACGCAAGGGAGCUCUGCGCAUAAUGAUGUUGGUGUUGUAGAUGUCGAUGCUGCCAUGUGAGAUAAAAUGCGCAUUGUGCGUGCUGCCGUGUGCACACUACACGGCGCGCUUACCACUCCAGGAUGGGGACAUCGGGGGUAAUGACCUGGUCCUCGAGCACCGCAAUCGCGGUGCCGUAGUAGUGCGGCUCCUGCUCCUGCCCCUCCCCGCCCUGUGCCUGGCCCAAGGCAGCAGCGGCCAUGGCCGGCGGCCACUCCUCAGCAGCAGCGGUGCCGGCCGAAGGCGGCGGGCGCGGGAGGGCGGAGCGGUAACCCGCGGUGUCGGCGGCACGGGCGCGCCAGCGGACCAUGUCGCCUGCCUUGAACGCCGCUGCCGGGAUGGCGGCCGUGUACAGGAGCUCCCCGUCUGCGUGGACACAAGGCGGCGGCGAAAGCGCCAUCAGCACGGCAAUGCCAAAGCGCCGAUGUCCCGCACCACACCACAUACACACAUCGCGACAGCAACACAGCCAGCACUGGCGAGUGCGCUGUCUGCAUAGCGGUGUGCCGCGGUCGCUCAAAGGCCGUCGUCGCCACGCACCUGCUCCCGCCGGCCCCUCUUGCGCCGCCGCCAGCUCCUGCUCCUGCCCCCAGUUCACGACGUACACCAGGCUGACGCCGGCGCCGUCCACUGGGUUCAGGUUGGGGCGCAGUGUGAUGUUGACGAGCAGGUCGGCGCCAGCGGGCGGGCGGUCCGGACCCGUGGGGCGUGACACGCUGUGGGGUUAUCAUCCAGAGCGGCAGGGCGGGACAGGUCAGGGCACAGCAGGGGCGCGGCAGGCCGGGGCAGUGGCGGCGGUAUACCUGGGUCGACUGGCAAGCAACAGCGGUACACAGGCGGCGCACAGGACAUGGACCGCGACUGGCUGACAGGGACUUUCCCGGGAUGUGGAUGGCCCCUGUGGGCCGGCGGUUUGUGGGUUCAGCCCAUCCACCCACCCACCUGGUGAUGAUGGGUCCAAUCGCCAGCGGCGCCGCGUUGUCCGCUCCCGGUGUGGCGGCGGAGAGGUAGGUGAGCGGUGCCGCCGUCGCCGCGUCCCGCUUGACACCGUCGGCGGCAGCCGGCACUCCAAAGGACACGUUGGCAUACUGCCUGCGGGAAGUGGUCAGAUUGUGGCUCGCAGGCGGACCUGCCAGCGGGGCCGCCUGACACGAGGAGCAGCGGGACGGACAGAAGGGGGGAUGCAAGCCCACAAGUGCAGGUAUGGCGGCAAGCUCGCAUGCGGUGAGGGGGGGCGCACGCACCUGCUGCAACCACACAAGCCUGCACAACACGCACGUACCGCACACACCUCCCCUGCAGACCUGAACACCUGCUGUGCCGCCUGCGCACCUGGGCAGCUGCACUCGUUCCACCACGACGCCGCCUGGCCCCAGCAGCUGCACACCCACACCGCCCGCCGCCGGCAGCUUGAAGCUCGCGUGCAGCGACGCCGGCGCAGCGGCUGACCCGGCGGUGGCGUUACCAGCUGAGACGUUCUUGCCUGUGGCAUGGACCCCCGUAACGAAGAGCAAGUUCCAAAGCUUGCUUGUACGCACGCACAGUACAGAGGUUGUAGCUUCAGGCUGGUCGAAAGCAGUAAGGGGUUUGCUGUGUUUGGUGGUUGGCGGACGCCCAGCUCUCUCGCACCUGAGGCGUAGAUGACCAGAUAGGCGUUGGGCGCAAUGGAGGUGUCGGGCGGGAAUGUCCAGGUGUUGCUGCUACGGCUGCUGUCGUUGCCGUCCUCCUCGUCGUGGUCAAGCAGCCGUAGCUCCCAGCCCUGCGGCGCACAGCACCCACAGGCUCUGUGGAGAUAGCAGUGCAUCGGUGAGCGCUUGCGGCCGUUUUACCUGCCCGCCCGCCCAUCCGUCCCCACGCCCCAUAACCUCGUCUCCCUUCCUCUUCUGUUCGUCCCACUCCCCGCCCCCGCACCUCUAGCGCCACGGCGCCGGCGCCCCGGUUGUGGAGCUCCAGCCAGUCAGGACUACUGCCGCCGCCCCCGCCGCCGCCGCCACCCGUGCUGCUGGCCGCCGCCGGCAGCUGCAGCGCCCCCUGGUUACUGGCCAUGACCUCACUGAUGUACACCUCACUGCCGGGGCCAGGAGGGCCAGGAGCAGGGGCAGGGGCAGGGGCAGGGCUGCCGCUCGUGGCCGACGACGGCGUAGGUGGCUGCGGCGCCGGCGCCGGCUCCUGCUGGCAGAGCGCGGGCAGCGUGCCUGCCAGCAGUAGCAGGCUGCACACCACCGCUGCGGCUGAGGCCGCGCCGAGCAAGGCGCUGCUGCUGCUGCUGCUACUGCCGCUACUGCCACCGCGGUGCUGCCGCUGCAGCCAGUCGGCUGUCGUGGGCCCGGCCGUGCCCCUGGGUCGCGCCGGACGACGCCCUCUGCUGCGAGGGAGUGCCUGUGCCUGGGGGGUUUGCGAGCUGGAGGCUGGCGUGUCCUGUAGCGGCGGUGCGGCUCGUUGGGUCGCAGCCCGUUGCCGACACGCUGGGUCGUGUGGGGAUGCCAUGAUGACCUGCUCAAGUACGUGUUGCUUGACGCUCUUGUGGCGACAGCGCGUAAAAACAGUAAAGCAGCGAAAUGCCAGCCUCCAGUGUGUGGUCUGCCAUGGCGUUACGGGCAGGCUGCAAGUGACAGGUCAGAUUGACAUGGGCCGCGGUCAACCUCCUCCAGCUGCAGCUUCCCACUCCCUCCCUCCAGUUCUCCUUCCCCGCGAUCCAUGGUCCAAGGCGUUACUGAGCCCGAGCUCUAAUGAGGAACCCGUGUCAACUUACCGCGACCGCACAAGAGGCUGCCGGGAAGUUCGCGGAUGCAACAGCCAGCAGGGGCCCAUCGGUUGUUCGCAGGCAUCGGGUCGAUAGGCUCGUGGCGUGUUACAAUCAGCGCGGACGCUGAUGGCACGAGUAUCUGCUAGCGGGACAUUGCUCUGGGAGAAGUAACCACCCAUUUCAGCAUCAGCAGUCAGGACACCGUCAGGAUCACUAUUUCUCCGCAUUCUCAUCUUCCUCCGCUCACUAGCGCGUCGUUCCGUACGUCCGCGCACUCACCCUCUCUCCCUUGUGCCUGUCCUGUUUGCCUUCCAGCAGCUUGCAGGCCAGUCCAGCGCACAUUGGCAGUGGCUUCCGGCCGUGGUUUCCGACGUUUACUUCCCCUCGCCCCAGCUGCCUUCAAGCCGCACGCCCACAUGAACAACAGCAAGAGCCACACCAAUGAAACCGUCACUCUGCCCGCCCGACCGCACUCCCAAGACAGCGCUGCUCCUCACCCCAAACAGCCAGACUUCCAAAUCUGGACCCCCCCCUGGCGCUGCUCACACCCGCACUUCACACAGCCCUACUGUAGCCCUCCCCUCUCCUGCCUCGUGCGCGCCUGCGCCCGCUCGCUCAUCACGCGGCCAGCACCCAGGUCUCCUCGAUGCCGGACGAGUUGGUGCUCAGCUCAUAGCGAGCGCCCGGGCGGCCGCUGGCGCGCAGGAAGGCGUCAAUCAGCAUGGCGUCUGCAAGGGACACACGCACACACACACACACACACACACAUACAUGCACAUGUGAGUGGGGCGCGCUUGUCGUUUCCCAUUCACACACGAGACUAUCACCAAUAUGCCCUUCACACACAUAUGUCAGCAGCAGGCGAGGAGCAUGGACGGUGCUCGGCAGGACUGCAGACAACAGACAGCAGGCAGCAUCGGACUCACCGUAGCAGUUGGUCACCACCGCCCGCCGGUAGUUGAGCGAGGUCAGGCCUGUGUGCAGGGUGCGCGGAGAGGGGUAGAGAAGCCCGUGGUACCGUCAGUGGCAAGGGGUUUGCGGCGCGCGGCCAGUGCUCUGGCAGGCAUGACGCUGACUCGCAUGCACCCGGGCCGCGUGACCUCCUAGCCGACAUCCGGGUGUUGUCAUCCCACAGGCUGUAGCUGGGCUCCGCACGCCGUCGCCCUUUGUCCCGCGACUCACCCCACAGGUUUGCGGGCCCCAGGAUCUUGACUUUGAACGAGCGCGCCGCCUCGUCCACGUCCGACACCUCGGCCUGCAGCCGCACACAGGCGCAGCACCAACACGGGCAGACCGCGUCAGCGACAAAUCACAGCAGCAAGAGGUUAGGAAGGAGCUCCGGGCAGGAAGCGGCUGGGCAGCGAGUCGUGACGCAGCAAGCUGCCGCCCCAUCCCAACCCCCAGGCAGCAGGCAUUAAUCAAGACUUUGGUCAGACAUCCUUCCCCCCAGAGCUGCUUCCGGUUUGGCGGCGCGUACCUUGAGCGCGUAUCCGUUCUUCACGCACACGUCCAGCAGCGCCUGCACGUGGAGUUGUGGGGUCGAGGUUGUGUGUUUGGGGGGCUCCAGCUCCAGCUGCAUGGCUGGCUUGCUCAGCAGCAAGCCGCUUAUAACCGUCGGCCAGACGCUGCAUGCCACGUUGCACCACACACACAUAUACACAUACACACACAUGCACGCGUGCAACCCUUCUGUUGUCCUGUCAGACAUGCACUUGCGCGCACCUGGAUGUCGGCCGUCACUUGAGUAAACGACGCGCUGGCCGGCAGCGGCUGCGGCGCGCCGAACUGCGUGUUCUGCACAUGUGACGUGGGCGCGGGCGAGUGGGCAGGGCUAGGUGUUGGCACGCGCGACUCGCCCUGACAUCACGUGCACGAUCACACGCCGCAGCGCCACCUCUACGCUCGCACGCGGUCCCGCAGCCCUCCUUGUUGCGUAGGCAGGCCUUACCCGGAACCCGUCCUUCAGGCCCGUGUAUAUCCGGUCGCCGGUCCUGCAGGCAGAGAUGGCAUGGCGACAGUGGAACUAUGUGACUCAGUUGGGCGGAGAGGAGGGGCUAGAACGUGUGGUCGUUCAGACUGCCGAUGAAAGCCAGCCCAGUGUCCCUCUUUCGGCGCGACACCACAGCACACGAGGCAUUGCCUAGCUACGUGCGGUUGCGUGCGUCCUAGCUCCCUGGACAGUGAACACCCGACUGGCUGAGUUCGCUACCCGCUCAGUCCUCCACGCAACCUCCAGCUGGCUCCUGCUCUUUGUCCCUCCGCUCUCUCUCAACCACACUCACAUGGAGAAGAACAGCCCAGGCAGGACGUUGUUGUCGGCGAUGGCGGCGUCGCGCCGCACCACACGGAACCGGUCCUGGCACGUCUUGUUCUCCUCCUCCUCGCAGUACUCCUGCAGGUGGGCAUAAGGACAUUGCAAGUUGGUGGGCAUGAGGACAUUGCAAGUCACGGGGCCGUGCCCUGUGACGUAAUGCCGUGUGCGGCAGCACAAGCUGCAGAGCAAGCAUGGACAGACAGCAGGACAUGCGUUCGCAGCAUAGCACUCAAUGUGCCCCCAACGGCAGCGCGCUGUUGCAGGUGUGAUGCGGUCUCUAGGCCGGCUCACCCGGAAGACCUGGAGUCCCUUGGGCAUUUCCCGCGCGAUCGUGGCAAAUUGCCUGUGUACACAGUGCGCGGCGGCGGCGCCAAGUCAGGCACCGAAACAACCUAAACGACGCAGCUGAGGGCCAAUCAAACACCUACCCGUGUCAAAAGCCAGCCUGCAAACUGUAUCGUACGCUUUUGCUUACUGUACCGGUAGUGUGUAACCCCUCAGCGCAACACUCACGAGUAGGAGAUGAAGUCAAAGUAGAGCGAGUCAGAGAUGUCGCCCUGUACCGCAUCCACACACAUGCACAGGCGUACACACGCUCGUUUGUUGGGCUCAACCACGGCCCCACACGUGCAUAACCAACCCAGCACUGCGGCCAAACACCGUUAUCGGGCGCACUUUGACCAUAUGCCAACGCCGUUUGAUGCCACAAUGUACCGUAGGUUAGUGCUGACUAGGCCACAACUCCAAUACAAUAACACACAUGACAGGAUAUGCCUGCCUGCCAGCAAUGACGUACAGGUCAGCCAUGCGGACUCACAAUCUUGGGUUUGAGCGGGUCGUACUGAAGGUUGUAUGCCUCCUGCUCGCUGGCGCGGAGCCGCCAAAACUGCUUCUGGAAAUCGUUCUGCGAGGCCGAGUUAAAUCGUAUGCUUAGCGUUGCAGUGGCGCUUGCCAGGGGCGGCGUGCAGCGAGCAAGCUCCGAGCGGGUUCCUACUACCCCCGCCGUCCCACGCCGACUGCCGUGUGUGCUACCUCAGUCCUAACCCACUCCUCAGACCGCACCCACGUACAGCGCCCACCCACGCGCCCACGGGUGAAGCCGCAAGGCACACGCCUAACCUCGCAUUCAACGCACACGCAGCCGCUCCUUCCCGCCACGCACGAACCCCCAUGCCCCCGUGCCAUGCCCUCCUAAACCUCCCCCUCUCCCUCCCCACCCCCAAUGCCCUCCGACCAUUCCCAUCUCACCCCCUCCCCACCAUAGCGAUGAAGUCCAGAUCAUCUACGGCCUCGUAUGCCGAGCGCAUCAGCAGCACAGCGAACGGCUGAGUCAGCUUGUUGCGCGGAAACCUGCCGGCGGGAGUGCAACGACCGAGCAGGCACGGACGGGCGUCGACACUCUUUCCAUGCAGCGGAAGGUCGAGACCUCACAAGUGUGGGUACCUCUACAGGCCCCCGUGGGCAUUGACUAGCCUGGGCAGCGCCCGGAGGCAUCGCCGGCGUUUCCUCACAUGACUGGCUCGGGCGGUGGUGGGAAUGCGCGGCUCAGGUACUCCGCGAGGUCAGCUCCCGUCGCCUGAGGCGUCGGCAGCGCGAGGCUGAGGGCGCCGAGUGCCUGCGCGCGCAUUCCAGGUGAGGACUGGCCCGUUUCGCAUGCCAGUGUGCAGAAGUCGCACCGUGCUUAGCAGCGCGCCUCGGCGCGAGGUCCGAUGGCGAUGAUGGAGGUCCUCCAUAGCAUCUCGCCUUUCGUAGCUUGUGCUGCAUCCUUCUGCGCUGUCACCCACAAUGCUAGCGCGCACUAGCAAGCGUCGUCGUUGUAUUGAAGCUUUGCAGUGGUCAUUGCGAUGGGCCGUGCGGGCAGGGCGCCGAGCCAGCAUUCUUAAUGAAUGCGAAAACACUGUAAAUAUAUAUGAACUAAAUGAGGCCCAACAUGAUGCUGGCUCAAGGGCCCGCAGACCAUCUGCUGACACACGAGGUGUGGUUGACAGCCACGACGCCUGCCCACGCCGGCUCAAAGGCUGCCAUACCCCCACCCGAAGGCACAAGGCACGGUACCGUCCUAUUGCGGUGCCGUCCUAUUGCCGACUUCCAAAGUAACCCCAUCUGUUACAGUGCACAUUUCGAGGAGGAACCUCCAACCAGACUAUCGUACGUGCCCAAGGUGACAAUGCUUGUUGCGGCGGGCUAUGGGACCAACGCGACGCCAGCCAGGCGUGCGCAUGAAUGCAUAAAAGCGCAGAUUGAGCACGUCUGCCUCCAACUGCUACAGUGCAAAGUACGGGAAGUAUAAACGCCCACCCUAACCUCGCGGUGUGCGAAAACACAGGGGUGCAGGCGGGUCUAACUGUCACAGUAGACAGGGUACAACCAUGCCAUGUCUCACCCAAGUCCUCCCUUCGAAAUGAAGAACGCACACGCCUGUACAAAGCAAUUCCUAGGCACGAUAUAUCCAGAAAUGUCAUCAAAGUUGUUGUGUCAGUCACUCAGUCUGCUCCUUUCGCAGCCGACCUGCGAAAUCUCCGCGUCCGCCCGUCAUAUGCGCCGCCCAGGAAACUCCCCCACCGCCCGCAUUCCACCGCCUUGUGCCAUGGGAAACCGCAUAUGGCUCAACCGUCCGCAUCGGAGGUACUGGCCGCCACACACAGGACCCACCUCCAUGGUCAAGCCAGGAAGGCCCAGCCACACGCGCUACACAAGCAGAAAAGCACAGAAAGACACACAUUACGCACGCCUCGAUGUGGACAAGCUAAGGUGGCGACACUGCAAUCGCACUGAUACGCACGAACCCGACCGAGCCGGCGACGCAGACCCAUGUGUACGACGCUACCCGUUUCAGCAGUGCUGUGAGCUGUCGCCUCCUGCAAUGCCGUAGCGCGCCCGUCUAGGACCCUCACAAUCUCAGCCCACACGACUUGAGCCGGCUAUCAAUGCCAGUCGCUGCCUGCCGUGACAAUCUGCCCUCCGCCUCCUCACCUCGUUCGAACACGCGCGCUUCCGGCUGCCAAUCGUCAAGUAGUGUGGGACAUGCGCAGCACUUCGAUCCUUCGACCGCCCUCCUCACACCUCUACGGCCACCACCCUCAACAUGCCAAGCCGCAUACGCCUCACGUUUGUAGUUGUGUUCCCACACGAAAGUAAACAGGCGCUAGUUUCGCGCACGCCGUUAACAAACUGCACAGUGUCAGCAUCGUCGCACGCUGUCGCGCCUUCCGCACACAAGAGCUCCCACGCAGUCUCACCCUCACCAGUCCAUGCCCCACCCGCCGCCAGACCUUCCGCACGUCCAGUCCCGUGCCCUGCAUGCAGUCCCUCAUGAAGCCCUUACUCCACCCGGCAGUCCCCGCCCCCCCCACCCGCCAUCCUUGCCACCGCUGCCCGCCUCGCUUCUGCUGCUUGCGCCGCAGUCGCUUGCGCCGCAGUCGCUCCUCACCUCCGCUCAGAUGCGCAGCGGAUGCACCUGCUGCAUGAGCACCUCCUGGCCCGGAGAGCGGUGGGACUCGCUCUUCGCGAUGGCCUGCGCCUUCGCCACCUGCAGAUCAGUCAGGGGAGGAGCCGGAGGCUUAGGCCACCGUAUGCAUGUCGUAUGUCUCAUUUCAAGUAUCCUGAGCCCCAGGCCCCCGGCAAUUAUUGGCCAGGCAUUGUACGACGUAGGUACGGUAAUGUGGACAUCUUGCGUACACGCUGGAGGGCUGACUCACCUGCAGCUUGGUGAUCAUGUGCUCGAUCUCAUCGGGCGUCAUCUCACUGACGUCGCCCACGUCCGUCUCUGCAAAACAUGCACCGCGACAAACAGCACACAGUUUAACGUCCUGGUCCAGUACGGUACCUCAGCGCCCCGUGGGCCACGCGCGCGUUCUGUCAUGCGCGGCCCCUGCACAGAAGCUUUCAUCCCCCGCCCCCCAGGCCUGCCGCUGCUCACCCAUGGGUACGGCAACAUCGGUGCCCUCCUCCGCCGCCUCCUGCGGCGGCGUGUACGCCUCGUGUGCGGCGCCGGGCGCGUGCGCCAGCGAGCCGGGGUUGUACACGAGGCUGCUGCGGCGGCGCGGCAUGGCGGUGAUGCGCAUGGAGGUGCGGCGCUGGAAGGUGCGCACCCAGGGGUGGUGCAGCAGCUCCAUGACCGUGGGCCGGUCGCCCGGGUGCUUGCGCAGGCAUUGGCAGAUGAAGUCCUUGGCGAACUCGCUGAUCUUGGCGGGGAACUCCGGCACCGAGUGCAUGAUGCGGUCCACGCUGUCCAGCUGCGUCUCGCCUGCGCAGCGUGCAGGCAGGUGCGAGGUGAUGCGGUGUCGGUGUUUGAUGUGCGGCCCGCAUACGGUAUGCGCGACUGUUUACAGUGUUUCAAGUGAUAAUGACACCGCUUUGUGGGGACCGGAGUGAGACAAGGGGCCCGCGUGGAUUCGCCCCGCCCAUUUUCACGCGCCGCCUCUACCCCGUCCCCGAUGCACUCAUGUCGCAUCGUGCUACUCACCCGCAAAGGGCGGGAAGCCCACCACGAGCUCGUACGCAAACACGCCCACCGCCCAGGCGUCCACCGAGUUGUUGUAGUGCAGGUACGGGUUGUUCUUGUUCUCCUGGGGCAGGUUCUUGGGCGGGCAGCGCAGCACCUCGGGCGCCAUGUAGUCCAGCGUGCCUGUGCAGGUGGUCGGUGUGUGUGGAUGGUAUGGGUGGCAUGGAUGGUGUGUAUGCCGCAGUGACGUGCGUGAGCGUGUCGCCAUCGACGUCGCCUGACCCACGUUCGCCUCGAACACAUACACUCUGUGGUGGCGCGUGGUCUGGACCUGCACACAAUCUACGGUAACCCUCCUCCAAGUCCCUUCCAGCCGCCCCGCUGCCUCACCCGCGCGCGUCACGGCGCGCUCCUCCGUCAGGUCGAUGGCCAGUCCAAAGUCCGCCAGCUUCAGCACCCGGUGCUCCGUGAAUAGCACGUUCUCCGGCUUGAUGUCUCUGCAGACAACAGGAAACACAAGCACCAGGCGCGUCACACAAUCACCCAAUGCAGCUUUCUCAACGCGAGCGUUUCGCCUCCCCUAGCAGCGCCCUUUCCUGAUGCUGGUGAUGGCAGGGCCGCUCCAAGAGCCCGAAGCCGCAGGCCCGCGCCCCCACCUGUGCAUGAUACCGCGCGUGUGCAGGUAGUGCAGCGCUAGCAGGAAGGGGUGCAGCACCAUCUCCACCGCCUGGCGCUCGCUGAGGCGGCCGCCGUUCUUGUGCAGCAGGCGGUACAGGUCGCCGCCCUCCGCGUACUCCUGCACCAGCACCACGUCCGUGCCCUCCUGCGGGUGGCAUGUGCGGGUGAGGGCGGCAGCAGCGCGAGAGGCAUCUUGGCGGAGCAUGCAAGCGUGCUGUAGCUUCAUGGGAAGCUGCUUACUCAAGGCUGCUUGAGUAAGACAUGGGAGGUUGAACGUUCGUAAACGGUCAAACGCCUCGUCAGCGCCUGGUCAACGCCGGGACCGGGGUUACUUCAUGUGUACAAACCACCGUGACACUUCUCCUCUCUUGCCGGCAAACGUGCUUGCCCGCGCCGAAAAUCCGACACGCAUCAUCCAACUCCUUCCCAAUACAAGCGCAGCCCUGGUCCUGUAUACCCGCGCCGCCAGCACGUCCGCCGCACCUGGAACGCCGCGAUGAGGUGGAUGAUGUUCUGGUGCUGCAGGCUGCUGUGCACGCGGAUCUCGCGGAACACCUGGUAGUGGUUGAGCUCGCACAGGUUCUGCAUAUGGUACACUUUGAGCGCCACCAUCUCCAACGACUUCUUGCACAUCGCCUGCGCCAUGGGCAACAAGUGCAGGAGAGGUUGCUCAGCUGAAUGACUCACGCAAACCCUGGCAAACCUGCCGCUGGAACCACUGGUGACGCCCAGCAAGCACGCACGUGGCACGGCGCGCCAGCUUUUUUGCGCUACACACGGCUGCGCCCACCCUCGUCUCCACCGUUGCUACGACUGACUCAACCCCGCCGCCCAACCUCUUCUCUGUCUGACCACGCACCUGGUACACCGUGGACGCAUAGCCCGUGUACAUCUUUCGGAUGAUAUUGUAAUCCGACAGCGUCCAGUACUUGCGCUGCAUGGCCGCCGGCAGCUGCGGCGACAGAGAAACCAGUUUGCUGGCGGGCCGCUGGGAACCGGAUGCCUCCUCCGCCGGCGCCUGCUGCGCCUGCGGCGACCGCGCCGGCGAGGCCACAGGCUGCGCCUGCUGCUGCGGCUGUUGUGGCUGCUGCAGCUGCUGCGCCUGCGGCGGCGGAAGUUGCUGCUGCAGCGGCUGGGGCGGCGGCAGCUGCUGCUGCUGCUGCUGCAGGUGUGGCAGCGGCGGCAUGGCCGGCGGUGGCGGCAGGUUCGCAACCGCCUGCGUCGCCUGCGCCAGCGUCUGCGGCGCGUGCUGCUGCGGGUAGGCCUGCUGCUGCUGCUGCUGCUGCUGUGGGGGUGCGUGUGGCGUGUGCGUACGGGGUGACUGCGGCAUAGCGGAGGGCCCGGCCGCCUGCUGCUGAAGGUGCUGCUGUAGCUGCAGUGGCGGCGGCUGGAAAUGAUGCAUUUUUGGCGUGCCACCCGAUGGUGACGCCGGCGGGUAGCCCUGCACGCUGCUGCCGUCCGCCGCAUGCUUCUUGGAGUUGCUGGGCGUGGCGUGCGUGUGCACCGCGUCCUCCAUCGCCACGUCCUCAGGCACGGUGGCCAUGGAAUCGUUCAGGUGCACCUGAGACAGGCUGCUCAUUUUAUGCGGCGGCGGCGGCAUGGUGGGCGGCAGUCCUGGAGGGGGCCGUGGCACCAGCCCCGGCGCCUGCGCGGCCCCUGCUGGCCCUGCGGUGGCCUUGGCGCGCUGCGCCUUCUCUGCUGCCGCGACCGCUGCGGCUUGGUCCCGAGCAGCCGCGCUCGUCCCGGCGAAGUAGUUGCCGAAUACCAGUUUGUUUUGCCCGGGCUGCAGCAGCUGCUCCACCGCCGCCUUGCCCUCGGCUGUGCGCAGUACCAUAUCAAGCGCGGCGGGCGUCGACUUGCGACGGCCCGAUGAAGGGCUGAACAUGUUUGCCAGAGGUGGGGGCUGAGCUUUGGACGAGAAGCUGUUGUUGCUACUUCCAAUCUGUACAGGCGGCAGCACGGUUCCGCCGUUGCCUGGGGACGCAUGGUCGGUCAGCAUGGGCGCUUCUUUGAGCGUGAUAGUGGAGUGCGCCGCGGACGCGUUGCUGCGCAUGCUGCUGGUCGCAACGAGCUCUGGAGCACCCCGCUCGCCAUAGCUGCUGUUCUUGCUCUUUAUCGAGCUGAAUUUGCGGGGCGAGUUGGCACCCACGUUGCCAGGGCUCUCUGGCCCCUCGCUGUAGUCUGUUCCGGAGAGGCUUCCUUCUGCAAGCGCGUAAACACACACAGGAGCAACGCUCAACCCGCAUGACCCGCGCAGGCAGGCCCGGAACCGCGCCCGAGCGCCCGACGAAGGAAUUCGGAGCAAGGCCAAAACAGUUCCAACGCCUUGCUCGCAGCCCACCUUUCCGCGAAGCGCUAAAUAUCCUGUCCUUGAACCUGCUCGUGCCAAGGGGAGGUCGCGCAGACAGAAAUUGGAGCCCGGUCAGCAAUGCCUACGAAGGGUCACCCUGUGUUCGCGGCAUGGACUUACUUUUUAAGACCCUUGCUCAGCAUCCUUCAACGAGGGUCCAGAACUGCCAGAGCGUGGCCCCCCACGACCCAGGCUGGUUUUCUCACGUUAUGUAAAAGCUGUCAAAAGGAUACAGACUGACACUCUACUUAUUUUUCCCUUCUCACUAACGUUCACCGAAUACUCCGGCGCUCAGUGAACAAGUCGCAGCUCUUGCGCUCAGUUCUAAGUCUACUUCCUAUCUAGUCCAGCGUCUCUGAAUUGUUGGUGGUGUGUCGCGGGGAAACCUGGGCAAAUGAGGGAUUCUUGAUGCCGCAAUGCGGGGCGACCCCAUCGAGUGCCCCCGGCGACCCUUUCCACGCGAUUUAACCUAUUCGUCUAUCUCCGUUAUACGCUCAAGAGCUUGGGGCCCGCCACUUGCUAACUCGUGCAAGCAAUCCCACUUCUUUCGCGCACCGGACUUGUCCGCACCGAACUUGUCCACAACCCAAUAAUCCUACUGAUUAGAGUUGCAUCGCAUAGCUAGAUCCCGAUGCUGCGUGGAGAUGUGUGCGGGCGUGGCGCCUCGGCGCGAACUCGCUCGCGACUGCCGUUCAGCGCUGGUUUUCCCAAGGCCCCACGGCGCGGGGGCUUGAGCCGUGGGAUAUGCCGUAGCGCGACAACGCCGAGUUCGUCUGUGGUGGCGGAUGAGGUAGGUGCGGGGCGCCCAGCCACACAUGACCUCGGUGCCUAGUGUGCGUGGCCGGUGCCUACUGCGCAGCCACUCCCCGCCCAGGCCCGCGGUAGGCCGCCUCACCCCACACCGAUAAUCGACAUGCGGCCACAAGUGUGAUGUCUCAAGCACUGUAGCGCGCACACGCCCUCGCACCAUGCCGUUCACCGCACGUCGCCUGUCAGUUGUCGUUCCUAACAGCGAUGAGUCAUACGCACAAACACACACGCUGCAGGCGGGAUCUCCAGCCAAGUCAGGCGAGGGCAAGGUGACGCAGCCCGUGGAGCGGAAGGGCAUGAUUGACACGCAGCCGCCUCGCGGUAAGACCCCCGGCACGUUCGAAGAUUGUGUAUCACACGGCAACCGCCGAACCGCAUCGGCAGGCCGACCCCUGCCACGUAUAGCUCGGGUCAGCUGCAGCCACUGCAGGGCUGUGGGCUGGGACGCCAUGCUAUACACACGGGCACACUGAGGGGGCUUUGUUUUGUUCCUUGUCCUCACACAUGGGCACACACGCACCCUGCGGGUGUCGCUCCUGGUGUCCCUUUCCGCGGCGUGAUGUACCAGUAUCUCUUUUCUCUGAGGAUGACUAGACCACAAUGACAAGACCCGCACCCUUCCGCAGCCCACCUCCUCUCUGUCGCCCCGACUGUCCCCUGCUGCCGCUGCUGGCCCCAGGCACCCGUGACUUCCCUCCCGAGGACAUGCGGCUGCGCAACUGGCUGUUCGGCGAGUUCGCGGCCGUCAGCGCGGCGUUCGGCUUCGAGCAGUUCGAUGCGCCGGUGCUGGAGAGCGAGGAGCUGUUUGUGCGCAAGGCGGGCGAGGAGAUCACCGACCAGCUCUACAACUUCGAGGUGUGUGGGCCAUGAACCUGCUUGUGAAGAUGGGAGAGGGAAGGGCUUGACCGUUGACACGGUGCGCGUGUCAACAGCCGCAAAUGCCACUUGUCCCUGGUGACUCCUAGCGCGCCAAACUCAAUCACUCCUCCCUCCGUCCUCCUCCCCCGCACCCCGCACCCCGCACCCCGCACCCUGCAUCCCCGCAGGACAAGGGCGGGCGGCGCGUGGCUCUGCGGCCCGAGCUAACGCCCAGCCUGGCCCGGCUGGUGCUGCAGCGCGGUAAGCAGCUGCCGCUGCCCGCCAAGUGGUUCGCCAUUGGGCAGUGCUGGCGCUACGAGCGCAUGACGCGCGGCCGCAGGUGCGCCCCGGCCGCUGCGGCUAAGGAGGGGAGGGUGAAGGGAGGGGAGAGGAGAGCGAGGGCGCGGCGGGGCAUGUCGUAUGCGUGUGUUGUGAGCAGGCCAGGGGGCCCAUGCGCCAGUCCCGCAAGCGCCAAGGAGGCGUGGGGCUAAGCUCUGUCGCUGGGAGCGAGGCGGGGCGCGGGUCUGGAUCCGGGUCGGGACCGGCAGGGCGGCUGUGGCGGAAGCUGCACGUCGCGACCUCGCUCGUAGAUGGCAAAGUGGGCGCACGCCAGGUGCCUUCUGGUGAUAUAUGCUCCCUCCUGCACUGCCGCCCCCGAUAAGUCUGACAUCUCUGAACCGUUCCCCGCGCCCGCAGGCGCGAGCACUACCAGUGGAACAUGGACAUCGUCGGUGUCCCGGGUGUGGAGGCGGAGGCGGAACUGCUGGCGGCCAUUGUGGCGUUCUUUGAGCGCGUGGGGCUCACCGCAGCGGACGUGGGGAUCAAGGUCUCCAACCGCAAGGUGUGCGGCCGGGGAGCAGGGUAGGGCGGGGGGCGGGGGCCAGGGCACGGGAGGGGAGGGAAGGGGACGGCAGGGCAGNNNNNNNNNNNNNNNNNNNNNNNNNNNNNNNNNNNNNNNNNNNNNNNNNNNNNNNNNNNNNNNNNNNNNNNNNNNNNNNNNNNNNNNNNNNNNNNNNNNNCCCGGGCCCGCCCCCUCCGCCCCGCGCCUGCCCCCUCCGCCCUUCGUGCGUGUGCCGUCCUAACAGGACUGGCUUGUGUUCGACCCCUCGGUGUCCGCGGCCUGGCCUACUACACCGGCACCGUGUUCGAGGCGCGCGACCGCGCCGGCCAGCUGCGGGCCAUCUGCGGCGGCGGGCGGUACGACAAGCUACUGGCCACCUUUGGAGCCGCCGAGGACACGCCCAUGGCGGGAUUCGGAUUCGGGGACGCGGUGGGUGAUGGGCGGGCAGGAGGGCGUGUGGUGGUGGGCGGUUGGUGGUGGUGGUGUUAUUGGUUGUGGUGGUGGUGGUGACGGAGGGGGAGGGGGCAUGGUGUGUGGGCGGCAGGCAUGGCAGUGAGACAGGCGCAAGCUGAUUGGGCUUUCCACUGCUUCCUGGGCAGCCCCUCCAUGUGCCACCGCCCCCCACGCCUCACCUAUCCUUGCACUCUCUCUCACACACACACACACACACACCGCACACACCAUACAUCCUGACCACCAGCCACACCGGACUCACACACACGCAUACUUGCCCCCCCCCCAAACACACACACACAUACUUGCGCCCCCCCCCCAAACACACAGGUGAUUGUGGAGCUGCUCAAGGACCGGGGCCUGCUGCCGGCGCCCGCGCACCGCGUGGACGACGUGGUGGUGCCGCUGGACGGGGGGCUGCGGCCCGCGGCGGCCGGCGUCGCCACUGCGCUGCGGCGCGGCGGGCGGCGUGUGGACCUGGUGCUGGAGGCCAAGAAGAUGAAGUGGGCGUUCAAGGUGCGGAGGAUGGCGGGUGCAAAGAUGGUUGGAAAAGCGGCACAGGAUGCAGGGGGGGGGAGGAGGAGAGGGAGGAGGAGGAGGGGAUGGAGCCGGAGAGUGUGGGUGGAGGGUGGCGGUACACCCGAGCCCCAAUCCCACCAACCACGGGACAAGGCGGGAUGGGCAUAAGGCGGAGGCGGUGAGGGGCCCGCUAUGUUGGGCACUGCGUACCGCUGUUGCCGCUUCCCGCUGCUGCAUUGCUGGGGCCUGCCCCACGUGCUGGCCCCAUAGUAGCACCAGCGCCAAAAGGGGGCUCCCACGCAAGCUGCGCUGACUGUCUAACACAUCCACCUCCUCUGUCCCCGUGGCGCCGCCGCACGCCCCCACAUCAUCAACAGCACGCGGAGAAGCUGGGCGCGUCGCGGCUGGUGCUGGUGGGCGCGAGCGAGUGGGAGCGCGGCGCGGUGGUGGUGAAGGACCUCGCAAAGUUCGAGCAGAAGGAGAUUCAGGUGGCGGAGCUCACAGGGGCGGCGGCCGCGGCGGCCGCGGCGGCCGCGGUGUCGGCGUAAGGUGGGAUUGUGUCAGGGCAAAGAGGUGGCGAGGCGCGAGGAGGCUGUUGUGUGCGUGGACCAUGGUAUGAAAGACUGAGAGAGGCGGGGCGUGUGAGGGAGCGUUUAGUGGGCUGGGUGGCACGCGUGUUGGGCGGCUUAGGCAACAGUGGCGACGACGUGCGCGGCGGUGAUCGUGGGAUCGCCAUAAUGCGCUAUCUGAACCAGUGUUGCAAGUAAUUUUGGUUGUGGAGCGGGACCCAUGAGCGGGACCCUGCAUCCCCAAGUUUUGUGGGCGAGCCUGGCAAGUGCUGAGCGAGACUGAGGGGUGCGAUGGGACAGGGUUGAGGCAGGUUGGUGAAUUCCCGUAGGGUGCAGAUUGCUGAUUCCCAGACCCCAGCACAUGGCAAACAAGUUGCGACGGCAGUGCGGCUGGCGGGUCGAACGCCGGAGUUACUAAACGACAAGUUGCUUGCUUGCUGGAAGUCAGCUGACGCGCAUUCUUCACGCUCCGGGCGCCCGACACUGAGGGGCCAUGGGGGAGCGGGUGGGCGUGGGCAGGCAGGGCAGGCAUGUGUAAAAUACAAGGUUGCGCAUGAAUACCCCUCAUUAUCCGCAUUAGCAAACUGUCCUCGGGCCCGGUCCAGCAGACUAAUCAGACGCGAUUGCGCCUGUCAGUGCAGGUCGUCAGUGUUAGCGCCUGCACUAUCUGCACAUGUGCAGCACACCAGCGCCCGUCAGAGUUAGCAUUAUUCACUCGUCGUGCUCGGGGCGUCGUCUCUGGUGUCGACUCAGGCCACAGCCGCCCCGCAGUAUCACAGCACGCCGCCGUCUCAUCACCUCGUGCCCCGCACCCCUGCCGCUAUUUGGCCAGUCCUUGGCAGUUAUCACACCUCCAUCAAAUUCGACUGCCCCCGCUGCAUCACCACAGCACCGCAAAAUGGGCGGCAACAUCGGCCAACGCCUUGAUCACACCCAAACAAUCACUCAUACGCCAAGUACCGCUCACGUUCCCACUCCUUGUCUCGCCAUGCGGCCUUCCUGAGAUCACGUGCAUCGGAUCCCACUCGCAAUGCUCCAGACCGCCACUCCAUCACCGAACCACCCCAUGCCCAACAUUGCAUCACAUCAUCACACCACAACCCAUUACUCAUCAUCACCCGGCACCCUCAGCGGCACCCUCAGCGGCACCUCCAGUGGCGCACAGCGCGUGCAGCACCGCGGUGAGCUGCAGUUCGCCGCCCAGGCCUCGGUUGGUGUAGUGGAUGCCGUCCCAGGUGGCCUCGUGCAGGAUGCGAGUGGCACUGAAGGUGUCGAUCAGCGGGAUGGGCGCGUGCAGGCCCGCCGCCGCCUCCGCCUCCUCCCCUGAGGCUGCGGAGGUGCUGCUGGUGGGGGUCGUGCUACUGCCGUCGGCUGCGCCGCCGUCAGCGCCUAGAUGCCUGGAUGGCAGCUGCCCAGGAAACCGGCCCGCCUGGCUCUCUCCGCCAGCCGCCGCUUCUGCCUCCCCAUCUUCCGCGGCGCGGCGGCUGGGCAGCGGCAACGGCAGUGCCGCGAGCAGCCGUUGGAGUGCCGUCUCCGUGUCGCCUACGUCUGAGCCCUUCACGCCGCGCCCGCCUCCUGAGUUGCUACUGCUAGUAACACUACUGCUGCUGCUCCCGCCCGCCGUCGCGGCCGCCGGCGCGCGGCCCCACAGCAGCAGCUCCUGGGCUCGCCGCCGCUGCUGGCGUAGCCGCCGCCGCCGCCGAGGCCGAGGCGGCUGCAGCUCUGCCACAUCAUCGCCUCCUACGCUAGAGCCGCUCUGGCCCCCGGCCCUAGUUGCCUCCUCGACCGCUGAGGCCUGUGCUGCUCGCAGGCUGGACAGCAGGGCUCGGAGGUGAUCCACGCCGGCACCCGUGCCCUGCUCCUGCCCCUCCUCAUCGUCGUCCUCCUCCUCCUCGCCUGCCUCCUCGACUGCCUCCUCCUGGCCCUCGUCCGCCGCCUCCUCUGGCCCUUCCUUGCCCUGGGAAUGGAGGCCGAGCCACAGGCCCUGCCCCUGCGCCUGCAGCUGCCGCUGCCACCGCACCUCCGCCUCCGCUGCCCCCUCCGCCUGGCCCUGCGCCUGGCCGCCCUCAUGCGCCACCCUGCGACCGCCAGCGCCUACCUCGCUGCCCCCGUCGCCCUCACUGCCCCCGCCGCUGCGCCGCUGCGCCCCGCCCUCCAUGACGUCGGCGGCGAUGCGGUUGUACAGCAGCAGCAGCGGGUCGGUGCGCCAGUCAAUGCCCGAAGACUCCAGCCGCGCCUGCGCAUUACGGUCAGGUGUAAGUGAAGCGGUGUGAGGCAUGAGGGAAACGACGUCAGCCUGCCCCGUCGCUGUCGCCAAGGCCAUGCCGCGCUUUCAUUAGUCUUCCUGUCACACACAUCGCCACCAGGGCGGUACACACCAGCCCCCCUCCUCCUCCUCCUCGCCCCCCUGCGCACCUUGAGCGAGGAUACCACGGUGGUGAUCCAGUACACGCGCAUGCCGUGCUGCGCCCGCAGCUGCGCCAGCUUGCGCCGCACGUGCGCCACCUGCGCCGCAUACUGCCCCGCCGAGAAGGGCGCCGGGCCGGAGCGGUAGGACGCUGGCCACUGCCCGAAGUUGGCGAACACGUCCGUGCAGCCCGCCGCCACCAGCGGGCUCGGGCCUCCGCCCGCGCCUUCGCUGCCGCUAGCGCUGCUGUCGCUGCCGCCGCCGGCCAGCGGCUGCUCCGGCUCCGGCCAGUCGUGUCCCCACAGCAUGCGGAAGUAGACGCUGGUGUUGGCAGGCGAGGCCAGCAGCUCCUUGAUGCUGUUGUUGGGCGCACGCACAAAGCCCGUCUCCCACAUGACCAGGCUGUUGUGCAGGUAGCGCGCGUGCGAGUCGCCCAGGAAGCACACGCGCCGGCCCGGCGGCAGGCACUGCGCCGGCGUGAUGGCGGCCGCCUCGGCCUCGGCCUCACCGCUGUUGUCGCCGGCCCCGCCCUCGCCCGCCAACUCCUCACCGUGCUGCUCCCGCCACUGCGCCCCGCGCUCCGGCCGGUCGGCACCGGCUGCGCCGUCUGCGGGCUCCGCCGCCGCCGCCGCUGCGGCCGCGGCGGAGGCCAUGGCUGCCUGCAUGCCGGCGAAGCUGCGCAUGCGGCAGCCGGCGGGCUGCCAGUACAGGGUGCCGGGGUGGCUGGCGGUGUGGAUGCCGCGCCGCUCGGCCCGCGCGCAGUCGUGCAGCUCGUCGCCCCAGAUGCAGGUGCGCAGCAGCGGCGCCACGUCGUCAGGCGCGGGCCAGGUGCGGAAGCGCCACCGCCCGGCGCGCGGCCCGGUGUCCGGGCACAGCGGGAGCGAGCUCGCGGGCGCGGAGUCGUCGUCGGCGCUGCUGUCGGCGUGUCCGCCGCUGCUUGGCGACGCCAGAAUGGACUCGUCGGGCGCUGAGCUCCAGGACUGCGCCAGGUGCUGUCCCUCCAGGUGUUGCUGCUGCUCCGCCGCAGCUGCAGCAGUCCCGACGCUGAGCGUGAGGUAGCCCGCCCAUGGCUGCGACAUGGCUUUGCUGGUGUUGGGCGCAGCGAAGGAGAAGCUGGAGUACAGCAUCAGCACCUCAAUUGAGUAGCGGCCCGGCCCCGGCAGGCUGUAGGUCGCCAGGGCCAGGUCUGGCCUGCAGUAACUCGGCUCCAGGAGCCACAUGCCGGCGGGUCCGGUCACUCGAAGCCGGUAGAUUGCGGUGCCCAGCGGCUCCAGCCCCUGCACGACUGUGCGAUGAAGGACAAGCGUGCCCGACGAGGCCGAGCCCGCGUGGACGCAAUUGUGUAGCUGCAGCGGCAGCGUCUGGCUGUCAUAUGUGGUGCAGGCCGCGGCCGUCAGCGUGUUGUAGUUCGAAUAGCAGGCCGUGGACUCGCCAUGCUCGCGCGGAAAGAGGGGUGGCCCGAUGGCCAGGUACCCAGGCCAUGACGUUGUAUUUGUAUUCACUGGAUCGAUACCAGGCUGUGCGCGCAGCGCUUGUAGCGCGGCGAGGUUGAGUAGCGCAACGGGCCAAAGAAACGCGAGCAGGGUGCGCUGCAUUACAACGAUGGGCUAGAGCCCAGGGUGAAAUGAAAGACGAACUGUCAUCGAACUGGAGCUAUAGACCGGUGCGGGACAGGCUCGCUGAAAUGUUUCCAGCUACUCCUGUUCUGCACAAAGCCUUGCCUGUUUGUUGACUUAAAUAGUGGGGUCACAUCAAGAAAGCUAACUGAACUGCGCCGAGUUGGCGAUUAGGUCGCCGACGUUACCAAUGCGGCACGCCAGCGCUGCACUCCGCCCGCGAGUGCUCCGGACCCCGCCGGCUGGGCCCGGCAAUGGCCUGGACUCCGGCAGUCCGGCUGACGUCUUGCACAAGAUGUCGGCACUUCCACAGCCUUGCCAUGCCUGACAUUCAAAUAUUCGUUACAAGUCACGUCGAAACGGGUAACAGCACCAAGUCUACUGAGAGGUGCAAUCCAGCUGUAGGGGCAUGCCGCACCCCAAUGACGCUGUACAGCCACAACCUCCCACGCUAGCGCCGCCACCAUUUGUGAGCCACAUCAAACCACAACUUCUUUCUCGUACAUCUUGCUUGCAUGCUCAUACGCAUGUGUGCCAAAGCGCGCCACACGGCAUCGCGCCGGCACACCACCUCGCGGGCGCAUCAGGCCCCACACGCCACUCCCAACGGCUGUUUCACCUGUUCAGGAAGGCCGUCACGGGGCGCCGCACAAUGCUCGCUACAGCCCCACAGACCAGCCAGCCAGCACACUGCCGCGCUCAGUGCUCCGCCACGCUGGCGAUGGCGCCGCCCCCAGCACCGCCCGCGGCAGCGCCCUCCACACCCUCCGCGUCGCCCUUCAGUGCUUUGGAGAGCAGCUGCUCACUGGCGGCCCACACGCGGCGAGCCAGCUCCUUGUCGCGGCCCUGCAGACAUGGGCGACCAGCACGCACAGGGACAAAAACACACCGAUCGCAGCUCCGGCCUGCUUGCGUGGAGUUGUGUGCAUGCCGGCACGGCGUGAUGCGGCCAGGCUCACAGCAGCCGCCGGCCCACUCCAGCCCACCCCCACAGGUGCAUCCCCGGCACGGCCCUCUCCGCACCCACCGGCGCGCUGGUCUUGCCAGGUCCGCAGUCUUCCAGGUAGCUACCGCUCAGGUGCGGCGGCUCCAGCUCCGGAGCUGUGGCCGCAUACACACUGGUGGCGGCGCCCUAGCAGGGGGAGGGGGUUGGCGGGUUGGUGAAUUGGCAGGAGUCAGGCCCAUAUUGUCCGCAGCCUUUGGCCGUGGCGGUUUGUUUCAUUUGAUUUCGCAUUAAUAUGAUCAGGGCGAUCACGGACCAUGGACAUCUGUACUCACACAGCAGGACCAAGCGGAUUCCCGGCCAUGCGCGGCCUCCACACCACCUCGUCGCUGCUUCUGACACUGGCGCUGCCGCCCACUGCCUGCGCCCUGUUGCAGCGCCCGCCGCCCCCCUAAACGUGUCUUGUCAUACACCUUCGUGUCCUGAUGGUUCUUAUUGGGACUGGUGAAAAUAACCCCUGCUGGGCCUUGGUUUACUUGGGGUUGGAAUAACCUCCCACCCACCUACACACGGCUACUCCCCCCCUUCGAUGUAGCUUGAGCUGGUAUCUACACCCCCCCCCCCCUGCACACACACCUGCUUGACGGACUUGGACAUCGGCCAUAGUACCAUCCGCAUCACCGCCCGCAGCAGCAGCGGCAGGUUGCUCUCCAGAGACUGCGGCGGAAGGGGUUUUGGAUGUGGGCCAGUGGGUGUGCAUGUGCAGGUUUCAGCUUGGGGCGAUGUGACAAGAGGCGUGUGGGCUGAAUGUGAGGUCUAAAAGCCCAAUAAACACGGUAGACGCAAUCCGCCGGGCGCCUACCGUGAAGAUGACUCCAGGGUGCAGCGAGAAGACCCGCACAGGGGUGUCCUUGAGCCUGUGGCGUGCGGCAAACCCGCGCAUGCACAUCAGCACUUGCACCUCCCAACUGCAGGAGCCCUGACCCCGCCCCACUGUCGUGCUGCCGGCUGUCGGCCGCAGCGACUGCCCCUGUCCUCCCACUCCCCCACACCCCGCAGACCCCUGCUGCUCCCGCUGCUCCCGCUGCUGCCUGGCUACCUGUCCGCCAGCUCCAGCGCAAACAGCACGUUGCACAGCUUGCUCUGUGCGUAGGCCGCCCACAUGCCGUACUUGCCUGCGCGUGUCGCGAGUGCGCGUUAGCACUUGUGCGUGUGUGGAUGAGACCGAAACGACAUAUGGCACAGCCGUGGCCUUGCAAGCGCCACUGUGCGUCUCGGGGGCCCCUGAACUGAUUGCACGUGUUCCAAACCCUUCCCAAUUCAAGCCAGUCCCAACCGGGCCGCCCUCACUUCAUUCCUGAUUCUUUCCUUCCUUCCGCUGUCGCCCCAGUCCAAGAGCCCCCGCCCUGCCGCCGCCUCACCGGCCGCAGUGCGCUUCUCCCAGUUCAGGUCGUCGGCGUCCAACACGUCGUCCCCGAACGCCCCGUGCGCCUUUGAGGCAACCACCACCACCCGCGCCGGGGUCCCGUGCCCCGUCAGCGCCGGCAGCAGCUGCUGCGUGAGGUAGAAGUGGGCGAUGUGGUUGAUACCGGUCUGGGGCUCCAGGCCCUGAGCCGUGUGCCUGCAGGGAACAGGGGGCGACAGGGGCGCGAGACACGGUGGUGACCGCAAGUGGGAUAGGGGCGCGGGGCUUGUGGCGGCAGCAUUCCUCCUCCGAUGCGCAACAGGAGAACUGCAUGCACACUGCAGAGACAGCUUCACAACAACAGGUAAGCCCUUCCGAGCUCCAUCCGGCUCAGCGGGCGCUCCGACACACUCACGGCAUGGGCGCGGCCACCACGCCCGCGUUGAGGAUGAGCAUGUGCAGCACCGCACUCCCACUUCCACCACUCCCGCCCUCCACCACCUGCUGCUGCUGCUGCUGCUCCUGCGCUCCUGUCUGUGUGCCCGGCGAUGCAUCGCUGCUUAGCUCCUUCAACAGCUGCUCCGCCCCGCGGCGCACUGAGCUCAGGUCCGCCAGGUCCAUCAGCACCAGCCGCACAUCGGCGCCCUCGCCGCCCGGCUCCUUCCUAACAAGGAAAACAACAGGGGGUACAUGAUGUGGAGAGGGAGGAGCCUGAAUGAUCCUGGUGCAAUGUUGGCAGGCAGAGCAGGGCAGGGGCAGGCAGGGAGCAGAAAGGUGCCAGGGAGUGGCCCUGCUACCGCAUCCCGGAAACAACACCAGCGCUACUGCUGUAUCGCUUUGCCCUUCAUUAUCCUGCACCUGUCCCCUGAUAUGUCUACACACUCAUAUGCUUACCUGAUGGCUUCUAUGGCCUCCCGCCCUCGCUGCUCGGACCGGGCACACAUGUAGACCGUGGCUCCCGCGCGAGCGAGGGAACUGCACGUCUGGAAGCCGAUUCCAGCAUUCCCACCCGUCACCACGGCCACCUUGCCUGUGAAAUGUACACGAAAUCGCUUGAACACUGCGCUGAAAUGUACACAUCGCGAGGGAGCUGCCUGGCGUCAGCUGAGUGGUUGGCCCAUCCCAACCACACCCGCGCGUUCGAGUUGCUUCUACCUUUCACAUCUAUGCCUCCUUUAAGUGCUUCAUCAGCUGUUGUCCGCUUAUUGAGUUUGCGAGGCUUUGUGGAGCUCAUCUCACAGGCAAUGCAGGUUGCGCGGCUUUGACAGUUUUGAAUGAAGCUGUUUUUGUAUUCUGAAGUGGAAGCGUUGCCUUCAGAGCAGGGCACGGAGUUACAGGCGGGGUUCGUCGAUACAUGCGCUUGGGCUCAUAUCGCGCAUGCCUUGGGCUGGUCAUGGGGCGAGCUCAGCGCGAUGGGUCCCAUGGGUCCCAUGCAUUGUCAUAGCUGUAAGCUUUGUCUCCAUCACUCUAGACACCAAUACACCACUCUAGACACCUACACCAUGCCGACAGGCGAGGCAAGCACAACCGGCGCUACUACGCGGGCCUUCGGGUGGGCUGCGGCGGGCCGUUUGAGCCCGUGCGCGAGGUCUUCAAGGAGGCGCUUGGCGAGGUGGGUGUGUCGCGAUGACUCGGUGGGUCGAGCCUUGCAGCAGCUCGCACUCGGUGGGCCGCUAAGCUGACUCUGACGCUGACGCCCCGCAACCACAGUGCAACAUCGUCAUGUACCUAAUCUGGACGGCUCCCGGCGGCCAGAUUAGGUACAUGACGAUGUUGCACUGUGGUUGCGGGGCGUCAGCGUCAGAGUCAGCUCAGGAUGGCGCCAGGGGAAGGGGCGCCAGCGGCCAGCACCAGGGGAGCAUUGGCAACACCUAAGGCAGUGCCAACAAGGGCAAGACACUGUCCAAGGCGACCAAGGCUGCCAUAUCGGCUGUGCCCUCAAGGGCAAGACACUGUCCAAGGCAACCAAGGUUGCCAUGUCGGCGGCCAUGAUCAGCGGCGUGUGCAAAAGCUGCGAGGCGCGGGCCCGGCAGCAGAAGUUCCGGGCCAAGAAGGCCUAGUCGACUCCUCCGCCCAAAACCGGUGUUUAUCAACACCACCCAUCAACACCGGCCGGCCACUCCCAACAACCGUAACUCCCUGGCGUCAUUGCGCGUGGCUUCAGUGCCCUCCUCUCCUCGUCCUCCCCUCCUCCUCCUCCUCCUCCUCCUCCUCCUCCUCCUCAGGCGACUUGAGCAUGCAACACAACUUCUAGGUCAAGAAUUGCCACAGGCUGGCGCUCCAUUAAAACGUGUACUGGUAUCUAGGGUGGGGACGUAGAUGCAAGUAGAACAUCGAACAUCUACGUACCCCGCCCUAGCAUGCUCAUUGCCGUGCUCCGCAACCGCCCCAGUAGGUCAUCAUCAACACGGUAACGCCAUCAGCUGCCCCCUCCCUGACCUCCCAUUAUCCUCCCGAUUAUCUCCAGCGCCCCUGCCCCCCUGCCUCCAGGCGAUCCACGGCGCCCGUGCGGCACUGCGCGGCUACUCGUCCUCCCCCUCGCCGCCCUCCUGCCCCGGCUUAUACACGUCUCUCCGCUGCACGUUGUAGCGGUCGCGCAGCUGCCUGUGGUGCAGCAGCAGCAGCCCGUGGUGCAGCAGCCAUGUGGGUCAGGGGUCAGGGGGCCAGUCACGUGCGCGGCACGGGGGCGCCAUGGCGGCGGCAGCGCGCAUGCCCUUCACAAGAGGGGUCCUACCAGGAGCUAGCCUCACGACCUAACCUUGCCCAAACCCUCCAUCCCCCACGACCCCUCUCGGCCCCCCGCCCCGCUCCCUUACCUGCACGGCACGUAGUCUCCCCGGCCAUCCAAGCCCAGGAACAGGAUGUAGAGGUAGGGGUGCUGCAGCGGGUCGGUGCCGUACACCUCGGCCCAGCUCUUGGGCUUGGCGCCCUCGGCCGGCGGCUCCAGCUCCGGCGAGGUGAGCAGCUCUGGAGGGGGAGGGAGCGGGAGUCGCGGUUGGGUGGCGUGGUGGGGAAGACUUGUCUUCAUGUCUUGUGACUACGUGUGUGCAGCUCGGGUAAGCACCUGCCAUUACGCCCCCGGCCCUGCGCCACGUGACCACCCACCCUCGGGCACGUACGCCACGGGCGGCAGGUGCGGGUCGUACUCCCAGUCCCGCGCGUCCACCAGCAGCUGCAGCCGGGCAGUAGCGGCGAGUGGCGAGUUGCAUGUGUGUUUGUGGUGGGAGGGGCCGUGGGAUAGGGCAAGGCACGCGUGUGCGGGUGCGGGUGUCCGGACGGGUGCGGACACCAGCGGUGCUGAUUUUGACCCGGUACCCCUGGCCCACCGCGACAUAAGAGUUACGGCGUGUAAGCGCCCACUAGGUACGCCACGAGCCCAGACCGCCCCCUCCCGCGCCCACUCUCACGCCCCACCCCGCCCCCAGCCCUCCACUCACGUGGUAGAAGGGCUGGCCGAUGCCGCGGCCGCACUCGCCCACCCGCGCCGCCGCGAUCCAUUCCUCGCUCUCGCAGCAGCGCAUGUCCCACCCCACCACCACACCCCGGUAGCCCAGCUGCUUGUGCAGCACCCGCUGGCCCAGCCGCAGCACCGGGCCUGUUGCCAGUGGGCGGGUGCGUGUCACCAUGCGGCGGGUGCGCGUGAUGGCAGUGGCGAGAAGGAGGUAAGAGAUUGGCGCAUCGGGCGACAGCAAGGCGGCUACUAUCGAGCCCACCACAUGCAUAUGCGCAGCUACACGCACACGCCCUGCCUUUCUGCCCAGCAUACAGCAUCGCAUUUCCUACACGUACGGUGUCGACACCUUCAACGUGCGCUUCCAUUGCACACAACCACUCAUGUUCUGUGUCCCAACAACACAGCAAAGGAGCUCACCGUUGGGCGAGGUUGUGUCCCACUCCGCUGCCAGCGCCGCCGCCUUCUUGGCCUCCGUCUCCAGCUCCUUCAGCAGGUCGCGGUACUUGGCCGCGGAGCCGUAGCUGCACAAGUGCGGUGAGCCGUGAGCGGUGAGCCGUGAGCGGUGCGGUGCAGCGAGCGGGUGUGGUUGUCAGGGACAGCGGGUGACUGGUCGAACGGUGUCGUCACGUCGCCACGGAGCCCCCCGCCCCCUCGAAACCACAGCUCCCGCCAGCUGGCACCGAGCCCCGCCCCUUGCUACUUAACACUGGCGUACAGCCCCCAGGCCCCGAUCGGCCCGACCCCGGACCCCCCUGUGUACCGGUACACCCGCACCCGCACCCCACCCCGACCGGCCCCAGCCCCGGCCCCGGCCCCUGCUCACUCCUCCGCCUCCACCGCCCGCUGCAUCUCCGUGCGCAGCCGCAGCAGCUCCGCCGCGUAGUCCGCCCCCGCCAGGCGCUGCACCGCCACGGGGGCACCCGUGUUCCUGGCCUUGCGCUCCUUCAUGGACUGCACGGCCUCGUCCACCUGGCGGGUGAAUACACGUAUGCACGUGUGUGUAUGUGUGUGUUGAGGGCUCGCAGCCUCACAAGUGGGCACACGGAGGCGGGUGCGGGGUGGAUGCCUCCUGAAACACGCAAACACACGCCCCCGCACCCAUACCUCGCCCCCGGCCUCGGCCUGCCAGCCCGCCGGCCACCUUCCCCGCCGUGCGCUCACCCGCUGCCGCUUCUUGCGGACCUCCUGCGCCGCCUCGUAGGCCUCGUAGUUGAGGCAGCGCUGCAGCUGCGUGUCCAAGUCGAGCUGGGGGCGGUGCGUGGCGUGCCGUAGCGGAUGGGGAGGGGUUAAGGGGUUAAGGCCUUGGGGGAGAUGGCGGAUGCAGCGCUCAUAAGGGCCAGGACUCAGGAGGGAGGGGUCAUCACUGGCUGCAGGGUGACGCCGGCAGAAUGGGUGGAGGGGCCUGUCCAGGGGCUCCUAGGGGGCCUGUCCUGGUCAAGUCGUGGUCCACUCGCCCGGCCGCACGCACCUGGAAGAUGAAGUAGACCACCUCCUCGUUCACCAGCUGGCUGCGCUCUCGCUCCCCCACCGGCCGGACUAGUGAGCGUGAGCGCAAUGGGCGUGUAUGCGCGCCGCAAGUGGUGGGAAGGGAACAGGUAUGAUGAGCGCGCGAAAGAGACGCCAGAACGUGCACGGUCCAAACUCACCGGUCGCACCGCCCUCUGACGCCUCCGGUGUCGCAUUCAUGCGCACACACAGUCGCCUAGACGACUGCUGCACUGCACGCAAGCUGAAGCGCUGCGCAGCAACUGCCGACGCGGCAACAUGUGCGGGGAGUGCGGAGAACACUGUCGAACGUCGCCGUGUGCGCGACUGCAGCGAUACGAGUGGUGUAAUCUGAUGUUGAAGAGCUAAAUCCGGGCUGCGGUGCCGUGCUUUCAGGGGUGGCUGGACUUGCUUUACACGCGAGAGCUGCAUUCUGUGGGUGCUUCCAGCCCAGCCCUGCAGUAGCUUGACUUGCAAUCAGUAAAUGGUGUUAUACAUGUAUGUGUGGGCGGAGCGAUAAUGGACUGCAAUCCCAGAAAACCUUGCCGUGGAUUGGACGUCUGUCAAAGAGGCACAGUUCUGCUUCACGCGUUGUAAUUUCAACCACGAAUCCCGGUAUACACAUUUUGAGCGCAUCAGCUUGGAUUUGCACACGCUUGUUUGCAACAGUCAGAAAUGACUGUGGGGAUCGACCAACUUUAGCGCUUGCGGGCCACCCCGCACAACCCCGGUUGCACUCUUGGCCUCAGGAAUGGCUAGGACUUCCUGGAUUGGAGCGGUUUUGGCCGUCUUGCUGGCGGAAGCUGGCUGGAGCCUGGUGUCCGCUGGGCCGGACCACUCCCCCACACCUAGCUGCUCGGACCUGUAUCGGAGUCUGAGCCCGGAGGAGCGGCACGCGGCCCGUGAUUCUGCUCAGGCAGUACAAGUGCGUAUUGGGGCGCAGAAUCGGGCGGGUGGCCUUUGUGGGUAGGUUGGGGUUGGGAUACGAAGGGCGACACACGGUGGCCGUGGCUAUCCUUCCGCGGGGCCGACACAGUCGCAUCUGUGGCUGUUGCAAGCCAGCGGUGCGAGUCGAAACUAGGACAUUAUAUGUGCUUCUUGGUUUUUGCUUGGGGCCAUGGAAGUAGACACUUUCUGCCGAGUGCCAACGCCAACACUGCUGUGUGACACCUGCAGCCCCGCACGCCGCCUGCCUACCCGCUCCGCCCCUGCCCACCUCCAGGCAUUAGAGUCCUACAUCGGCCAGGCCAGGCUGGGUCGGCCGCUGCCGGCCAACAGCAACGCCACCGCGCCGCCCACGGCCCCGGCGCUGGAGGGCUGGCUGGCCGGGAACUACUCCCGCCUGCAGCAGCUGCUGGAUGGCUCGGGCGCGUCACAGCGGCUGGGAGGAAGGUGAGCUUCACAGGGCUUUCAGAGAGUGGUAGCAGAUGCUGAAGACUGGUACACACGUCGGUCCAGCAAGGUUCUGCCUGGAGGCUUAUCGACCUACCCCACUGUGCCAAUUUGUUGUCUCGUGCGCUGUCGCGCCGUCCUUGCACACAGCGGCACGGCUAUGACUGCGGCCAAGGCCUGCCUGUCCGCGCGGCUGCACCCGGACGGCUUCGCGGGCCGCCCCGUGAUGUCCAUCCUACUCAACUACUUCAAGCGGCCACAGAUUGUGAAUAGGAUAUCGGCGGCGAUGCGCAAAGCCUGCGACGCGGUCAACGUGACGUGCGAGAUGGUGGUCAAUGUGGAUAACCCAGAAGAGGCCGGGCUGUGGGCGGACCAGGCUGGCUUCGUGGUGCCUGUGUUCUCGGCAAACCUACAUGAGUCACGUGGAUACAACCGGGCCGCCAAGCUGGCGCGAGGGCGCUACCUGAUCAUCUGGCAGGUGCGGUGCGUGUGCACGUGGUGGUGGUGGUGUUGGGUUCGCACGGGAAGAGCGAGUUCGCAGGACUGAGUGCACGGGAAUGCGCACGGGCAUGGAGCGAGGAAUCUGGGAAAUGGCAGGCGUGGCAGGCGCGUGUGCCUGGGCUACCUCGACCUGAGCGGUGUUGUGCAUGUGGCACGGCCUUGGCGCCCGCAGAGGUGCGGCUGGUUUCAAAUGCCAUCCCCCCUCUCUUCAUCCCAACAGGAUGACCAGCUGCCCAACGAGCAGGGCACCUGGCUGCUGGACAUGAUCAAGGUGUUUGACGCCUACCCGCAGCUGGGCAUCCUGGGCAUGAACACCUACCGCCUGUGCAAGCACACGGAGAUGACGAACCGAUACGGCUGGACGUUUUGGGACCCCGACCCAAAGACCGGCGUCAAGUGGUCCUUCGCACAGGUGCGGCAGCUUAACCUACCCUCAGCACCUUGCGAGCGCAACCUCACUACGCAUGCGGGGUACGCCUACGGGUCAUGUGUAGUCGUUCUCCACCCCGCCCUGCUCCCCUAUCGCAUCAUUCCGCCGCAGCACGUGGACUUCGCGCCCAUGGCCAUCCGCGCCUCCAUCUACCACGAGCUGGGCGGCUUGGAUGAGGGGAUAUCCCGGCCGGGCGACUGCGGCAUCUGGGGCGACUGGGAGCUCACCAACCGCGCCUGGAUGGACGGAUGGCAGGUGCGCACAGGAGGUCGCGGGCGCCGACGUAGGGUACAGGGUCUUAGGAAUGAGGGGCACAUAAGACUUGAACCUGGCCCGUUAGGCUGGCUUCGGUGGUGAGGCCAGCUUCCACAUGCCUGCUACACGCCAUCAACCGCUCGUCCGGUUUCUACGGGCUCCGUGACCUGUCCGCAUACCAUGAAAGCUCACAUGCCCUGUGACCCGUGCGGCAGGUUGGCUUCAUGUUCUCAGACGGCCGCGGCGGUGACGGUCUCCCCGGCGGCACGCACUUAGGCUCGAGCGCGGAGAAGUGCUGGGGGCGGCAGCAGCACGUGGCGAUGCACGUCUUCCACCGCAGGUGGGUCGGGGCAGCUGCAAGCCUGCAAGAGGGCCGCAGUGCUUUUGCACGCAUGCCUUGCGCGCGCCCCGUAUGACACACACCACACAACCCGUGACCCGCACCUGGCAGGUACGGCGUGGAGUGGGUCCACGACCCGAUGUGCGGGCGCGUGUGGCUGCUCAACAUGCUGCACCACAAGCUGGGCUACGGCACCUGCCCCUACGGCACCAAGGAGACCCGCUUCGGCAACUGCACGGUGCCGAUGGCCGCAGACAUGGAGCGAGCGCGGCAGGAGAUGGCGCAGCUGGAGGCGGCGGCGCGCGUGCGCGGCUCCGGCACGUACUCGGCCCACGUGCCGCUGGAGCAGGUGGCGGGGCUGCAGCUGGGCGCGGCGCGGAAGGCGAUUGCGGUGGCGGGGGACAAGGGCGCCGGCCGUGCCGGGAACGCUGGCGGGGCCGGGGGGGCGGGGUCAGGUGUGGGUGUCGCGGGUGCGGGUGGCGCGGGUGGCGCGGCUGGGGUGGGUGGCGGGGUGGCGGGUGGCGGAGGUAUAGGCGGGGCGCAAAGCGCUGGAGGUGCAGGGCCGGGGCCGGGGGCGGGGGCGGGGGCGGGGGCGGGGGCGUCUGGGGGAGUCCUGCCCGGCGAUGUCAGCAUGGACAUCGCCCCGCGCAUUGUGCGUGACGCUCAGCAGCAAGCGGGUGCAGUGGCUGGGCACAGGAUGCGGCUGCGGACACGGCGGAGAGAGAGGCAGAGCUGAGGUGCUGGCAACAGAGGGUGUGUCCGUGUGACAGGGUGGGGGAAUGGGAAUGUGAUACGGUGUUGAUGAGUGCGCUUACCUGUCAUGUAUGCGACACUGCGACGGCUUUGACAUGAUAAACUGGAGUUUACGGAUCGUAAGGAUUGUGGCAUCAAGUAGUGAUAAUCUGAAACUGUUCACACGGGGCCGAAAUCGAUGGCGCAUGCCAGGUGGGGUUGACACGGGCCUGUAUGGGGACUGGGGAGCCAUUUCCGGGCUUCAAUUGGUGGCUUGAGGCUUCGAGGCAUCGUCCGUGGUUGAAUACUGCGUAAAUAAUACCAGCUCAGACCACCAUGCACCUGCCCGCAAACUAAGCUCGAAGCUGUUGCUCCACAGUCGUUCCAGGCGCGAACUGUGGCGCGAACUUGUUUCAUCGCUUCAGCGCGAAAUUCUUGGCGGCAAGGACAUUAAAAUGAUUUUCACAUAGCCAGAGUUUGCAGUAUGAACCUUGUUUCGGCCCUCCUAGUGCUGAUAGUCGCUCAACUGCGCACGGCCCAAGUCUAUGCGGGACCCGACCACACGCCAAUCGCGUUGUGCAGCGACUUAUAUCAUGCUAUAAAGCCAGAGCACCGGCACCUGGCGCGAGACUCUGUACAGGCGCUGCAGGUAGGGGCUGCCACGGGACGGGUGUUGCUCGGCAACGGGCAGUCCAGGGCAGUCUGCCUCCAGUGCCCUCACGCGAUCCAGCCAUCAGUGGCCGGGUUAACUCCGGGCGUGCAAUGCUUGAAGGAUACUGUGCUCGGUGUCACAGAGGCGUGAAGCCGCAGGUGCAUGUCACUUGCGGCAUGCUAAGGGCAGGGUAGCACGACUGGCAUUGCCAACAGUGCUGUGUGACAGCUGCAGCCCCGCACGCCGCCUGCCUACCCGCUCCGCCCCUCUCCCCCUCCAGGCAUUAGAGUCCUACAUCGGCCAGGCCAAGCUGGGUCGGCCGCUGCCGGCCAACAGCAAUGCCACCGCGCCGCCCACGGCCCCGGCGCUGGAGGGCUGGCUGGCCGGGAACUACUCCCGCCUGCAGCAGCUGCUGGAUGGCUCGGGCGCGUCACAGCGGCUGGGAGGCAGGUGAGCUUCACGGGGCCCCCUGGCUUAUGGCAGAGCCCAUGCUCCUUCGCUGCCAAAGCCAUGCUGGUAACGCCUGACCUGGACAUUGUGCCAAUGGUGCCGGUUCCUUCCGCAUGUGCAGCUCGGCCGCUGUGACUGCGGCCAAGACCUGCCUGUCCGCGAGGCUGCACCCGGACGGCUUCGCGGGCCGCCCCGUGGUGUCCAUUUUGCUCAACUACUUCAAGCGACCCGGCGUCAUUCCGCGCAUUGCGGAGGCCAUGCGCCAGUCGUGCGACUCGGUGCAGAUAGCGUGUGAGAUCUCUGUAAAUGUGGACAACCCGCAUGAAGCCGAACUGUGGGCGAGCCAGGUGCGCGCCUUCGUGCCCGGCUUUGUGAUGCCGGCCUUCUCCGCCAACCUGCACGAGGCGCGUGGAUACAACCGGGCCGCCAAGCUGGCGCGAGGGCGCUACCUGAUCAUCUGGCAGGUGCGGUGCGUGUGCGUGUGUGUGUGUGUGCGAUUCUCGGCUUCGUUUGUUGGUUUUUAACAAACACACACCCACACACACACACACACACACACAAGCAUACACACAACCACCAAGAUACCUUCGUAGGCACACGCACAACUAACGUACCCAAGCAUUUCCUCUCUCACAGGACGACCAGUUCCCCCCGGCGCACGGCAAAUGGCUGCUCGACAUGAUCCGGGUGUUUGACGCCUACCCGCAGCUAGGGAUCCUGGGCAUGAACACCUACCGCCUGUGCAAGAACCGUGAGAUGACCAACCGCUGGGGCAGCACCGUGUGGCGGGUGGACCCGCGCACAGGCGUGUCCUGGACCUUUGCGCAGGUGUGUUCACGUGCGUAUUCAUGUGCGUGCGUGCCGCCACAGGCUGCUGCGGCAAGCGGAGGAUGCAGAAUGAUGGGAAGGGGGUGCAGAAAGGCUGGCGGGGGAGGCUCGGGAAUCGACGAUCGUCAGUGGAAAGGGUAGCGCUGGUGGCAGGGCGGGGCCGGGACUCCACAUCCCGUGCUUUCCCGCAUGGUCGUGUGCUCAGUACUCAGGUACUAGUACGGUACUCCCAACUAUCCAACUGCCGCACACGUGCCUGCCGUACGGGGCCCUCAGUCUGGGCCCAUCAUACCACUGUGUGCACGUGUGUCGCAGCAUGUGGACUUUGCGCCCCUGGCUGUGCGUGCCUCCAUCUACCACGAGGUGGGCGGGCUGGAUGAGAACACGGCGCGGCCGGGCGACUGCGGCAUCUGGGGCGACUGGGAGCUCACGUCGCGCGCCUGGAUGGACGGAUGGCAGGUGCGCACAGAGGGUCGCGGGCGUGUGUCUGCAUGUGUGUGUGUGUGUGGGGGGGGGGAGGGUUUGUGUGUGUUAAAGAGCGCAAGGAAGAAUAUUACGCGUAGGACAGGGUAUGCGAUGCGAUGCGAUGCGUGUGUGCUAUGUAGGCGUGAGGGAUGCUGGCCAUGGUUUGUGGUGGUGAUGUGGGUGAUGCCAAGCGGCGCGUACACCGUGUCCGCGUUGCAAUACACUUGGGUCGCGCCCCUGGCAGUGGGCUCCUAUUGGGUUGUCUGGAUGCACGAUUUCGUGGUUACUUCCACACAAGUUAUUGGUCCUCCCCGUGUGCCCUUUACCCUCGUCACACCGGUCGCCGGCUCACAAGCACCUUCACGCCCAUCCAUUCGGUCGUACUCACCUCCUCCUCCGUACCACCGUACUACGCCGCCACCACGCCCACGCCCCAGUCUAACCACCCGCUCACACCCAUGACAGCCCCGCGCAUCCCACCUCCCCGCACCCCACCUACCCCCGACCCAGGUGGGCUUCAUGUAUGUGGACGGCCGCGGCGGCGAUGGCGAGCCCGGCGGCACGCACCUGGGCUCGAGCGCGGAGAAGUGCUGGGGGCGGCAGCAGUGGGUUGCCAUGAACCUGUUCGCGCGCAGGUGGGUCGGGGGCAGGUGGGGGUCGGGGGCAGGGGCGGGCCGCGCCGCGUGGUGUCGGUAAUGCCUGUGGGAUUUGUGGCCCCCUGUACGCUGGCAUGCAGUGCCGUGUGCCGUGUGUCGUGUGCCAUGGACCGGUGGCAAGUCACCAGCACGCGCCGAUGAGCACUGAAAGCUUCCUUGUGCACAGGGGGGAGGCCGACACACACGGGCUUCUGCGCAGGGCGCGCGCCUUUGUGUGUGCCGCAACGCGGGCAGGCACCCAUCCGCCCGUCCCCGACUUGCGCGGCCAUGCCCCGCGAUCUCCAAACCUGACUUGCACCGCCACAGUCACCUCCCCCUCUGUCACCCCCCCCCCACACACACGCACAGGUUCGACCACGUGAACGACCCCCUGUGCGACCGGGUGUGGCUGCUCAACAUGCUGCACCACACCCUGCCCGCCGGCCUGCCCUGCCCCUACAACAUCUCGGCGGCUGACGGCAGCUACGACACCCGCUUCGGCAACUGCAGCGCUCUGCUGCCCAUGGCGCGCGAGCAGGCGCGGCAGGAGCUGGCGGCGCUGGAGGCAGCGGCGGUGGUGCGCGUCGGCGGCGCCUACUCGGCGGCAGCGCCGCUGCCGCCGUUGCAACGGCGGUCCAGGGCGCGGGUGCAGCGGAGAACGGCGCUGAGGCGGCGCGUGCUGGGGCUGGGGCUGGGUGUUGAGGCGGGGGCGGAGGUAGGGGAAGAGGUGGGGACGGAGGAGCUGAGAGGCGGGGCGGUGGGGAUAGAGAGUGAGUGGGGAAGUGGUGAGGGUGAGGUGCAGGGGAUAGGGGAGGCGUCUGCAAACGGGCCCGAUCGAGUCGGUGUCGAGUGGUGACCAUGUGCACACAAAACUCUUUAUACUUUUCAGAACGCUGAAGUAAUCGACGUUCUUACUCGGCGCAGCAGCUUGCCGAGGCAUUUGGUCGAACUCUGCGGUUUCAUUUUGCACUUGACCAGGUCGAUAGGGUUCCUUUCGGCACUGUGUGCAUAAUGGGGGAAGCGGGAUCUCUGGGUUCAAGUAGCCCGGGCACCGCUGCAGGGCCAGCGACCGUGCUAACGCCCAACGCCACUAGCGGUGCUCCGGGCGACUCGGAGGGCGGGCUUCUUGCGCUGCCCUUGGAAAUUAUCGUAACGAUACUGGAUGCGCUUCCGAGGCGCUGUCUAUCGACGGUUCGAUGCGUCUGCAAGCGGUUUGAAGAGAUUUGCGCUGAGCGUCUGGUGAAGAUGUGCAUCCGCGUCGAGGCCCAGCCUCGCGUGCGCCAGACGCACGGCAUCUUCACAAUACCCGACACGGGACGGUGCGCAGCAGGUCAGACGCUCGCGGACUCCAGCGACCAGGCUGGCCCAUCCUCCUCGUCGGCACCCGGGAUGGCCUCCGCGGCAGCACCCGCGGCCCCGGCCGCCCAGCCCCAGCCCCAGCCUCCGCGUUACAGCUGGAUGCCCUACGUCCGGGAGCUGACCCUGGUACUCAGUCCCGACCCGCCGGCGCCCGAGCCGCCGCAGCACCAGCCCGCUGCCGCCCCGGCCCACGCCGCGGCCGACCACGGCCCCCACGGCCCCCAUCCGCAGCCAGGUCCUGAACCGGCUCACAUGCAGCAGGAAGAGGGGGUGGGCGGCGCGGCGGGGAACGGCGGCGCGGCCGGUUUGCCGGGUGCGGGCGUGGCGGUGGCCGCGGCGCCCGCCCUGCUGUUGGAACUGGACCUGGGCGCGCCCGCCCCACAUCAGCACCACCACCACCACCCCAACUGGCAGCAGGUACAGGCGCAGGCGGUGGCGCAGGCGCAGGCUGCAGGGCUGGGCGGCGGCGGCCAGCAGCAGCAGCACCAGCAGGAGCACCAGUAUCAGCACCAGCAGCAUCAGGGCGCAGCAGCCGCAGCCGGCGGCCCGGAGCCGAUGGCGGUCGACGACGGCGACGGCGCACCCGCACCGCCGCAGCCACCCCAGCCCCAGCACCAGCACCAGCAGCACUAUGACCUGCCGCAGCUGCCGCUGCCGCCGCAGCAUCCCCUGCAACCUCACAACCACCAACUGCCUCACCACGAGGUGGUGGCGGCGUGGGCGCAGCACCUGGCGGACGACCUGCAGGCGCUGCUGGCGGCGGCGGCGGCGGGCGAGGGGGCGGCGGGCGAGGGGGCGGCAGAUGGGGGCGGAGGCGAUGCUGCAGGCGGCGGUGGCGGCGUGGCGGGCCGUGUGGAGGGGCUGGUGGGCCAGGUGGAGGCAGUGCUGGCACACGGCGCGGCGGGGCCGCCGCACGCGGCGGAUGAGGGGGGGCUGGGGGUAGAGGCGGAGGCGGAGGCGGGGCAAGGCCAUGCGGGGGCAGCGGAUGUUGAGAUGGCGGGCGGGGUGGAGGUGGAGCCGGCGGAGGCAGCAGCGCCGACGGCGGCGGCGGCAGGGCCGUUCCGGGCGCAUGCGGAGGCGGUGGUGGCGGCGGUGCUUGCGGCAGCGGGCUUGCCGCCGCACUUGCACCAGCACCUAGGGUCCAACCAGCCGCCGCAGCAGCAGCAGCCGCAGCAGCUGCAGCAACCGCAGCAGCAGCAACCGCAACCGCAACCGCACGCCCUGGCGCCGGCGGGUGCGCGCGUCUCCCCGGCGCCCCAGGCCCCGGAGUCGCAGCCCUCACACCAGCCCCACCACCCCGACGCCAGCGGUGCCGGCCCGCUGCAGCCGCCGCCGCAGGAGCCAUUGCCGCCGCCGCAGGAGCUAUUGCCGCCGCCGCUGUCUGAGGAGGCGGCGGAGGAGUUGCUGUCGCAGCAGCUGGGUGCACUGGCGGCCGGCCUGCUGCCGUCGCUGCCGCACCUGCACACGCUGUCGCUGGAGGCUGUCCCGCGGCGCUGCAUGGCGGCGGCGGGCGCCGCCGCCGCCGCCGCCGAGGGCAUCAGCGAGCUGCGCAUCGAGCGAGUCACGUCGCCGCCACCGGUGCCACCAGAGCAGCCGGCGCCGCCGGCGGAAGACGGCAUGAACGGCGUCGCUGCGGCCGCUGGCGGCGCAGGCGGUGCCGACGGCGCAGGCGGUUUGGGCGGCCUGGGCGCCCUGGCGGGCCUGGGCAAUGGCGCGGGGGCGCUGGGCGGGCUGGCACUGCUGCAGGAGCUGCAGGCGCUGUUCGCGGGCCUGCCGGCGGUGAUGCCGGCGGUCCUGCCGGCGGUGGUACCGGCGGGGCUGCACGGGGCCGGAGGCGGAGGUGGAGGUGGAGGCGGCGGAGGAGGAGGCGGGGCCGGAGGUGGAGGCGGGGUUGGGGCCGGAGGAGAUGGGGAUGGGGCCGGAGGAGGAGGAGGAGGAGGAGGAGGAGGAGGAGGAGGAGGAGGAGGAGGAGGAGGAGGAGGAGGAGGAGGAGAAGGCGGGGGCGAGGCGAUUGAGGGCGUGGAGGCUGCAGGUGGUGAGCAUGUCGAGCUGGAGAUGUUGGAGGAUGACCCCUUCCAACAACUACCCCAACAGCCACAACAGGCGGCGCCGCCGCAACAGCCGGAGCAGGCCGCGGUAGGGCCGCACGCCCCUGGAGACGUGCACAUGGCGGACGCUGCAGCAGGGCCGGAGGCGCCGGGCGCACAGCAGCCGAACCAGGAGCAGCAGCAGCCGCAGCCGCAACAGCAGGAGCCGCUACAGCAGGAGCCGCAGGAGCAGGACUUGGCGGAGGAAGACGCCGACGCGGCGGCGGCGGCGGCCGGCGGCGCGGAGGACGACGCGGCGGUGGCGGCGGCGGCGGAGGCGGCGGCGGCGGCGCAGGUGCUGGAGGCGGUGGCGGCGCAUGUGGCCAUGCACAUGCAGGGUGUGGUGGCGGAGUACCAGGACCACGUGGCGGCGCUGGGGCACCUGCACGGUGGCGGCGGCGCUGCGGGCGGCGCUGUGGGCGGCGGUGUGGCCGGCGGUGCGGGUGGGGCUGGGGCUGGGGCUGGGGCUGGUGGUGCCGGGGCUGGGGCUGGGCCUGCGCUGCAUGACCACGUGGUGGCAGCCAUGGCCGCCGCCGGCCUGCAGCAGCAGCAGCAGCAGCAGCAGAUGGACGCACACCAUGAAGCACACCACGAGGCACACAUGGCGGCGGCUGCGGCGGCGGCCGGCGGCAACGUCAACGGUGAUGGAGCUGGUGGCGGCGCAGCGGGCGGUGGCGGGGUCGACGUGGCUGCAGCAGCACCACCGCCACCAGCAGCAGCAGCAGCAGGCGCUGGCGGCGGCGGCGGUCAUGGUGGCGGCGGUGGUGGAGAUGUGGAUCUGUUGGCCAGCGGUGGCAGCUUCACGGAGGAUGGCGACAGCGGCGGCGGCGAAGACGAGGACGAGGCGGAGGCGGCGGCGGCGGCCGAGGCGGCGGCGCGGGAGGCGGCGGCGGUGGCGGGCGACGCCGCCUUCUGGGCGCGUGUGGCGGGCCUGCGCGGGCUGCGGUCGCUGGUGCUGCGGGGCGGCGAGAUGCGGGCGGCGGACAUGGCGGGGCUGGUGGCGCUGAGCGGGCUGGAGCGGCUGGCGGUGAGUGGGGGUGGGGGUGAGUGGGGGUUGUGGCCGUGUGCGUGUGUAUGUGAGUGUGUGUGAGAGAGAAAGAGUGGAGGGAUGUGGGUCGGCGUCAGGCGGCCUUGGGUGCUGUGAGUACCGGACUGCCUGCUGCUUCCGGUUGAGGCCCUGCCCCGCACCGCCCUCCGCGGUCCGGUAUUGAUACUUCCUGCCGUGCUGCAUGGCUGCACGCACACACGCACACGCCCGCAUGCCCCCAGGUGAACCACGUGAUCAACACGCACCCGGGGCUGGCGUGUCUGUCUCGCCUCACCGCCCUCACCAGCCUGGUCAUUGAGGACCUGCAGUACGUGGUGCGUGGGGGGGGGGGGCGAGAGAAGGAGGGAGGUGUGUGUGCGUGUGUGUGUGUUCGUGUAUGCAUGUAUGUGUGUAAUCACGUUACCCGGAGGCCCUCCCAUCCCACCCAGCUGCCCUCCACUUCCCUCUCCGCGCUUUUACGCCCCACCUGACCCCCCCCCCCCCCGCCACCUCCGCCACCUCCUGCCACCUCCAGGGCGGCGCCAUCCACGACGAGUUCUGCGGCCUGUCGGCACUGACUCGGCUGCGGUCGCUGUCGUUCCUGGUGGUGGGGCCGCUGCCGGCCGAGGUGAUGGCCUGGGGCAGCCUCAGCCAGCUCACACAGCUCGAGGUGAGCGGGUGGGGGGCUGGGUGGGGGUGAGGGUGGCUGGGUGGGUGGAUGUGGGUGGGUGGGUGGUGGGUGGGUGGGUGAGGGUGAGGGAGGGAGGAGUUGUGGGUAUGGGCGUGGGUGGGUGGAUUAGGAAGGGAGGGAGGGAGGGAGAGGUUUUGGGUGGUGGGUGGGUGGGUGAGGGCAGGGAGGGUGCGGCUCGGCCCUGGCUUACCUCCCCAUCCCCCCGUGCACACUCCGGCCAUGCCUCCUCGUGCACACACACUCCCCCCCUCCCUGUCUCCCCUCCUCCAUCCCUCCCCUCCUCCCCUCCUCCCUCCCCUCCCCCAGAUCACCAACCACUACGACGACAACCUGCUGCCCUGCUUCGGCGCCAUGCUGCCGCGCCUGCCGCACCUGGCGGCGCUGCACCUCUCCAACUUCGACCUCACAAACGCACUGCUGCUGGCGGUGAGGGGGGCGCGGGUUACAUUCAUGAAUACGGCAGCUAAGGAAAGGGUAGGGGCGGUUGUAAAUACCAGCCCAACCUAAAGCAAACCAAGCCAAGGGCCAAGAGGGGGGGUUGUGCCCAAGCCCAGCGGAAAUGUCCGUCACCAUCAAAGGGGGGGAGGCGGAGAGAGCGGGGGCGGGGUGGGCCGAAUGUGGGGCUGGUGGUGUAUCCAUGCGGUGGUCCAGCGAAGGCGCGGGCCACGCACGUCGGCCGCUGUGGGUCCUGGCACCCGGGCUGCCGCCGUACGGGGCCGGGGCUCCCCAUGCCGGGCCAGCGGUACUCCCGGGCAGGGCGUCACACCGCCCCGUGGGCCCACAGCAAUGCUCUGAAAGCCCCCUCCCCUUUCUCCCCCACCCACCCUCCCUCCCCGUCCACUCCCUCCCCGUCCGCUCCCUCCCCGUCCGCUCCCUCCCCGUCCGCUCCCUCCCCCUCUGACCUCCCCCUCCCCCUCCCUCCCCCGCAGCUGCGGCCCUGCACCGCGCUGACCCGCCUGCAGAUGGGCCGCUUCAACGUCACCGCCUCGCCGCCGCCGCCGGCCAUGACCUCCCUGCGCCUGCUGCACCUGGGCUUCGUGGAUGACCUGCAGGUGGGGGCGGGGGGCGGGGGGUGGGGGGGGACUGGGCGGCAUUUGUUGCGGGUUGAUGUUAGAAAAACCACAAGCGAAGGGCGUGCGCGUAGUUUUGUGCUGCCUCCGCACCUCCGCCCCCUCACCGCGCCUCCGCACCCCUCCUACCUCCUCCCCUCCCCCGUUUCAACGUCGCCCUCUCCAGUCUAGUCAUGCCUGGCACUCCCCGCCUCCCCCCUACGCCUGCUGUCUUCUUCGCUACAUUUCUCUGUACCAAUCCUUGCAACCCCCCACCACCACUUCCUCACAUAUCAUGGGUUAACUCCCCUCCCUCCCCCCUCCUCCCCACCUCCCCUCCUCCCCACCUCCCCCCCUCCACCCUCCCCCCCAGCACACGGAGGUGGCGCUGGUGUCGGUGUUCCCGCGCCUGGACGAGCUGGCGCUGCAGACCCGCUACGUGCUCAGCCACGAGUCAGCCGCGCGCAUCCCCAGGGAGCUGCUGCUGCCGCCACCGCACCACCACGUGCAGCAGCAGCAGCAGCAGCAGCAGCAGCAGCAGGGGCAGCAGCCGGAGCUACAGCCGCAGCCGAUGGGCCCGCACCUCCCGCAGCAGCAGCAGCAGCAGGGAGGUGUGGGUGUGGGUGGUGGUGGAGGUGGUGGGGCGGCGGAGGGCCGGCCCUCGCCGCGGGCCCACGGCCGGGCGCUGCCGCUCACGUGAGUGGGCCCCGCGUGCUGCAGCGAGAGAGAGUGUGUGCGUGGGGGGAAAGGUGUGGGUGUGGGUGCGUGGGUGGGUGGGUGUGGGUGUGGGUGUGACUGGGGUCCUAGGUCCUCGCGCUGCGCCAUCUGCAUUUGUUUUGCGCUUGUCACGCCGAGAACGCGGCCCCCACCUCCCCACGCCUCGCCACGCCCCCCACCCCGUCUCCACCUCCUCCCCCCCCCCAGGCGGCUGCACCUGUACGACGCGCUGAUGAGCCCGCUGCUGCCGGGCGCGCUGCCGGGUCUGACGGCGCUGCGGCUGGACUGGAACCAGACCGACACGGCGGAGCUUGUGGGGCUGCUGGGCGGCUGGGGCGCGGGGCUGACGCAGCUGGCCUGGGCCAACUGCGACGCCAUGCAGGUGUGGAGAGGGGGCGGCGGGGGGGGGGGCGAGGAGGAGAGCGUGGCCUAUGGGGGAGGGGGGUAAAAGGGGAGGAGGAGAGGAGGGGGAGGAAGGGGAGGGGAGGGGGUUGCCGCCGAUGCAGGACGGAGUGGAUUUCCGUUUGCAGGGGGUGGUUGUGGCCGCGGCUGGCGGGGAGUUGGGGGGAGCGCGGCAGUCGCGCGUCUGGAGUACAAGCAGGCACGCGUGCUGGCGCGUGUGUAACCACUGAUGCCACCGCCCCAUCUGCCCUCCACCCCACACACACACACACACCUUCACUUCUUAGUUAAUCAUGAAUGUAACCUACACACACACACACACACACACACACACACACACACACACACACACACACACACACACACACACACACACACACACACACACACACACACACACACACACACACACACACACACACACACACACACACACACACACACACACACACACACAUACACACAGGACUGGGGCCUGGCCAUGCUGGUGGGCGCCCUGCCCAGGCUGACUGAGGUGAGGGCUGAGGGGAGGAGGGAGGGAGGGAGGGAAGGAGGGACAGGGGAACAGGCCGUCCAUGCAGUGCCGGAGGAGGGCUUCAGCCGGAGGUGGGGUGGGCCGGGGCCGGGGGUGGGGGGCAGGAACCAUGUGCCCGUGUCACUUGGCAGGCGGGCACACACAGCGCACUUCAGGCGACACAGCACGUGUCUUUACACGUCCUCAUUCGCCUUACGCGCUGCACCACAUCGCCCGUGAACUCCCCCGCCCCCCCCCACACACACACACACACCUCCUGCCCCCUCUCCCUGCCGCAGCUGGAGCUGACCCGCUGUGUGAGCAUCACGGACGGCGGACUGGCCGCCCUCACCGCCCUCACCGCCCUCACCUCGCUCACAGUCGCCGCCGCGGAGCAGGUGGGCUCAGCGGCGUGCAUGUCGUGUGUGCGUGUGUGUGGGGGGGGGCGGGGCGAGCUACGUGUGCAUGUGUGGAGAGAGCACAAAAGGGAGGGAAGCACGCAGGGCCGUGGGGGCCCAAGUGGGGAGCAAGGCGGUGAGGCUCAAAAGCGAGGAGGCAAAGGUGCCAAGGCUCUGCUGCACGACCUGCACAACACACACACACGCACAUGCGCACAUACAUGCAUAUACCCCACCCCCCAGCCCGCCCCACCCCACCCUACCCCAUCCCGCUCCGCCCGAAUCCUCCCCUUCCGCGCCCCGCCCCGCCCCGCCCCCGCGCAGCUGACGCACGCCGGCUUCCUGCCUGUGGCUGCUGGUCUGCGGCCGCUGCGGCGCCUGGUGCUGCGCGGCAUGCCGGCCCUCACGCCGCGGCAGGCGCAGCAGCUGGAGGAGGCGGCGCCGCGGCGGGGGGCGCUGCAGGUGGAGCUGCUGCCGCCGGGAGGGCCGGGAGGAGCAGGAGGCGGGCACCACUGAGAUAAUGGGGCGGGGGUUGCUGGGGAGUGCAUCAUGUGUGAAUUGUGUACAGUACAGUACAUUUGCGCUGGGCUCUUGGGUCGGUUCGCGAGGAAGUGGGGCGAUGCGGCGUGGAAACGUGGUGUGUGUCCUUUCACUGGUUUAUGUCCGCGCACCGUCCCGUUUUUGUGUCCGCUUUACUAGGCAUGGCAUGGAAGCUGGGCAUGGCAUUUGAUGUUGUGGAAACAUGCAGGCUCACGGUUCAAAUGGCUUUUCGGCGGCAUCAGUUGGCGCGGAAAUUGUACGGCUAACCGAGGCAACGACACUUCGGACGACUUCAUGGUUUUGUAUGUUGAAUUCGGCAUUCCCAUGUGGCAUUGUAACAUAAAGUUGAUUUGCAAAUACGACGCCCGCUUCACAAAGCGCUGGACAGGCCCCGACGCGACCUGUGACUUGGGGUUUAUAGUGCUAAGCACGCAAAGCUCGUUAAGCUUACGAUUUUGUUAUCGCUACGAGCCUUCUGACAGGAGUGUCUGUGGAAGUGCCAGCUGUUUGUCAAUUCCAGGUAAGGAUGCUCCUGGACUAGCGCUUGCGAGCAAGGCGUGCCCGCCGCCUCUGCAGGCUCAUAAUCUUACCACUGUGAGCAAAUUUCACACGUUCUGGGCGAUGUGCCGCAGGUGUGGACGCUGGCCCAGCAGCGAUGCCGGCAAGCAUCCCUCGUUGCGAAAUCCUUCUCCCCUCGCGCCCGACCGGCCUCGUUGUGCGCCACCGCGUGGAUGGAGCCUCCUGCGCGGCCGCGUCCGGUGAGGUCACAAGCGCCUCGAGCGCCAGCCGCCUGCCUCGAGGGCCCAGGACGCUACUAGAUCCCCAUAAAGCCCCUUCACGCACCCAAAGACGCUGCACCCGCCUGCCUCGCACUCUCCUCGCAGGCUCGGCUGCCGUCGCAUUUGAGACGCUGGUGUUCUUCCCCGACCGCGUGUGUGCGCUGGAGGGCGGCGGCGGCCUCAGCCCCUGGCGCCUGGGGCCGCAGCUGAGACUCACGGACGGCGCCACACGCGCCUCACACCUGUGAGUGUGAGUGGCACCCAGCCAGCAGUGCUGCUUGCCCGACCUGUCACAAGUAGCGCCCCUACGUGCAUCAGUUGCUGCUGUCCUUACAACCGAGAAACGUGUGUCCCGGCUUACGGUACUCUCGUGCAUGCCCGCGUGCCUUCACGCACACGCGCUGUUGCCUACCUACGUACCCGCCCUCUUGCCCCCCGCCCACCCCGGCUCCACGCGCCCGCCCUCCCGCCCGCCCGCCCGCCUCCUCGUGCAGCGUGUGCGACUCCACGCCCUGCGCCACCUACUGCGCCGCCACCGGCUGUGUCUACUUCGUGGAGGUGUGGGGGGAGGAAAACGCAUUGUGGCCGCGAGUUGCCAGCACCACGCACUGCACACACACACACACACACACACACACACACACACACACACACACACACACGCACACACACACACACGCACACGCACACACACACGCACACUUACACACACACACACUUACACACACAGGGUUACGCCAUUCUGAGGCUGGACGGCGCCAAUGUGGUGACGCCGGUGGCGGGCUGCAGCACCGAGUGCGACCAGGUGCCGGCGGGAAGGGGGGUGGGGGCGGGGCGGGGUGGGGGCUUUCAGCAGUCCCAGCAGGCAGCAACAUGGGCGCCAGCAGCAGGCGGCAGCAGCCUCGCCCGCACGCACCGGUUGCACAGCUCUGGCUGCAUGUGCCGCCCGCCUGCAUGCUGCUCACACACGUGCCACGUGCCGCCCGCACACACACACACACACACACACACACACACACACACACAUACACACACACACACACAUACACACACACACACACACACACACACACACACACACACACACACAUACACACACACACACACAUACACACACACACACACAUACACACACACACACACACACACACACAC